CAAAAAAAAAUGUUGAUUCAUUAUUUUUAAUAUAUAUAUAUAUAUAUAUAUAUAUUUAAAAAAUCACUUUUUAAGGAAGAGAUUUUCAAAUUUGUAAAGAUAAAAUAACUUUAGUUUACUUGAUAAGAAUUACUUUAAUUUUAUAAAAAAAAUUAUUUAUUAGGAAAACCAUUUCAAAUUUAUUAUUAAAAAAAUAAUUUCAUAUUUUAAGCAGAUUGGUUCCAAAUUUAUUAUAAAUAAAUAGAAAAUAAUAAUAAUUUCAAAUAAAAAAAUUUCAACAUAUUAAAAACAAACUAGAUCUUAGUUUUAUUUUAUCUACUCAAAAAAAGGUUUUAUAUUUUAGGAAAAUGACUAUGAAUUUAUUAAAAAAUAAUAAUAAUUUAUUAAAAAGAAAGAAAAGUCAACAGGUUUAUUAUUAAAAAAAGAAUUUAGUUUAUAAAAAUUAUGAAUUUCUAUUUAUUAUUUUUUUGGUACAUUAUUAUAAAUUAUUAAAAAUUUUAUUUAAAAAAAGAGUUUCAAAUUUAUUAUUAAUAUAAGAACGGUUCAUUAAAAAUAUUUUACAAACAAAAAGAUUUUUAUUUUUUUUUAACAGAUUUGCACAACAACACAAAAAUAAAAAAUAAAUAAAUAAGAAAAGUAAUUUAUGCAUGGUAAUAACAAAAAAUUCAUACUUACCAAAGAAACCAAAAAACUAAACAAAAACGAUAUUUAUAGGGAUAUUUAUCAAAACAAAUCAAAUAUGCACAACUCAAAAAACUAAUAUUUAUAUUAAUGGCAAACAAAAUAAAACCAAUAGAUACAAAUAAAUAAAUAUGAGAACAUGGAUUCAAUCUGCUCUUCCCAUAAUCAAAAUCCAGCCCUCCAUGUGUGCUCAUCUUGGGCCUCAUUUUGCAUCUCCACAACCAACUCUUGGUCAACAAUCAAGUCCAACAAAAAUGAGAGAUUAAAAUGCAACCUAAGGUCCAACAACAAAAUGAUAUCAACAUGCCAUUGAUAGCCCAAAUAACAAGUUAUGCGAGGCCCAAAAUAACAAUGAAAUAUCAAGCCCAAAUGCAAUCAGUGUCAAUCAGUCCAAUUUAAUAAUUCAAAUAAGUUAAAUUCAAUUAGGAAGAUAAACCCAAAGGAAUUGCAUGACCCAUCAAAUAAAGCAAAUGAAGCCCAAAACCAAAUAGACCAAGCAAAAACCCAAACAACAUGGCCCAAAUGAAGCCUAAAUCAAUAAGCUCAAAUCAGCCCAACCCCACAAAUGAUUACUAUUCAAAUCAAAGAAAAAAAUUACCACAUUUUUUAAACCCUAGCACGAAGAAAUGGAAUGGCAUUGAGUGGUAGUGCGCAAUGGAUUGAUGGUGGCGAUGUGGGUUUAGUGGCAAUGGGUAUGAGGGCAAUGGAAAGGAUAGAGAGAGAAGGAUAGAGGGCAAGGGAGAGUAAGGUGGCAUGACGAAGUGGUUGAUCGAUAAUGUGCAUUACCAAUCGUGGGUAAAUCAAGGGUGAAAAUAUCGGUAAUCACGGAUAUAUCGAUACUUCGAUUUUACGGAUAUAUCAGAGAUAUAUCGGUGGAUAUUUUGGAAAAAAAUAUCGAUAGGAUUAAAAUUGUUUAAAACUCAUGAAAAUGUAAGAAAAACCUCAUAAUAAUAUAAUUAGAAGUAUAAUAGACAUUUUAUAGUUAUUUUAUUGAAAAAAUUGAUAUAUGUAUAACAUGAUUUAUCAUAUUUAAUAAUAAUAUCGUAUGCAUCGAUAAAAAUAUGAAUUUUAUAAGUGUACAUUUAUUAUUAAAUUACAUCUAAUUAAUAUUAUGAUAUUUGAUUAUAAUAUAUCUAAUUUUAAAAUAUAUAUUAAUAUUAAAAUUAUGAUCCAUUUAAUUCAAUUGUAUUAAACAAUAUAAAAUAAAUUAUGAUAUAUAUAUGUGUGUAUAUAUAUAUAUAUAUAUAUAUAUAUAUAUAUAUAUAUAAUUUUUUAAUAUUUAAUUAAUUAUUAAUGAUAUUAAAAACAUUAUAAAGAAAAUUAUAUAAUUUUUAUAUUUUUGGUAAUCAAUUAAAAGAAAAUUUUGUAUUUAAUUAUAAAAUAAUUAUAAUUAAUUUGCUCUUUAAAAUAUUCUUUUAAUAUUUUCUUUAUAUAAUGAGUUUUAGUAUAUAUAAGUUUAGUGCACAAUAUAUAACAAAGGCAAGUUUGCCCGAAUGGCAAGUAGAGUGUGGGUUCAAAUCCCCUCAGAAGCAAAAGGAGAAGGCACUGUAGCACAUUGACUUCACUAUAGUGCGUUUGACUUCCAUUGACCCGUGUUGACCAUGCGAUAUAUCGGUAAAAAUCGACGAUUUAUCGCCCAAAUCUCCUAUAUAUCGCGAGAUAUCGCCGAUUUCUCGGGAUUUAUCCCGAAAUAUCAUCGAACCGAUAUUUCUCCAUGAAAUAUCGUGUCGAAACCCUCUGAUACACGAUAUAUCGCCGACAUAUCGCGAUAUUUUCCUCCUUGGGGUAGAUUAGGUGGUGGCAUAGAAGUGAGUAGAGAGAGAAGAUGAGUUUUGUGUGUGUAAGAGGGAAAAUGAGAAAAAAAAACAAAAAACAAAAAACAAAAAAAGAGGUGGGAGUGUUGUUCUUUUUACAACUAUGAACAUGAAAAGAGAAAAGAGAGGAAAAAAAUAAUACAAAAAAAAAAAAUUUUGAACAAAUUUUGAGAUUUACAACUAUGUUUUAGGAUAUAAGGUUAUUCUUUUGAAAUAGACAUGGUUCGAUGCAAACCAAAAAAAGGAAAUAAAAGAUAAUCAUAAUUUUACUAACAUCUAAUUUAGUUAUAGUUGGUAUAACAAUAAUCUUUUGUACAACAAAUGUUCUAUCUAAAUGACUACACGAAUGAUUAUAAGUGGAAAGUAGUUCAAAAAGUGAAUCAUAGAUACAUUUAAAAUGUUUGAUAGAAAAAUUAAUUUUGAUUUUACAACUUGGAGACUUUGUUGUUUUUACUCAAAGAAUUUUUUAAAGUAUCUUUUUUUCUGUGUCUCAUACUAAAUUGAACCUCUUCUUAUUCAAAAUUUUUCCUUUUUUUAUUUGAUUUUAAGCAUCUCACUCAAAAUUAGAACAUCAAACCAAACUCGGAACAACCAUUUCUAUAAGAAAUAGCUUUAGAGAAAAUUUUAUACUACCUCCACGAUGCUUAUCAAUGGAGUAUUUCUAAACAUUAGAUUUUUUUUAAAUCAACUCAUUUGAUUUUGGAAAGGAAAACCAAUUAAUGGCACAAUCGGUUUCCCUCACCUCUUUAUAUCCUACUCUCUUUGGUGUGGAUCCAUGUUCCCUCGUCAAACUUUAAUUUUAGAAAAAGGUUAUAUUCACUAGUGAUUCUUUAAAAAUAAUUCAUUAAGAAAAAUUGCCUUCUAAAAAAGUUAUAAAUCUUAAGUUAAAUUUAUAAAAAUAAAAUAAAAAUAAUUGUAAUUAUCCAAAUUUGUAUUAUAUAUAUUAGAAUUUAAAGAAAAGUAAUUUCAUAAAAUCGAAAUAAAAUUAAAAAUAAUAAAAUUUAUAAAAUUUAUUUAAUAUUCAUAUUUAUUAUUAUUUUUCUUAUAUAUAUUAAUAUAUUUUCAUUUUUUCAAUAAAUUAAAUAAUUUUUUAUUUUCUAUAAUUUUUUAAAAUAAAUUUAUUAGGUUUAUACUAAUUCAAUCUGAGGUAAAACACUUGAGAGGGGGGUGAAUUGGGCAUGGAUCAAUUUUUAUACUUAAAUGAAUAAAAAAGACAAAUAUAAAUAAUUAUGAACAAUAACAAUCAAUUAAAUGAAAAAUAAAAAUAAAAAUAAAUAGAAAGAGUGGAAGCGAAAAUGUACAUUCUAACUUAUAGUGAUUUAGCCUAAUCCCAAUUAGGGAUGACAGUUUUGCAUGCUAUUUGGGUAACCUACCCCCUCCCUAUUGGGACGAGUAUGAGAAGAUGAUGAUUGAGGAUGAGGCAGGUUUAGGAAAAUAUUCCAAACCCAAAUGGAGUUCAAGAAGGGGAUGGGUGCUUGUUAUUAAAACAACAACAAUAAUAAGAAGAACUAUUUCCAUUCCUAUGAUAUAGAGUCAAAAUAUAACCAAAAUGUGAGUUCUUAUUAUUUUAUAAUUCUUUUUUUCUUGUUUUUUGCUUUACUAUUUACAUUAUAAAUAGUUACUUUUUUCACAUUUGUCCUAGAUUAGCAACUUAUAUUCCUUAACAUAUUUGUCAUAAGGUUCACCUCCCACUAAUGAACAAUGAAGGAUAAAUAUCAUUAUUUUAAUGUCAAGAUUUAUUAUUUUUUUCUACGUGUCCCCAAAAAUUUAAAGUAGAUGAAAAUUUUGCUAAUUUGUGGUCUACCAUACAAUCUGUUAUAUAAAUAAGCAAAUGCUCAUUUCCAUUAUGUAUAGUAAUAGUAUGGCCGAUCAUUGUGGGUAUAACAAUAGAUGUUCGGGACCAAGUUACUAUUAUUUCUUUUUCCCACAUUGUGUUAAGCAUAACAAUUUUUCUUAAUAAAUUCUUUGCUAUAAAAGGGCCUUUUUUUUCUCCUCUCAUCGCUCUCCCCCAUCUCUUUAUAUUGCCCAUUUCUACUUCAAACUUUAGAAAUCCAUCUCCAAAGAUGAAUCUAAGAAGAGCAAUAAAAUCAAGCAUUAUUUGUGGAUAAAGCCUUUUUUCUUUUGCAAAUAGAAAUGGAAUCACAACGAUGAUCGACUCCAUGGCAAUAGCGAUAACUUUGAUAUUCAUCAAGAGCCAAUAGUGAUAACUUUGAUAUUCAUCAAGAGCCAAAGCCUUCAAAGCAUCCAUUUCAAGUCCUCUCCUCUUCUAAAGGGUUAGGUUUUGAUUUGGUUUUUAAUCUAAGUCAUAUUUGAGGGUCUUGGCUAGUUGGAUUGUGUAGAGAUAUUCAAUUUUGAUGGAAAUUUUGGAUCUUCUUUUCUUUCUAAUUUGAGUUUUGGUUUGAUUAAUUAUUAUUCCAAGUGUGGAUUUGUCUCAAGUCUCAAGUCUCAAAUCCUUUCAUUUUCUUUUUCCUAUAUGAAUUGAAUUUUUGGAUUUGAAAGUUGAAACUUCUCACCUUUGUGCACAUUCAAUUUUUCUUUUUUCCAACAUUUUCUUUCAAAGACCAUUGUGGUCUCUCAAAAUUUUCGUGGUCUUUUUUUUUUUUCAAAAAAGUAUAUCAAUGGCAUAAAGAUUGUGAAUUUGUUCAUCGGGGAUUUUGUGAAUUGAUGUAAUAUUAUUGGUUUUGAAAAAAUCAUUCUUCCCAUCCAAACAAAAAUAUGCAUUUAGAUUGAGACGAUGUGAGAACAAGCUUAUAUAUAUAUAUAUAUAUAUAUAUAUAUGUAUGUAUAUAUAUUGUAAACGGGGAUGGGUAUUCAUCAACAUGCCUCUUAAGUUUGGAACAAGAAUGGGAAAGGAUUAUAUAAAUGGAAUGGGGAAUGGAAUAGGGGUGCCCCAUUCCAAACCCACCCCAUUGUCAUCCCUAAUUCCAUUCUAUAUCCACUCUUCUCUAACUUCACUAAGCUUAAGGUUCACCCUCUUCAAGGCUCAAACUAAGUCUUAAUCUUGUGUUUAAAGUAUUUUCUUACACUUUCCUCUAGAGACACCUCACUCUUGAAAUCAAACCCUCGGGCGAUACCCCACACUAAAAAAAUUCUCAAAUGAUACUUCACACUUAACAAACCCAGAUGAUACCCCACACUUAGUUAAUUUCCUCUUAAGGUUUACAAAGAGACAUAAAAUUCCCAAUAAUAAAUUUUUUGGCUCAAAGAUUGCAAUUCAAACUAGGAUCAAGGAUGCACUAAAUGAAAUGCAAGUUUAGGCUAAGUUGCACUCAAUAUUUUCAUAAGACUUAAUAAAUGAUUGAAUAAUAUAUAUCUAUAUAGGAGCAACUCCUUCAAUAAAUGAAGAUAUGAGUCUUUAUAUAGGAGUUGAGAAAUUGAACUAUUUGUUAAAUAUAGUAUGAAAUUGGCAUGGGUUUUUCAUCAAACUCAAAUAUCUAUAUUGCAUUAUAUUACAUUAUGUUAUUACAUUAUAUUGUAUUAUUUUAUAUUUAUUUUAAAAGAAAUAUAAAAAGAUAUUGCAAUUUCCUUAUGAGAGAAAGAUUGUACAGAUAAUGUGAGAAAAUAUAUGAAAAAUGUAAUAAGGGGUACAGAGAACGUGAGAGGGGAUACAAAAAAUGUGAAAAAUGAUAUGAAAAAUAUGAGAAAUGGUACAAAAAAAAUAAUAAGAUAGAAUAUGACGAAUGUGAAAAGAGGUACUAAGAAUGUGAGGAAAAGUAUAAAAAAAAUAUUAGAAAUGAUAUAAAUAAUAUAAGAGAUGAUUCAAAGACUAUGUGAAAGAGUAUAAACAAUGUGAGAUAUUAAAAGUACAAGCUACAAAGAAUUUGAGAGAAUGUAUAAAGAAUGUGAGAGGAUACAAAAAAAUGUGAUUGAGGAUAUGAAGAAUGUUAGAGAGGAUAUGAAAAAUAUGAGAAGAGACAUGAAGAAUAUGAGAAAUUGUAUGAAGAAUGUGAAAAACUAUAUGAAUAAUAUGAGAAAAUGUAUGAAAAAUAUGAAAAAUGAUACGAGGAGUUGUAUCCUUUGUCACAUUUAUAGUUUCUACUCUGAUAUUUGUUUAUGUGUUUUCAUACAUUCUUCUUACAUUUUCUCACAUCCUUCAUACAAUUCAUAUAUUCUUCAUAUGUACCUCUACUCUUACACUCUUCAUGCGUUUCCUAUUCUUUAUACCCUUUUCAACAUUCCUUAUACAUCUUCUUACAUUUUUCAUAAUUUUUAUAUAACUUCUCAUAUUCUUUGUACUUCUUACAUUCUUCUUACAUUCUUGGUCUUAUGUAUUAUAUUAUUUGUACAUUUUCUCACAUUGUACUAUCUCUCAUAUUCUACAUAUUUUUUUCCACAUUGUUUGUACUCUUUUGUACAUCCUUUGUAUCUUUUCUCACACUUUUCAUCCUAUCUCUCAUUGCUCAUACCUUUUUCUCAUAUUUUUUGGUACCGUCUCUUACAUUAUCCUUUCUACAAAUAACCAUAUGGAGAUGAAUUCUUUAGUUAAUAUGCAGUUAAUGUUAGUUAGAUAAUAAGUGAAAACUAACCAAAGGUCAAGAAAUUGAAAUAUCUUAAUUGAAGAGAAUAAAUUACAAUAAGUGAAAAAUUAAUAUUGAAUUAUAAAAAAAUUUAAUUCCUAAUAAAAUUAAUAUAAAGUAUUAAACAUAUUUUUUAUGAUAGAUAUGUACUACAUCCUUUAUUAUUUUAUAUAAAUAAAAUAUUAAAAAAUUUAAUCAAAGUAAAAGUUAGAACAACAGGCUCUUUGCAUAUAUCACCAACAACUAUUUCCCUACAAAAAUACUAUCAAAAGGAAACCAUCGUGAGCACUCCCCACAAUCUAGAAUGAAUGGAUCAAUAAACUCCCCACAAUCUAGAAUGAAUGGAUCAAUAAACUUGAAUUUGUAAAUUACCUAUCAUUAAUUUUUUUACCACGUGGAUGUUUAGUAAAACUUAAUCCUUAUUAUUUAAGAAUUUAAUUUGAAUUUAAAUUAAAUUAUUAUUAAGUUAUUAGCUAAAAACUUAUUACUUAAUUUUUACUUUAAAUAUUAUGGUUGUUUAAUAAAAUUAACUUAAAAUUUAUUAUUAUUCAUCAAAUUGAUAUAUUUAUCCUCAUAUUUAUUGUCAUUAAUUUUAAGCAAUAAUUUUAUUUAUAAAACGUCUAUAUUUAAAAACAUAUAUAUAUAUAUAUAUAUAUAUAUAAAAGAUAACCAUAAAAUAUUUAUUAUAAAAAUUGAGUUAUAAAUGUAAAAUCAUAAUUUUAAAAUAUACUCUUAUGGGGUAAUGAGGCAAAAAGGAUUUGACAUUAUUCAUAAAUAAACUAUUUGGACUCGAUACUUAAAAUUAAAAUAAUUUUAAGCUAUAAUAUUAAAUUAUUUUUUUAAGCAUAAUUAAUCUAUUUAAUUAUUUAAAUUAAGUUAUUAAGUGGUAUUAAGUCAUUAAGUUAAUUCAUCAUACCUGUACAUAUAAGCAUUUUAUAACCUUGCUUUUCAUAAGCAAACUCCAAACAGGUUGCUUUUCUUGACACUUGAUAAUUCUUCUAGCUUUAUUAUUCUUUUAUUUCUGAUCUCUUUCAUUUCCUAUGGCGCCCAAUAUCAUAUGGACCAUUCUCCAUGUCCUACUGUAUUGUUUGUUUUCCAUGGAAACCUCUUUUUCAUCCAUUUAUACUCUCCCACAAUUUUUCAGUUUCGAAAGGCAGACAGGGCUACUCAGAGUCUGUGGGUAACAAUUCUAUGGGCUCUAGCACGACUUUUGGUUGAUAAAAUGUGUGGGAUGGAAUGAAGCCCAGCUUCCCAUGCGAGUUGCCUACUUCUCUUCUUGGUUUACUGGUACCAUGAAACCAGGUUUGAAAAAUCGGUUCUUUUGGCCGAAAUAUCGAUGAAAAAUCAGUUAUCGGCGGUGGUCGAAACGAUUUUGGCCACCGGUCGAGAGAAAAAUCGGCCAAAUGUCGGAGAAUCACGGGGAAAUUUCGGUUUUGGAGCAAAAUUUUGACGAAAAAUGGGGCAUGGGGCGAUGCGUGCGGUGAAGGGCGGUCUAAAAAAAAAACCGAAAAAUCGGCAAUUUUUUUUGGAUUUAUCGCCGAUUUUUUCAAAAAAACCAAUGAAAGUUUUUUUUUUUAAAUAAUAUAUAUUUAUCCUUUUUAUUUUUUAAUUACUUAUUUUUAAUUUAUGUUUUAUUUUAAAUUUAUGUUACCAUUUUAUUUUUAACUACUUCUCAUAUUUAUCUCAUUAAUCCUAUUUUAAAAAAUUACUAUCACUUCUCUCUUAAUUUUUUUAUUUAUCCUUUUAAUUUCAAAUAUUUUUAUUUUAAAAUAUUAAAAAUAUAAUUUUACUCAAAAAUUGCUACAAUAUAAAAAAAAAUUAAUGAAGUCCUAAUAUUUUAAAAAUUAAAAUUAAUUUGAUAAGAUAAAUUAUUAAUAAUUUUAAUUAUUUAAAUAAAUUAAUAUUAAUAGAAAAAGUUAUCACCACAUAUUUGUAAUAAAAUUUUAAAAAUUAAAUCUAAAACAAAAUAUUUUAUAUAAAUCAAUUUAUUUUUUAUUUAAAAUGUAAUAAAACAUGUUUUAAUAUAAAAGUAUUUUUAAAAAUUUUAAAUAAAUGAAUAUAAAUAUAUUAAAGGAAUUUAAGCUAAUUUUUUUUAUAAAAAUUUGAUAAAUAUUAUCUUUAAUCAUAUUUAUAUUAAUUACACUUACAAAAAUAACUUUAAUAUGUGUAUUUUUAUUUAUUUUAUCUUUUUUUUUUUUUAAGUUUUCUAAACAUUUUCAUGAAUUUUAAACUAUUUAUAUUUUAUCGAUAUUUUUGUCAAAAUAUUCACUGAUAUUUUUCCGAUAUAUCCAUAAAAUUCAAAUACCGACAUAUCCAUUAUGGAUAUUUCAAACCUUGCAUGAAACUGGGACUGCUUAAUCUAGUUUGAACCAUUGAAGCGAUUUUGAGAUCAUCAAAAAACCAAACCAUCCAAUGUAAAGACGAUAUUUAGUGUUGGUUAUCUAUAAGGUCGGGAUCAUCAAAGCACCACACCAAACCAUUAAAUGUAAAGACGGUUUUUAGUUCUAGUUAUCCAAUUAUAGAAGUAACCCUAUUGGCUUUUGCUUUUGCGUCUCUUAAAAAAUUACAAUCAUGGUAAAAUCUUGAUUUAUUUAAUCAUCAAAGACUUCCAAUCACAUGAUAAUUUUUCUAUGAAGCUCGUUAAAUAUACUUUCUAUUUUUUUGUUUUUAAAGAUAAGAAAUAAUAGUAAAACACUAAGUUAUAAUGAAGUGAUAAUAAAUAUAGAAGUUUCUAAAUCAUCAAAACACCAAACCAUCCAAUGUUUAGUGUUGGUUAUCUAUAAGGUCAUGAUUAACAAGACAUCAAACCAUUCAAUGUAAAGACGAUUUUUCAAUUCUAAUUAUCUAAUUACAAAAUCAAUCCCAUUUGCAUCUCUCUAAAAUUAUAAUCAUGGUAAAAUCUUGAUUUAUUUAAUCAUCAAAGACUUGCACACGAUAAUUUUUGUAAGACACUUGUUAAAUAUCCAUUCUAUUUUUUGUUUUUAAAUAUAAGAAAUAAUAGCAACUACUAUAUAAAAUACCAUUACUUUUAUACAAAAAUACAAAAAGGAGAAAAAAGAAAAAGAGAGAGAGAGGGUGGACUUCCUUAUAUUCUUAAAAUUACCGUCAAAUUUUUAAAAUUAUGAAGUAAAAAAAAUUCUUUAAUAUUUAUUUAUUUUAAAUAGUUUUGAAAAUCAUUAUUCUAUAGGAGUUCUUAUUAUUUACUAUUUUUAAAUAUAAAAAACAAUAAAUAUGUCCCAACACCACUCAAAGUUAAAAAAAAGACACCUAUAAUUAGAAAUCAAAAUAUGUUACCUACUUUAUACCUACAUAUUAUUAAUAAUUUCAAUUUUUUUAUUACAUAUAGUUUUAAUUAAAAAAAAUAGUUGUAUUUUGUAUCUAAGAGUAUGAUCAUAUAUAUUAACAUAAAAUAUAUAUAAAAAUUAUAUUAGGUCAAGUUUCAAUUGAAUUUGGAUAAACAAAACCUUGAUUAAUCUUAAAUAAAAUUAAGGUUUAUUGAUCCAAUCUUUUUUUCUUUUUUUUUUUUUUUUUGUGUUUCCUUUUUGGUGUUUUUUCAAAUUUAAUAUGAGAUACUUAGGCUUAACUCAAACUGCAGGAUUGCAUAAAAUCUAAUCCAGGCACUCUUUACCCUCAGAAUAAACCAACAUAUAUGAUUUCAUAUGUUCAGUGGGGAGAGAGAGAGAGAGAGAGAGAGAGAGAUGUGAAUUCCUUUAAAAGUGUUAUCUCUGUUGUACUUUGAUUUAUCGGCUAAUUGGAUUAACAUCGCUGCUGAAAGCAACAUGUAUCGUAUUUAAUAUGCGAUUUCCAAGUGGUGCCGCCACUCCCAUUAUCUGUGACAAUGUUACCCACCAUUUAUUAUCUAUGAGAUGUAGACGUAGGAUUUGGAGAUGAAUCCCUUUUAAGUUUUAUCACAAGGGGAUUCAUUUAAAAAUACAUUCCAUAAAGAUUGACAUGUUGUUCAAAAUUAAUGAAAUAAAAUUACUCAAAAAUACAUUCCAUAAAGAUUGACACGUAAACUUUGUUUUUUUUUCUUUUUUCAUUUCUUUUAUUUUUUUCACACUUAAUUGUUUUUCAUAUUCUUCUAAUUAUAUUUUAAAACAAAAUAGUUUCUUUAAAUAAUAAAUUAUAAAAUGAUUUUUUUCACCAAAAGUAUAUUAUGUAAAAUGAUUUUAUUAUAUUCAAUGUUUUAAUGUGAAACUCAAAACUCAAUUUUUUUUAAAUAAAAUUAUUAUUAAAAUUUUAAAAUAAACAAUAUUUAAUUGGAAUGGUUUUUUUUAAAAAUAUAUUUUUUAUUGUGUUCAAUAUGAUUUCUUUUGUAACCCAAACAAAAAUAUUGCAUAUAACUAAAGAUUGAUUAAGAAUAUGAGCAAUGUAAUAAUUAUUUGUGUAUGCGAAAUGAAGACUCAUAAAACAAAGUAUGUAAUCAAGAGCCUAAAAAAGGUCAAAACAUGGUGGGACUUAAAUUAAUAAUUUAUGUGGCUACUAUAAUGUUUUCUUACAAAAAAUUAGUAAUUUAGUAAAUAUUAUAAACAAAUAAAAGAAUUAGAAUUUUAUAAUUAUUAUAAACAAAAUUUAUUUCAUGAAGAAUUUUCUAACUAUUAUAAACGAAAAGAAAUUUAGUAACUAUUAUAAACAAUAAAAAAAUUCAAUUUUUAUAAUUAUUAUAAGAAAAAAAUUUAGCCCAACCACCGUCGUCGGUGGUCGCCGACUUCCAUCCCUGCUCCAAACCCUAAUCGUUGUCGUCGCUGUUACCUCCUAGGAUGUUGGAGCCCUAUCCAGGUCGCCCUUUUUUUUUUUUUUUUGAUAAAUAUAUAUAUAUAUCUCUUUAUAUAAAAAAAAUGAAAGUUAUAAAUUUUACCUGAAAAUAUUGAAUUUCGUCAUUUAUUAUAUUUCGUAUGUGAUUCGUAGUCUUAAUCAACUAGAAUUUAGAUUUAAUAUGUUGAGAGGAGGUUAGAGAUAGUUCUUUAUUAAAAAGGGUAUAUGUGAAAAACAAAAUAUGAUAAAAAAAGUGUUACGUUUAACAAAAGGGAUGUUGCGAAUAGUAGCCCCCAAAAAGAUUUCACCCCUAAACUAUUCAUUACAAAGCUUUCAUUCUUUUGUAAGUUUUUAUUUUUUUUUUUCCUAUAUUUACAAAAUAUUUUCUUUUCAUAAUUGAGAGAGAAGUUGUUAGCAAGAAAAAAAAACUUUGGUAACCUCAUAUAAGGGGUUUUACCAUGUAAGUUUUUUUGCCUCAUUAUUAUAAUUGGGCAAAAAUACUUGAUAAAACACCCUCACGAGAUAAAUUACAUAAAAUUACAACCUCUUUCUCAAUUAGAAGGAGAAAAAUAUUAAGAUGGAGGCCCUUUAAAUAGCCUAUAAAAAUUGUCUCCAUUACUCUCUUAACUAAUGUGUGAUGAUUUAAACCUUAGCAUUGUUUGAAAAUUAUUUUCAAAACAAUUAUAAAAAAAAUUAAAUUGUUUUAUAAUGUUUUAUAAAAUAAAAUUCUAUUUAAUUUUUUUUAACAUGUUUUCUAUAUUUUAAAUAUAAUUUUUAUUAUAAUGCUUUAUUUUCAAUUAUUAUUUAUAUUUAUGAAAUUAUUUUUUAAAAUAACUUCUAAAAAAAAGCAAAAAUAUAAAUAUGUUUAAAAAAAAAUACCCUAUUUAUGUUUUUUUUUUUAAAAAAAAAACUAUUUUUGUGUUUUGAUUACUAAAUAUGUUUUUUCUAUUUUCCUUAAAAAAAAUAGGAAAAUUUGUAUACAUACAUGAAGACAUUCUCAACCUUUUAUUUUAUUUUAUUUUUGAAAUCUGUAAGUAAAGCAAUUGGAUUUCAAGGAUACAAAAGCAUGGAGCUAAAAUAACUCAUUCCGAAUGUUUUUUAAAAUAUUAUUAUGAGUUCCUUUUUUAUUUUUUAUUUUUAUUUUUAUCUAAGUAACUACCUAAAAGAAUGGAUAAAUAAUUCAAUCUUGGUGUAUUCUAAUUUAAAAAUUUAUUUGAAUUUUCUUAGGAUGUAUUUGACGGUCAUUCUACAAAAUGUUUUUAACUUUUUUAAUACUUGAAAUUUUUUAUUUUUCAAGUAUUAGAAAGGUUAAUAACACUUAUUAGAAUCAUUAUCAAAUGCACUCAUAGUCAUCAAUUAGGACAUACAUUAUUAAAUAUACAUGAAAAAAUAACCUUUCAUUUAGACCUCUGGUAAUAAAUUUUUAAAUAGAAUAAAAUUAAUGGAAAUUUUUAGUCAAAUUAAAAAAAAAAAAUCAUAUUUUGAUGAAGUGUUGAUCUUAGUAAACACAGCAGGUAGAAAAUAUACUUUUUAAGGGCACUAGCAGCUUUAGUUAUUUGGUGGUGUCCAUUUCAUCACUUCAUUGUCUCCACUUUUCACUUCAUGCCAAAUCAUGUGAAGGCAAGUUUAAUCCAAGAACCAAAGACAUGGGCAUAGUUGUUAAUUAAUUAAUGGGAGCCACUUGCCCAUUGGAAAUAGUCAUUAAAUUUAUGGUGAUGGACUCCUCAAUGUAAUGGAAAAUGUAGUUGACUUGAUUAGGAGAUAGAGAUGAAAUUAUUUAAUUAUAUGAUGAUAUACUUCUAAUGAGUGUGACAAGCAUUUCAAUAUUUCAUUACAACAAGAUAUCUAGGAGUUGGAGAAUAAUAUAAUGGGUCAGGUUCUUGUUAACCAGCCCUACUGAGAUUGUUAUUGAUGGUGACAUGGUUAGGGAAAGGGAGAGCGAGAAAAUAAUGUUCUUAUACUUCUUAUUGUUGUCUAGUUUAUAUUAAUAAUCACUUGUGCUUAUGAGAUAAGGAUGUAUUAUUAUAUUUAUACUAUUUUAAUUUCAUUUUUUUUAUCAUAAUUUUAUUAUUUCAUUUUAUUUUUUUAAUUGUUGUGAAUGUUGUGAGUGGGUGAGUUUUAUAAGAGAAUAUGGACUUACAGUAUAAUGUAACGACGUUAUCCACUCUCUUUCUUUCAUAUUAAAAAAAUUGAGGAGUUAUACAUUAGAGAAACAACGCUGAGUUAAAUGAAAAGAAUAAUUAUAUCGUGAUAAUACUUUUAUUUUUUAUUUUUUUAUUUUAGUAAGUAAUGAUUAAAUGUUUGGUUCGUGAAAUCAAAUUUUUACAACAAUUGGAUUCUAAAGAUCGUUGUAUUUUCGGAGAAGAAUACUAAUCAACUCUGGACAGAAGAAGACUUGAUUUUUCUUAAGAGAGCACUUCAAUGCUCCUCGAUCAAGCUUUUUCUAAUCUUUAUAUUUUUCUAAUUAAUAUAAUCUUUGAUUUAUUGUUGAUAUUGGAAUUUAUGUAUAUCUAAAUAACUUUCUCUUUACUACAUCUUAAAUUGAUAUUGUCAUCUUAAGUGAACUAGUAUUUUCUUAAGGGUCCUAAUAGUCUCUAUUCGAACUCACAUUCCUAGGUGACACAUUGUUUAAAGGAAGGGCGUUUUGGUAAACAUGUAACAUUACACAAGAACUUAUGAAUGAUUUUUUAUGAUAGUACUAAUUAAUUAAUUGCAGUCUAAUGAGACUAAUUAAUAAAUUAAGACUCAAUGAACUAGAUUAAGUGACUCAAACUCAAAAUAUGUUCAAGUUACUUAAUCACAUAAGAAAGUUUAUGUAAACCCUUUCUAAGGGUUUAGAACACUAAUCAUUGUAUCUUUAAGAGAAGAACAAUGGUCAAUUCUAUAUAGAAGAGAAUAUAUUUUUUCUUAGGAUAGUGCACCUACGACCUCAAUUGAACUUUUUCUAAUGAAUUUAAUUUUGAUAUUUAAUUAUUAUUGAAUUUUAUUGGAAUAACAAUAAUUAAACAAAUUUUUUUGGAUAAUUUUUUAUAUUUACCUAGUUUUGAAUUUAGGGCAUAUAGAUAAAAAAAAAUCUGCUUAAAAUAUAUAAUAUUAAUAUUUUUAAAAUUUUAAAUUAUGAAGCAAUGAAAUAAUAACAUAUACUAUGUUAUUUCAUUUAUCUAUUUAUUUUAUUUUGUUUGAUAAAUAUUAGGAGAGAUUGCUAAUUUCAACAUACCAUCAAUUGACAAAGAUUUUUUUUUUCAUUUUUAAGGGAAAAAUAAUUUGCAAUAAUUAAGUAUGAUAUCUUGAAAAAUGUGCAAAGUUUCUAAUUCAUUUUAGUGUGAAGUUUAUUAAUAAAAAUACAAAGUGGCAAAUUGCAUGGCAUGUUAAAUAGGAGGGUAGGCAUUGAAAAAAUUAAUAAAUGUGGAUGAGGGUGCAUGUGGUGAGACUAUGUGCUCCCUAGGGAAAGUUGAUGGUUUAUUUCCAUAUAUUAUUAUGGCCAAUGUUGAAGUGCAUCUCAUGUGCUAACCAUAAGUUUACCAUUAAUUUUGUACUCAUAUCGAGUGUUCAUUAAAUCUCAUUUAAAUUUUUUAUUGUCGUCCUCGAUUUUUGAGCUAGGUUUACAAAAAAAUACAAGAUUAAAAUAAAAAUUAAAGGUAUGUUCAAGUGUUUUUCUAGCAAAUCUCUCUUAUGGCUAAGUUAACUUGGAGGAUUCAAUGGAGUAAAUUUAAGGGAAAGAAUUUUCUUACCUCCAAUUUUUGUCCUUUUAUUGUUAUAUGAAAUACAUUUUGUAAUAUCUUUUUGACCAUUAUAACCUCUUUUAAUUAGGUAACGUUGACUUGUUGAUGCUGCAUAACGAUCGACUUGCACAUAAUGGACAUUCAUUUAAGACGACUUACUAUCCGAAUAGACUUUGGUCAAACGAAACCAUUUGAAUUGACAUUACUUGAGAUGAGAUGUCUACUAAAUAUCUUACUGUUCAAGUGCCCACAAUUACAUUAUUGAAAAAAAUAAUAAAUAAAAUUAGAAUAAUUAUAUAAUGAUAAUUAUGUAAAAAAUUAUUUUUUAUUCCCUAAAUUGAAUGUAACUUCAAAGUAGUAAUAAUGACAAUAAUGUAAGCAAGAAAAUUUAGAAAAUAAAAUAAAAUGAUUAUGAAGAAUACCUAAAAAUUUAAAAGUGAAAGACACGGUACACAAAACCAAUAAACCAAAAUUAUUUGAUAUAUUCAUUAAAAGUAUUUUUUAAGUAGGGAAAAUGUAAAUCAUUGCAUAUUCUUUUACAAAAACUUCACUCUUUUCUAGGUAGCAUAUUAUAGGUGUUGAUAUUAGUGAUGCUAGGGAGAAUUUUUUUUUAAGACUUUAAAAGCAACGGUUGAAAGUGAAAAGCAACUUUCAAUAUUGUCUGGACAUAACUUUUAGUCAUAGAUUCUACACUUUAAUAAUGUGAUUUAUUGGUAAUUUUUUGUUAUCAAGCAUAAUGAAAGAAAUGAAAAUUUUUAUUUAAUUAAAAUUAUAUAAAAAUAUUAAAAUUAAUCUUAUAUGUAAUAAAAAAUAAUUUCAAAAAUCAAAAUAAAAUCUUCAAAUAAUCCACUAAUUACGAUCGAGUUUCACCCUUGUAAUCUUAUAUGCACAAAAUGCAUCAACACUCUACGAUUAAUAUGAUUUUUUUUAAUUAAUAGAUAAUUGAGUAUUAAUUUACUUCAUGGAUACAGAUAUCACAUUGAUCGUCGAAUUAUGUUAAAAUUUUCAUAUUUAUUGUAUGUGUACAUAAUUUAGUUAACACCCGAGAAAACAAUUUAAUCAUAUUAAAAGGUAAUUUGAUUACAUUUUAGAGCUAAUUUAGUCUAAGCACUUUUGUGAUUAUUAAAUCCAAUAACAAAUAUUUCAUUUUUAUUUAAUGCAAUAACUCGGCAAAUGGAAGCAUCACGCCUCCUCCACAAUAGUCUACACCCUCCACGAAAACCUAAAAUCGUAUUAAAUUAAAUAAACCCCUCUCUCUUAUCUAAUCCAGAACCACAAUCAACCCUGAAUAGGGAUGACGUGUAACAUUUGAUGGGACGGAACUUAUAGUUUGUGCAUAAAAAUUAUAAUUUAAUGAGUUGAUUAGCUUAUUAAUUCACAAAACAGACAUUAAGUUACAACUCAUCUCAAGAGUCAUGACUAAUCCUUUCACAGCCGAAAUUCCCAGAGCCAUAUACGUCACCCAGUACAUCAAAUUUCAAAAUUAAAAUUAAUGUAACAUAGCCAAGUGUCACGCCACCUAUUAGGAUUCCUAAAAAUAAAAAUUAAUUAGCAAGUUUUAAAAUAUAGGUGGGAGAGCCCUUUCCAACUUGCAUAUAAUUUGUUAAGUAGCGUUGAGCUUUUUACUUCAUUGAUUUCAAAUUUAAAAAAUAAAGCACCCUUAUAAAUUUAUUUUGUUUAUAAAAUUUAUGUUUUAGGGAGAUUUUAAAUAAAAAAAAAAUUUAGAUAUGAGUAUUUAAUAAUUUUUUAAAAACUAUAUUUUAUUUUUAAAAAUUUAAAAUUUAUAUAUAAAAAACAUUGGGGUGCUAACUGAUAACAUGUAGCUUAGUACUGGUAACAUAUAGCUUAGUGUAUUUAUAUUAAAUCUUAAGGUGUCUCAAUAAAAUUAAUCCUAAUAAUAAAAAAAGGGAAUUGAAAUGAAUUAUAAUAUUAUAUAAAACAAGAAUUGGUCCUCCCCCUUAUACAAUAGGGUCGAGACACUAAUCAUGUCAAAGUCUCCUAUCAAACAAAUUAUUGAAGUUGGUUCUAAGUCGAUUAGUGAUCCAAAAAAGGUUGUUGAACAUAGUAUCAAAGGGACACAACCUAUCAAAUGUGUUCUAAAGUCCAUGGAUAAAGAAGUUAAAGAGAUGACUUAAUUGCAGUCGAAUCAACGGAGAUUAGAGGAACAAUCCUCAUAGUCACUAAAGGUAACUAGAGCUGGUUUUUUUUUUUUUUUUUUGUUAUAAUCCCAAUAUGAUUUGAGUUUUGAUUUUUAUCAAAAUGAUUUUUUUAUCAUUAUUUUUAUAACAAGACAAAUCUAAAUAAAGUAAUAAAUGAAAAAUAAAACAAAAUUUUCAUUGCUAAGGGAAUGCUUCAAAACAUGGUACAAUAUUUUAAAUCUAGGAUAAUUAAAUUAUCAUGUUCUAUCUAUACCAUUGCAUAAAGAGAAUGGUUUUUUAUUUCACUUUGUUGAGGACAAAAAUAUGAGUUUUAGCCAAAUAGAAGAUUAAUGAAUAAAAAACGACAAACUGAAAUUUAAAAGUACAUAUUUAAAAGCAAGAUCCAAAAUGUCUAGAAAUAGAUAUCUUUUACAAAAAAUAUCUCCUAAAGGCCCACCCAAGUAAUGAUUCUCCGCUCCCAAUCUACCCUAAAAUCAUUACAAUGAUUCAUUACAAAAUCAACCAUAAUUCGCAUUUCAUGAACAAUGAACGUGAUGGCACAUGAUUUUGUUUCAUGAGGGUACGUUUGUUUCAUUUGAAGGAAAGUUAAAAAAUUUUCAUUUAUUUAACUCUCCUAUAUAAAUAUUAAAUAAUUUAAAAAUAUAUAAUUUUUUUUAAAUAAUUUUAAUUAUAUUUGAUUUUUUUUAUAUUUUUCAUAAUAAAACCAAAAUAAGAAAAUAAUUUUCUCUAACUUUUUUUUUCUUUCUCUAAUUUUUUGGGAAUCAAAUAUAGCUUUAAUAUUAUCAAGAAAAAAAAAAUAUAAAAAAAUAUAAAAUAAAGAAAAGAAAUAACUAAAAAAGAUUUUAUUACAGUACCAAUCAACCAAAUUACGAUAUUUAUGCAUUUUAGAUCCUAUUGUUUUGUAUAAAAAUUUAUUCAAUUAUUUUGUAUCUUGAUUUUAUUUAUUUGUAUUUGGUUUUACUUUAUUAAUACGAGAGUAUAUAUAUAUAUAUAUAUAUAUAUAUAUAUAUAUAUAUAUAUAUAUAUAUAUACACACACUGGGGUUCUUACUCUACCAUUUUGCAAGUAAAAAGAGGUAGUAGUGGACUAUAAAAAAGGGGAUUGGAAAAUGAUGUAUAGGUGGUUGGUGAAAAAAUGGUAUCCAACAAAUGGGUGUCUUGAAUUCCACUUUAUAGGGUGAGGAUGAGAUACCAUCCCUUCCAUCUCCCCUCCACCAUCCACUUUUACUCCACCAAACCCUGGGGUUGGAGCUCAAUAUACCUAUAUACCCACUUUCACAACAAAAAUUAAAUUAAUAAAAAAUUAAAAAAUAUAUUAUUAUAUUCUAAAAGCUUUGACUUGACUAAUAUUAUUUUCUCUGGGAUUUUAAGGAUCAAAUUAAAUUUAACUUGAAUAAAUUAUUUUUUAAUUCAAAUUAAAUUUGAGAAUGGGUAAAAGUGGCAUUUUCGCUAUCAUAGUAUCCGAUGCUACCAACCGUCUUAUGGAAACAAUCGGAAGAUAAGCGGUUCAACUAACUUUUCAUGUUGAGUUUCUACGCACUCAAAUAUUAAUAAAGAAGAUCUACCUGUAUAAAUUUUAUAAAAUACUUGAUUUUAUGGAAAAUGAUAUUAUAUUUAUUUUUAAAAAUUAAUUCUCUUAUUUAAAUUAUUUAAACACAAAUAAAAAGUGAAUAAUAUUUUAAUUAAUUAUACUUUCCAAAUAAAAUCUUGUGAGGUUUGGAGAAUCUGACAUCAAAUCUGAUCAUAAUUAAAAGAAAGAAAAACGAGAUCCAUCAAAUUACGUUUCAGAAAAAAAAAAAAAAAAAAAAAGGAAAAAAAGUAAACCGAGUCAGCAGUGGCCAGUGAGCACCACAUUAAUCAGAGUGGAGAUUCCAAUUGUUUUUCUAAACCUGGCUAUCCCAAUUUGUAAUUUUAUUUAUUUUUAUUUUAUAUAUAUAUUUUUUCUGGAGCCACUGCUGCAAGCAAGAUUUGAGUGCCAAGAGUGUGAAGAGGAAAAAGAAGAGGUGGUUGAUGUCUUCCUUGGAAAAAGAAUUCUAAGAAAAAGACAGCGGUGGUGGCCGGUGGGGGCGAUGAGCGGUUGGAAGGUUUUUGUGUGAGAGAGUGUGUGUGUGUGUUUGAGGAUGAGCAAUGGGAGUGAAGAAUUGAGGUUGCGGUGUGGUGGUGGAGCAGGGAUUGGACUGGUUGGGAGACCAUUUGCUAGGGUUUUUUCGGAGUGGAAUCUGGAGGAGAUGGUGAGAGUUUGAAUUCAAGGUUGGAGUUUCAUAAUUCUGAGGGAAAUCAGUGGGCGAAUAUGAUAUCCGGCGGGGUUAAUUUGGUGAUGACAGUGAUUGGAUUCGCGGUGAGUACGAUGUUCAUCGUUUUCGUCUGCACGCGCCUCGUUUGCGCCCGAAUCCAGUUGAACGCGUCGCGGAGAUCGUUUCCUGUUGCUUCCAGAUCUGAUCUUAGUAUUGUGAGCAUUUUUUCUUAUCUCUUUUUGUCCUCAGUGGUUCCCUGUUUGGUUACUGCAAAAGCAUGGGACUGCAGAAUGGAAAACAUAGUUUUGAAUCUUUUGUUUCCAAAUAAUUGACACCAUCUCUACCGAGCUUAUUUUUUCUUCCAAGUUUUCUUAGCGGCCAAACAGAGGAUAAUGUUUCAUUUUUUCCCCUCUGUAAUUAAAACAGAGGAUAAUGUUACAAUUGUGCCGCUAGCGCUCUUUUACCUUCUCAUCCCUUCUUUUCUUCUCUUGCUAUUAAUGUGUUUUGGCAUUUGUUUGACUAAAAUUUAAUGGUUAUGAUAUCAUUUUAGCAUUAGGAAGGGGUUUGCAUUUUUUAUCUUGUAUAUGGCCUUUCAGGUUUUUCUAUUUGAAUUACACUCGGUUUUCUCUUAAAAUAGGAAUAUCAUAAAUUAUUUAUUUAUUCCUUUGAUCUUCUGAUAUGCCCUUCUUGUGUCUCUCUGUUUUGUACUUCUAACUACCAUCACUUUGAUCUAGAUAAAUUGAUCAUAGUUUUUCUUUUUUCUUUUUUGAACCCCUUUUAGUACCUUAUACCGUUCUUUGCUGGUUUGGACUGGUAGGUAUUGAUCUAUUGCUUCUGGGUUUGGGGUUUACUUUUAUGGGCCUCGCCGGUCCUUUUGUUUGCUCUCAUGUAUUUGAAAUGCAAUAACUAGGAAGACAGUUUUAAAUACCACACAUAAGUUACCUGGCAUGCCAGUUUGGUGCAGCUCUUUAUUGUGUUUGCUAGUAGUUUUCCUAAUAAGAAAGAAAAACAAGUGAAGGAACAUGCUUUAGUAAGAGGAAAACCUUCUACUUCUUAAUGGAUAUUUGGGUAUUGGAUGUAAAUUUUUUUAGAGUAUAUGAUGCUCUAAUUUGAUGCACACCUUCUCACCUUUAGAAGAUUUGAUUUAUGUUCUCUGGAGCACUCAAUUGUUGUUCACUUUUUAUGGUACAGUUGGAGCGAGGUUUGCAUGGCCUUGAGCCUGCUGUUGUAGCCAACUUUCCAACAAAGAAGUUUGCUGAUGAGUUUUUCUCCCCUGCAGAGGAUGCUCAGUAAGUCCUUUUCCUUGUGCUAUUCUUAGUAUGCUAGCUGUUUUGCAUUGUCACUCGUCUGGACUAGACUUGUGGGGUGAGAUUCUACACAUCCUCCUUUGUAGUGAUAUUUUGAUAUAAACCAUUAAGAUAUCUGCUUCCUAUGAUAGAGAGAAGAUAAAAAAUCAAAUCAUUUGAUUUCUAUAGGAAGUUAUCCCAUUAGAAUUUUCUGUCUGUGUGGCAUUGAAGUUUGGUCUUACAUUGGAACACACACUAGUCAUUUGGAGUCAAUCAUUUGAACUGAUGGAACUGAUCAUCAGAUGCAAAACUGAGGAGACAGUAGGAGUUUUCUUUUGUGUAAACCUCUGCUAUCUCUAUUAUUUGUUGCUGUCCCAAGGGGGAAGAAUAUGAGAGGGGGACAUGGAAAAAAAAUGGAAAUUGAGCGGUACAAUUUUUUCAUUUGUUCUAAUGCAAUUUUGUCACUGCAAUAUGUUUUAUGUUAAGUUUCUGUGUGGUUGCUAAAAAUUAUAAGAUCCAAAAUUUCCCUAAACCAGUUAGAAAGAGUCAACCCAUUUCAGAAGUCUUUUCAGACUACAGAUUUUAUCUGCAUAGUUUUUGGGUAAUGCUUAUGCCCUUUUAGUGCCUUUGGAUCAACCCUUUCCGGGUAAUGUUCGCUGGAUUGUGAAACUUCAGGGCUUUCCUGAUUACUUCCUUCUGUGUUCAUCUUUGUGAUGGCUGAUUCUGGGGCCACCUGAGUUUGAGCAUAAAAAAUCUGUUUCUACUUGAAACUGUCAUAUGAUGUAUCUGGGGCUUAACAUUUGCAAAAGAAAUUAUCAAUUUUGUGAAAGUAGUAAGAUAAAUGCAUAUUUGGAGACUGACAAAAUCUUAAGGCUUCUCUUUGAGAGCUUGUCAUCAGAAUAUUAUUUCUAUGCAGAGCUUCCAUGACUGAGAGUUGGAGGGAUUGAUGUUCUUCCAAAGGCUUUUCCACGAGGUUUUCUAGGGAUAUGGAUGUUAUUUUGGUUUGGAAAAAGAAAUUAGGAUUGGAAAUUCGUGGUCAGAUCAUAUUAUUAGGUUUUUCAUGAACACAAGGGAGGGUUCUCAUGUGGUAGGCUGCUCUUGUGUUUACAAAAAAAAAGGUGGCUUUCUUAUUUUGAUUGGUGGAUAGGGAUUGAUGGAUAGGAUUGAUGCUUGAGGGUAGACAAUUUGAUCAAAUGGGAAUUGGUCUGCUCUAAAUAGAGGCAUUAAGUGAAACAGUGAAUGCAAAUCGUGGAAUUGCAAAGUGACUUUACAUUGUUAGACCUUAUUGUUCUUGCUUUUCAAUGUCCAAUGCAUUCUCCCUUGGUUGGUCUUCUGCAUUUUGUAGGCAAGGAACAAAAUCUUGAUAGUGAUGGCCAUCUGAGAAAGAUAUCAACAAUUCUUUAAUACUGGUUUCAUCUUGGAAUAAAUGACAGAAAUUAAUACCAAAAAAUGAAAUUAAAAAUAAAAUCUUCAGGAAUUGCUGAUAGAUAUGAUAAAAACAUAACACACACACAAACACAAGAUGUUUUGGUUCAGGAGAUACAAGCAUGGUAUACGAUAUGGAAAUCUUAUUUUGAUCCACUAUUAUCUUGGAUAAGAGAACAAGAUAAAUUAUCAUUGCCACAUCUAUAUCCCUUGGUUGUGGGAUAUGAAAAACAUAUUAUAUAAGGAAGAUGGGAUUUUCAUAUCCCACAAACGAAAACAUAGAGAUUUGUGACAGAACUUUUUGAUGUACUUAAGGUCUUGUUUGGAAUCCUGAUAUCAAUAUAUUAGUUUUGCUUCCACAAGGAGUCCAUCUUUAUUGAAUCUUUUCAUUAUCUAAUUGCUUUACCUGCUUUACCAAAGUGUGAGGAGCCAAUUUUGUACACUUCAUUCUUGAAACUAUUCUGUCCUCUGAAAUAUGCAAGAAGCCCAUCUUGUUUAGUCAUCCGAUUCUUUAAGUUACACCACUCUCUCAAUUUGACAGUAAGGAGUUCAUCUCUUCUCUCUAAUUAACAUCACCACAGCUUCUUGAUAAAGACUUUGACUAGCUUCCUAAUCAAAAUCCACAUGGAUGAAUGUCUCCUUUCUCAUUGUCAUCAUAUUAUUUAGAUGUUUAGUUCAAGUGUAAUCAUCAAAUGCUGAGAUUUCACUCUCUUGACCACUGAAGGAAACUAUCAAAUUCAAACCUUACUCGAACCAUUAACCAGACACUAGAAUCAGCUAUUAAACUCUUUGCAUGUCCAGAUAUAUAUAUAUAUAUAUAUAUAUAUAUAUAUAUAUAUAUAUAUAUAUAUAAUAUCCUGUAAAUAUGUAUAUCUAUCAGACUGAAUAAUCUAUAAACCAAACUUGGCCAUUGAAGUUUGUAUCAUAAGGUUUACAAGUUCAUGGAUGAAAACCCAAAAUUGCAGAAAGAAAUAUUUACUUACAAGGAAACUAAAAGGGAUUUUGUAAAUAUGAAAAGAGUGUCAGACAACAAGACUGUAGAAAGUUGCAGAUAAAAAGGGCUGCCACAAGGUGCUAAAGAAGGCUGCAUUUGGAAGCCAACAAUGCUGUUGUACUGAGAUCUUUGAGUUCAUGGCAAUAUUUCUGAGACCAGCAAUGUCAGGGGAAAGAAAAAGGUGAUGAAAAGGAAUACCAAGAUCUUGGUAGUUCUCUAUUAGAAAAGGCAUGCUUGAGACUGAGUUUUCUUACCACUUACCAAGAUAUGAGAUCUCUCCAUUCCGAAUGAGAUUUUGGUCCAUGGUUAUAUGGUUGACAGUGUUUUGGGUUGCGACCUCUUUAAAGGAAAAAGUUUAGAAGCUGUUAGGUUUUUAUGGUACACUUCUUGGGUUUUACCCAGCAUGUACAUGAGUUUUGCGACUUCUUCCCUGAUUUCUUUGUACGCAUUCUUUUUUAUCCUAAAGAGAAAAAGGAAUGGUUUACUAUUUUGCUGCAUAUGUGAUAAGUUUGCUGAAAUAUUUGUCUUCAAUGCAGGCAAGCAAGCUAUUUGACACUGUAUUUAGAUAGUCUGAUGUUUUCUGUAACUAGGUAGGUCAGAAUUAGCCACUUUGUGAUGAUGUAGAUUGGUGCAUGGAGUUAGAAUUUCUUCUUAGUAAAGUUCUUGUCCUUCUCUGUUCAAAGUUUCAAGUCAUUCUGAUUCCUCUCUUUAGUCUUAUUCAUUACCACAAUUGGACCAUGAGGGGAGGAGAUGCAUGGAUAUACCUCAUCCAUGCAUAUAUUGCCUACAUUACCUCAAUAAUGUAGGACAAUCUUGAGGUGAUUACCUACAACCAAACAAAAUGGGAUAGGAUUUCGUUUAGAAUUCAAGGAGAGGAACCUUGAUUAAAGAUUGUGGCAGCAAGGAAAGAUAAAAUAAAAAGCAGAAAAAAGAAGAAAAUAAAUGGAGAAAAGAAAAAGGGAAAUCUUUGGUGGAAGGAAAAUGUAGGAACACCAAUUUGGAGCUUUUAGAAUUUUCUGAAUAAAGUACAAAAGGUCUUCAGAAAGAGUUGAAAACACGAAGGUGAAUAGAUUACUUAACACAUUUCAUGGACCACAAUAUAAAAGAAAUAUGAAUAUUACAACUUUCUUUUUUUGUUUUUUGCAAACUGUGCUAGGUUUACACUUUUUUGUCUUUCUCUUUAUACUCACUUGAAACACCUUUUACCCAAAGCGUAAAAGGAAUGGUCAAUGAUGAUUUUGUUUAUAUUUGAAAUCAAAUACUAUCUUAGAAGUAUUAUCAUUACUUUAGGUUGUAUUGAGUAUUUUGUUUCAUUCAUUAAACUAUUUUUUAUCAUGAUUGGAUAUAUUUUGUAUUAGAGACUAAUUUACUUUAGUAGAUUAAAGUGUUUACACAACAAAUCAAUUUCUUUGUUGAUUAUAGCAUAUUAGAACCUUUACAACAAUAUUUUAAAAUAAAAAAUAAAGCUAAGAAAACGCAAUUACCUAACUGUAAUUUCAUUCUUUUCCCUAUUUUUCACCUUAGUAAAAAUUUAAUACCAAACAUGAUUUUACAGUUUCAUUUUAUAAAAACUGUGUUUUUUUCUUUCAACCAAAUGGAUUUUCAAAAAGGAAAAAAUGAGAAAUGAAAAUUGUUUUCAAAAAACAAAAUAGAAAACGAAAACUAAAAACCAUUUUGCUAACCAAAUGCAACUUGAGAGUCCCAGUAUCAGAAAUUGUAAUGUAUGAAAAAAAAAAUUGAUAAUAUUUGUCAUCAUUUGGUUCUCAACAAUUUGACUAUUUAUAGACAUUAGAAAACCCAAGAAGACCUAACAAACUAUACAAAAAGAAACCUAAUCUAUAUAUUAACUUAUUAGAACUCCUAAUUCUUUCCUAAAACUAUAAACCUUCCACUUAAAAAAAAAAAACGGAAAAUUGAAAUUUUUAGAAAAUACUUUUUUAGAAAAUGGAAGCUUCUACAAAAUAAACACUUUUAAAAACUUGCCUUAUCCUAUUGGCUUAAAGUUCUAUUAAGAAAAAAGAAACCUUUUAAUAAAAUAGAAACUUUAGAAAAGCAAAACUUUCAGAAAAUAGAAGGUUUAAAAAUAUAGAAACUUCUUUGCCUCAAAUUCUAAAUGAGACUUAAAUGACCAACUAUUUACUAAUUAUGACUAUAAAGAUCCUUAAUAAGCAGAAUUUUCCUUUGAGUGCUUUUUCCUUUUCUGAGUAAAUCUUGAAGAACCUGAUCUGUGAAUGCUUGGACUUGGUUAUAUCAAUCAAUCUUCACUAUAUAUCCUAAUGCUAAGUGUCGAAACUUCCUUGACUUUUCUUUUUAAUUAAACAAACUCCCUCAACUUUUCUAAGCCUUUUUUCAAUUAUUUUGAGGCAUGCAUUCAAUUGUGUAUGCUCCUUUUCUACUCUAAUACAUUGAGUCUUACUUAUCAAAAAAAAUAAAAAAAUAUUUCUAGAACAUUUCUUGAAGGCAAAUGGAUCUCAUAUGUAGCAUGCUCUUAGGCUUUGAAGUUUGCUUAGGUGAGGUCCAAAAUUCUCAUCAUUGAAUUGUCUUGAAGAUCAGUUUCUCUUUGUUUUAUAUUUGGUUUGUUUAAUCUAAAAUUGAGGCUCUCUCUCCUCCUCUAUAUCCUCUUCUUCCACCCCUCCCCUCCCCCCCACCCCCCCUCUCUCUCUCAUAUCUUAUGUCACUCCCUCUCUCCCUUUCUCUCUCUCUCUCUCUCUCUCUCUCUAUUUAUAGUUUAUAUUUCUGAACUUUUUAUUUUCUAAAAAAUUCUUCUUCUCUCAAGUUUCUAUUUGAAAACUUGUUAGAAACUACUAGAAAAUCUUCAUUUUUAAUUCUAAAAGGAAAGUUUCUAUUUUCUUUUGAAUUAUAUUUUUUUGAAGACUCGAGAGUUUUAGAAAAGAAAUAAGAGUAUCAUAUUAUUUCGAUGACUUGAGAGUUUUACAAAAGAAAUAAGGGUAUCAUUUUAUUUUGAAGACUUGAGAGGUUUACAAAAGAAAUAAGAGUACUAAAAAGUUUCAUAGAAGUUAGAUUUCUUUUUUCAUAAUUUUAUUCAAGUUUUAUAGUUUUCUAAAGCCCAUAAAUAAGGCUAAUUAAUAUAAAAUGAAAUUAAUUAUCGAUGAUUAAUGAUAUUAAUUUUUUUCAUACCUUGCAAUUUUCAAUGGUGAGACUCUUAUAUGGUCUUAUUGAGACUUCUAAGGUUUUUUUUAUAUUGCUUCUCUAUGUUUUCUUUUCUUAUCUUUUGUUUAUUUUAUUUCUGCUGCUAUAAUUUUAUUUUUGUUUCUUUUGUUAAAUCUUAAAAGAUUGGAAUCCUAGCCCAUCUUAUUUGAUUAUAUAAAACCAUUCUAUGGUUGAUUCUACAUCACUCUCUCCCUUUCCUCUCCCCUUCUCCCUUUCUCUCUCUCUCUCAAGCAUGCACACACAAAUAGGGGACCUCUGGGUAUGGCUAUAUCAAUAUAUAUGAAACAAUCGUUGAAGGUUUUAAUAUGUUUUUGGAACCAAAUUCUUGAGUCAAUAUGAAUUGAUACACCAUUUUGUGAUACAUGCAAACAAAUACCAUUAUAGUUUGUGGAUUGCACCUAGAUAUCACUGCCUGUAAAGUGGUAUUUUUCACUUGCGGCUUCUUGUAGCAGUGGUUUGGAUGUGGGAUUUUGCUCAUUCAUUGUUGUCAUUAUUUAUGCUUCAUGAUUUUCCUGCUAAUGGUACUGGAAAAUAUCAUAAAUGGUAGGUGCACAGUUUGCCUAGUAGAAUACCAAGCUGAAGAUAUAUUGCGUAUUCUCCCUUACUGCGGCCACUUCUUCCAUGUUACAUGCAUAGACAUAUGGCUGCAGCAGCAUUCCACAUGUCCUGUGUGUCGAAUUUCAUUGUGGGAGUUUCCUGAGAGAAAAUGCUUGAUGCAACCCAUGUUCAGUUCAGCUGUUCGAUCACAUUUUGGCAUGGAAUCCCGCAACACACAUUCAUACAACUGUUUGUCAACUGGCCGUGGGUUUUCAUCGAGAUCUCACGACAACCACAGGAUGGACCCCAUUCAAGAGGAUCAGUUUGGGCCAGGAGGUGACGGAGCUGAAGCUCAGGAGAGCACCCUCCCCUUGACCGAUGCUAAUCAGCCUGCAAAGGACUCUGAAAAUAAGCACAUAGAAAGCCCAUCAAAUCCAUGAAAUCCUUCGUUUCUUGGAAUCCUGGCUGCAUUCAUCGUGCUUUCCGAUAGAAUCAAAUUGGAAUUGAAAUUUAUUAAAACCAUCUCCUUGGAAUGCUCUUUUUUUUUUUUAAUUUAUUUUUGUGACUCACUGUAUAUAUACGCAAAAAGUUAUUCCCAGUUUUCCCCUUAGACAGUAGCUUAUUGGUGGGCAUUUUUGUUAGUUCAGUUGUAAAAUUGAAUUCCUUAAAGCUUGCUGGAGUCUCCUUAGAGGCAUGUCCCAUGCAGCAUUUCCACAUCCGUUCGGGUCCAUCCCAGAGCGAGUAUUCAUUGUGAGUUAUUAUCUAAUAAUAUGCAAAUGUACGCCUCCGGAUUCCUUACUAUUAUUUUGACUUUGUGCCCACUACUCGGUGACCAGUCCUUUUCUCAUUCCUGUCAAUGUCCAGGAAAGGAUUAGUAGUACAAGAAAAAGAAAAAGUGGGAAGGACUGAGUCAUGGAGGAAUAGCAUACAUGCAUUUAUACAGUUGGAGUAAAAAUCAGAGUGAAAAAGAGUUAUCCCUGAGGGAUGGUUUGAUUUGUACUCUUCUCCCCCGUCACCAAGGGAUGCAUUGCUACAAAUGCUUUUCUUAUGAAAUACGCAGUCAUUUCCCAGAUAGUACUUUUUACUAAAAAUAAAAAUUUAUUAAUCCUCACAGCCAUUGAAGGAGUUGUUUCCAUUUCUAUAUCGAGUCAUUGUGUGUGGACCUGUUUGGUUCGCCAUAAAUAAAACUGCAGAGAGGGUGAGGGACGAGGGAUGUCUUGCAUGUGAGGUAUUUUGAUGGACUCCCUGUGGGCCUUCAAGACAUUGGCAGUUCAAUGGACUUCAUCAAUUCAUUACAGCAACUCCACCCGCCCAACAACUUUUCUUUAUUAUACCAUGUCCUCCCCGUCACUCCCUCUCUUCUUUAUUUUCAAAUCUGUCAGAGCAUGUUGUGUUGGAGCCACAUGUUUGGGAAAUGAUAAUACUUUUUACUAAAAAUAAAAAUUUAUUACAUUCUCAUUUUCAACCUAAUAAUAAGUCUAUUUAUAAUAAACUAAUUACUAGGAUUUUCCUAUUAAACCAAAAGUCCUAAUCAAUAUAGAAAACCUAAAUAAAUAACAAUUUCUAAUAUUUUUCAAAAUUUUAAAAUUCUUCUAAUUUGACUUUAAGUCAUAUUAUAAUUUUAACAUCUUCCCUUAAUUUGAGUUGUAAAGUCAAUCAUACCAAGCAUCAUCUUAAACUUCUCAAACACAUUUGUCUUUAGUGGCUUUAUAAAUAUAUUUGUAACUUGAUCUUCUGAUUUACAAAACUCAAGUUCGAUCUCUUGAUUUUUCAUGAGUUCCUAAUAUAAUGAAAUUUGAUGUUUAUGUGUUUGCUUCUACCGUAAAACAUCAUAUUCUUUGUCAAUGUAAUAGUAGACUUAUUAUUACAUAAAAUCUUUGUAAGACCCUUUUGUUUAUAUUUCAAUUCACCAAGCAUCCUACGAAACCAAAUUGCUUGAUAUGCUACGGAAGUAACUGUCAUGUAUUCAACUUCUAUAGUUAAUAAUGCUAUAACUUGUUGCUUCUUUGAUGACUAUUAGAAUGCUCAUGUUCCAAGAUAAAAAACAUAUCUAGCAGUACUUUUUCUAAUCUCUACAUCACUUCCUUAGUUACUAUUUGUGUAGCCCAUUAAACUGAAAUUGUUUGAGUAGGAGUAGAAAAUUCCAUGAUCACAAGUACCACUUACAUACCUCAAAAUUCGUUUUGUUGCUUGCAAGUGUGAUUGAUACAGUUUUUCCAUAAAUCGACUAAUAAUUCUCACUCCUUAAACAAUAUAUGGUCUAAUAGAAGUUAAAUAACGAAGACUUCCUACUAUGCCCUUGAAAUAUGUGGGAUUUGCUAAUUUUCUAGUGUUUUUUUUUUUUUCAUCUUUAGUCGCUCUAUAAUAGGAGUAUGGAUUGUUGAUGAUGAUUCCAUCUUGAAUCACUUUAGAAUGUUUGUCAUGUACUUUUUUGUGAGAUAAAGAUACCAUCAUCUAUUUGUUGGACUUUAAUUCCAAGAAAAUAGGACAUUAAUCCCAAAUCUAUCAUUUCGAAUUGUUGUUUCAUUGCCUCAUUGAAAUCUUUAAACAUCUAUUGGCAAUUUCCUAUAAAAAUUAAAUCAUCUACAUAGACACAUACAACAAUUAUAUCACCAUUAAGAAUUUUAUUUGAUAUAAAGUGUAUGCUUAAAAGAACUCUUUUGAAAUUCAUGCCAUAAUAGAUGAGUAUCAAUCUACGUGUACCAAGCACGUGGUGCCUACUUUAACCUAUACAAUGCCUUUUUGAGUUUGUGAACUUGUUUCUGUUACCCUUCCUUAAUAUACCCUGGUGGUUGUUCAACAAAAACUUCUUAUUCAAGUACACCAUUAAGAAAAGUUGACUUCACAUCCAUUUGGUGAAUUGUCCACCUUUUUUUGAGCUUUAAGUGCAAUUAUCAUGUGAAUGGUAUCUAAUUUAGCAACUGGUGUAAAAACUUCAAAAUAAUCAAUAUCUGGCUUUUUUUUAUAGCCUUUUACAACCAAUAUUGCCUUGAAAUCGAUCAACAUUACCAUCAGGUUUAUAUUUUGUCUUAUAAGCCCAUUUAACACCUAUAGGCUUCUUUCUAACUGGAAGAGUAGUUAACUCCCAUGUAUUGUUCUUCUCUAUGGAUUGAAUUUCUUCAUUCAUUCCUUGAAUCCACUUCUCAUCGCUUGCUUCUUCAUAUAAAUAGGAUCACAAUCUACAAAUAGACAAAAGUUAACUAAACCUUCAUCGAUGAGUUUGAUAUCUUUCAUGACUUCAUAAUCCCUUAGAUGUGUAGGCAUAAUGCGAGAAUGUUUUGGGCAACCUUGUGAUUCAAUUUUUUGCCUUAUUUUUGUUUACAUUGGAGAACUUCUAAUAGGAGAAUGCAUAUUUGAAAUAGAUUUAUCUGUAAUAGAAUCCUUCAGAUUCUCGUUGUCUUCCACAAAGUUUUCUUCAAGGACAACUCUUUUUUCUUCAUUUUGUGUUUGAGUCCAUUUCCACCUCUUGUUCUCUAGGAAUUGAACAUCUCUAUUCACAAUCAACUUCCCUAUUUCUAGAUCAUAUAGUUUGUAACCUUUAGUUACAUCACUAUAACAAAUGAAAAUACACUUCUCAUUUUUAUCAUCAUUUUUUUUCUGUGCUCCUUUGGUAUAUGGGAAUAUGUAAUACAUCCAAAAAUUUGCAAAAAAGAAACUUCUAGUUUAUGACCACUCUGAGCUUUCUCAGGUGUUCUUCCAAAGACUAUUUUAGCGAGACAUUUAUUCAAUAAGAACACUACACGAGUAACAACUUUUGCCAAAAAAGUUUUUGGAAGAGACUUUGCCUUCAACAUGCUUCUUGUCAUUUCAACAAUGGUUUUGUUAUUCCUUUUAGCUAUACCAUUUUGUUAAUGUGUAUAACUAGCUGUCAAUUUUUGUUGAAUACCCUGACUUUUGCAAUAAUUAUACAACUCAUUGGAGGUGAACUCUCUAUUAGAAACCUCAGACCCCUCCAUUCUCAUGCCUUAGAUCUCAUAGGGUGCAUAAAAAUUUAUCCUAGACUCUUUAAAUCUAUUGCAACAGAAAACUAGGUAUUUAAAAACCAAUAUUGAUACUACAAAAAUCAUAGAUCUAGGAAAUAAAGCCACAUACCUUUGAUCCAGAUGUUCCCAAAUUGAUUUCAAUCGAUGUAAAUAACUCCAAAGUCCUAAUGAAUCUCGUAAACACCAUGAUCUUCUGCUUGAUGACUCUUCAUUGUGUCUAAGCAUUGGGAUAGUUGAGAUCUCGAGGGUGGAGGCUAGGGUUUUUUUUUAGACUAUAGGGAGAAAAUGGCAAGACAUGGAAACCCUAACCCUUAAGGGGGUAUUUAUAUGUUUCCUACUAAGUUUAAGUAACUUAAACCCACCAUGGUCUUGGGUCACUUAAUCAAGCCCAAAAAGGUUGCUAAUUGAUUAAUUAACCAUACAAGGUCCUAAUUAAUCAAUUAGCCUAGUCUAGAGAUACCACUCACUUAUUCUCAUGCAACCUUGUGUAAUUACCAAAACGCCUUUAUGCACAAAAGUAAACUAAAAACCCAUCAACCCUCAUAAAUCGUGCCACCAAGGAAUGAGUUCAGAGCGGGGACUAUUAAGACCCAUAAGAGUACUGGCUCCUUGAGAAUCAAAUUCUAAAACUGACUCAACAUCCCACUAUAGAGAGUCAAUUACACUCCAGUACCCUAUGUACAUUACAACGAUACACCAAGUGCUUGAGUUCGUGACCUAUUAUCCAUUGCAUGCAGACUCUUCAUGAACCGAUACCCAUAAUCUAAUAAGGUAGUUUUAUCACUUAUCAAGAUUACCUAUUAAAUCCUUGAGUUAUAGAUCUCACUUAUUAUGUUAUUAACUAACAUACUUUAUCUCUAAGGAGCAUAUAUCAAAUUACGCUAAUGGAAUUAUUGUGACCAUAAAUUUCAUGAUCACAUGUCUUUUGGAUCGACAUACUAUCGUAAUUCCAUGAGAUAUCAUGGUGUUUCCAUUGAGAAUGCCUGUUGCCACUAACCUCCAUCAAUAGUGACCCAAUCCAUAGGGAUAUAUGACCACUUUAGGGUCUCAUUUAUAGGUCAAAGUCUUGUGUUGAUUUUGAUAUAGACUCAAUAUCCUCUCAAGGUUGAGAGUCCAUGCAGUAUAAUAGUUUGGUGAAUCAUGACAAUUGAUAGCCUUGCGUCAUGAUUCACCAUAGGUUUUGUCUAGUGUGUAUUACAUACACUAGUGUACUCACUAUGGGAAACCCAUCCCAAUAGCCAAGAUAAGUCAUUCCUCCAAUUAGGAAGUUGUGCACUACAAUCUCUACUAGAUUAUCCAAAUCCAUGAAUUGACUAUGGACAACUUAUUUACUUACAAGGAACCUAUGACUUGUAUCUUCUAUGUAACUCUUAAUGCACCCAAGUCAUAUACAAUGUAAGAGAUAUGAGCUAAAUGCUCAAAUCAAUGUCAAUACACCAAAAUGAUAGCAAUGAGAUAAUUAAGUCUAAUUUUGUUACAUCAUGUCUUGCUUUUAGGGGCUCAUCCCAAUACUCUCCUCUUAUAUCAUAUCUUAAUAUCUUAAUAUUACAACCACUUUGUCUUUCAAUAGGAACUUUGAAUUCUUUAAACUUGUUAAAAGCCUUAGAUUUUUCUUUUAACAAAUAAAUCCAAUUUUUUUUUUUGUAAAACCAUCUAUAAAGGUCUGAAUAUAUUUGUUGUGACUAAGAGAUCUUUUACCACCGAGAUCACAUAUAUAUGUAUGCACCGACUCCAAAGGUUAUUUACCUCUUUUGAAUCUUCCAAUUGGAAAAGAAUUCUUAUGUUGUUUCCUAAUGAGAUAUCUUUAACAUGCAUGAUCUAGAAUAUCAAUCAUAAGUAAUCCUAUUACCAUAUUUUUUUUGCACUAACAACUUCAACCCAUGAAAAUUGAAAUGACCCAAUCGAAGAAGUAAAAGCCAAUUGCUAUUUCCACUAUUGCCUUCAAACUGAAUAAAGUUUCUGCUUGAAGAAACAUAAGAAACAUCUUAUUCUUUGUCAUCUGCAUAUUGAUUACUACUCAAAAAGUACUAUUUCAUAGCUUGUAAUUAACUCUUUUAAACACUUUUGAGUAGUAGUUAUCACCUUUUAACCCAAUUAACAUAUUAAGGACCAUUGCAAUCAAUUCUAAUCAAAUUGUGUUAAGUUUUGGUGUUUUGAUAGCUUUUUGAUCACCAAAGCAAUCCGAGAUUGAGGAGAGUUCUUUGGAAUCCUUAAGCAAAUCCAGAAUACAAGGAGUAUGGGAUCCUGCACAUUCCACCCGGGAAGGAAUUCCAUCCGGUUGCCGCCACUUUACACCCGGCUGACGCCGCCAUUCCAUCCGGCUGCCGCCACUUUCCACCUGGAUGUAUCACAUCCGAAAAUCUGCUACCACCAUUCCACCUAGAUGUUUCACAUCCGGAAUUCUGGCCGGGUGACGCUCCACAUUCUCCGGAUGUUUCACAUCCGGCAGACAUAUCUGGAUGGGAGAAUAGAGCGUUUCAACUUCCACGAUCAGGCAUAUCCGGAUCCGCCGACAGCGCUCGCCCGGAGAGUUUCGCAGCCAAUUUUGCACAGUGCCGCGGUGUUCUCCUGAAGCUUCCCAAUAUGUGCCACUGACAUUUUGAGAUAUUUUGGGAUAUUUUGAGAUAUUUUUGCUUUAGAUAUUUGUUGUCUAAAUCCCCAAAAUCUCCUUGUAACCCACCAAUUAUAGGAUUCCUUAGUUAUUAAGUUUGGAAAAAGGAUGAAUAACCUUGUAGAUAUUAUUAUUGUAAUUUUCAUAUAAAUAUAUCUCGGGAGCCUGUUCUCGAGGGGAACGCAACUUUUGUAUAGUUUUCAAAGGAAGAAAAAUACAGAGCUUUGCUCUGCUUUUACCUUCUCAUUUUGAUUGUAUUUUUCUUACUAACCAAACAACCUUUGAAGAUGUUUUCCCAGAGGAUGAGAGGCUAAACCUUUGGUUUCUUAGAGUGAAGGAAGCUGGGUGAAAAGUCUAGAUGCAAAAGUGGAAAACUCUCGUGCUUUAAAUACAGGUAGUUGGAGUUCAUAAAUGACUUUUAAAUUUAAAGUUUUGCUUUAAAUCCCUUAUAAUCACUUUGAAUGGCCAAUACAUGAUAAGCUUUUAGGUCUCUGUGGAUACUUAUUGCUAGAUCCACAUAAGACCAUUAGUUAUCAUGUACGAGCCAUUGGAAAGUGGCUCAAGGUAAAGACCCAUAGUGUCUAAAGCCAUUAAUAGAACUUGACUAUCAUUUCUAUUGACUUUUUAUGGAUUAAAUCUUCAUUGUUAAACCUAUACCGGUUCGGGAAACAACCAUCCUUUAUGUUGUUGUCCCCAAUACGAGGAGAAAAAUCCGGAAUUUCCCACUUUGCAUUCUGAACUUGAUCCUAGCAACCUUUAGCUCCGGGAGACUUUCUUUCUUCCAUUUUUACCUAGUUCUAUGUUAGUUUAGUUUCAAACACCACUUUCAAAACAAAUUUUAUUUUCUUUUAAACUUUAAGUUUUUGACAAAGGAAAUCAUUAGAUUCAAUUUCUAAUCUUGAGUCUAUCACUGGUAGAGUGAAAACCCAUCCCAGAGUUCGACCCUAGAGCUGCUAUACUAUAGUAGCUUUGCUACGCUAGUAUGAGGUCAUAGGAUUUAGAAAUAUUUUUGAUUAAAAUACCCGGCUGGGCACGAAUCACAUAUUUUCAAUCAUUUUCUUAUUUUUAUAACUAAGGGUACAACCUCCAUUAGAGAUAUUAAUGAUAUGCCAUUUUUCUUUUAAUUGUCUUAUGCUUAACAAAUUCUAAAAAAGAUCCGGAACAAAAAAUACAUUUUCUAUAUUAACAUUAGUGUCAUCUUUAGAACAUAUUUUAACAUUACCUUUGUCUAUGAUUGAAACUUUGGAUUUGUUUCCAAAAUUAACUUCAUCUCAGACUGAUUCAUUUAAUUGUGAAAACAAUUCCUUUUUAUCGCACAUGUGAUUGCUACAUCUUGCAUCAAGAUGCCAAAAAUCUUGGCAGUUUACAUUUGAUGUUGCUACAUAGCAAGCUAAUACCAAAUUUUGCUGUACCUUGGUGGUGUUUGCCUACUCAUCUUGUUCAUUAUGCAAUUUUGUUCGACAUUUUGUCUUAUAAUGUCCAUGUUUUAUACAUUUGAAACAUUGCAUAUGUGACUUGUCUUUAGAUCUAGAAGUGUUGCCUCUUCCUUUAGAAGAAUUUGUGUCACCAUCUCCAUUUUUUUUUGUUAAAGUUGUUGUGUCCUCCUUUACUUCUACCACAACCAAAGCCUUUGCCACAAGGCUUGCUCCAAAUUUGUAAAGUUGAUUCUUUAAUUCAUUCGUUGUUUGUGCAAACACAAUGGACUCAUUUUGCUUCCACUGUGAGAGUGAAAAUUUCGUUUCUUUUUUCAAUUGUUGCAAUAGCAUAGUCAAAACUUCCACUUAAAGAUCUUAUCAUUUUCUCUACUAUUCAUUGAUCAUUAAGUUUCUCACCAUUAACCUGCAUUUGGUUAACAAUGGUUUGUACAUAAUCAAAGUAACAUGAGAUGGAUUCAAAGUCAUUCAUGCGAAGAGACUCAAAUUCACCUCUUAAUGUUUGCAACUUCAUUUGCUUAACACGUUCAUCACCUUUGUAUAAUUUUUGUAGAGUAACAUAUACCUCUUUUGCCGUUUCUAACUGAGAGAUUUUCUUAAAUAUUGCAUGGAGUGAUUUUUUAUUUUUUAUUUCGAGAAUCUUUCAAUGAUUCUUUCUACUAUUUUGAUAGUACCUUAAAUUCUUUUGAAUUGAUCAUUUUGUUGUAACCACUAUUCAUUAGAUCCCAUAAAUCUUGAGAUCUAAAUAAGACACGCAUCUGAAUGCACCAAUUAUUAAAAUUCUUACCUGUGAAUUUGGGAGUUGAUGAUGAAUUAAGUUAUUGUUUAUAGCCAUAAUUUCACCAACAAAAUUGCAAAUUUCUUGUGAUUUUGCACAUUCCUUAUUAUUCUAGCUCUUAUAUGACAUUUCACUUUCCUUGAUCUUUUGGCUUUGAUACCAAUUGUUGGAGCCCACACGAUUAGGAAUUGAUAAUACUUUUGCUAAAAAUAAAAAUUUAUUCCAUUCUUAUUUUCAACAUAAUAACAAGUCUAUUUAUAAUAAACUAAUUAUAUUUGUACUAGGACUCCAAUUCCUAUUAAACCAAAAGUCUUAAUUAACAUAGGAAAGCUAAAUAAAAUAACAAUUUCUAAUAUUUCUCAAAUGACUAAAAUUUUUCAAAUUUGACAUUAAGUCGGAUUAUAAUUUCAACAUGUUGGCUAAGGGAAUACUUCUCAUUGUGAUAACAAUUUUUUAAAACAAUGGAUUAAUAUUUUCUAAAAUAAAAAUCUAUUUGAAAUCUUGAAAUAUUCUUAACUUUUUUUUUUAUAUAUUUUUAAAUAUUUCUUACAAAUAACUUUUAUGGUUAGAGUUUUAUUUUCAAUUAUUUUUCACAUUUUUACAAUUAUUUUUUAAAAUAAUCAUUAGAAAACAAAUGCUAAUAAUAAAAACAAUUAUAAUAUGUUAUCAUAAAAUAUCCUAUUUUCAAAAUAAAUUAUCAAAAAACUAUUUUCUAUCAAAAUUUAUGAAGCAUAAUUAUCCUUGGCUUUCAUAUGAAUCAAUAUAUAUAUAUAUAUAUAUAUAUAUAUUGAUUCAUAUGAAAGCCAAGGAUCAUUAGGUGAAUAUAAUUUUAUUAAUACCAAUUUUUUCUUAAUUUUUCAUCAAAAUUAAACAUGUAAAUGGAUACAUAUUUCUUCUAUUUUUUUUUCUUUUCUCAUGGAUAUUUUUGAAAUCCCAUCAAAGGCAAAAUGCUUUUAAAUUAUCAAAUUUCUAUUAUAAUUUAUUUGUGAAAUGUUUCUUACAUGCUUUUCUAGGUGCUUAAUAAUUAGUGGUUGCAACAUAAAAAUAUUUUCAUAAUGAUAUAAAGUUCUAAUGGAAACAAACGACCCCAUAUAUCCUAAAAAUAUGCAACAUAUAUUAAUAUUAUAGCACAACAAAAUAUUCCCACCAUGCGGUUGAAAUUGUUGUGACAACAACAAUUUUAAUGCAAAACAAUAUUGGUUCAAGAACACUGAUAAAAUAAUCUACAUAAACAUAAACAAAGUUUUAGCAUGGUUCAGUCAAUUAUAUUUGCAUUUACGAAUAAAAGAAAAUUAUUAUAUUAUAUUAUAGAAAAUAUUAUAUAAGAUAGAAAUAGAUACAAUUCUACAAACCCCUUACUUCAUUAGGUAUCUCCCAUUUUUCCUAACAUCUCUAUCCACUUUUACAAUUGUUACAAAUCUAUCUCCAUCUAAAAUAUUUUAUAUAAUAUUCUUUACAAAAAAAGAAAUAUAUACUAAUUUAUAAUAUUCCUUACAAAGAAGAAAUAUAUACUAAUUAGAAAUUUGUGAUACUUUCCAACAAAAACAUGUAAGAGACCACCUCAACAUUAUUUUCCCUAGAAUUUACUUUAUGGUUUAGUAAUGUACCUUUUAUGUUUAGUUGGAAUUGCAAUUUAAUUGAAUAUAAAAGGACUUAAAAAAAUUUAAGCCCAGUAAAUUACACUUCCCCUUAAAUUUUUUUUAUAAUUAUAUUUUUCAAAAGUUCCCAAAAAUAAUAUAACCUUCUUUGUUAGAGUUUUUAUCCUAAGACAUAAAAUAAAAAUUAUGAAAAGCAAAAAUUUUGUUUUAUACAUUAAACUUAUUUAUAGUGGGAAAAAAUUCAAUCAAAUAAAGCUCUUUUAAGCCUCCAACAAUGCAUUAGGAUUAACUUUUUAAAAAUUAUAAGUUAUUUUUUAAACUAUAUGUGAGUUUUCAUAUUUAUUUAACUAUUUUUUUUUAUCAAAAAAAUUAUGAUUUAAAAAAUUUUUAAUAUAAAAAAAAUAUUACUUAAAAUUCUGUUUUAACUUAUAAAAAAUUUAAUAAUAUUAAUAUUAUGUUUUUUAAACCUAUAGCUUUUAAGUAGUUUUUUUUUUAAAAAAAUUUUUUUUACUUCCAACUAGAAUUAAAAUUUUAAAAACUUUCCGAAAGAAUGUCAUAUUAUACAAUUUUUGCACACAUGAACAAAUUUAAUGUUAUCUAAUUCAAUUUUCUCAUUUAAAAAUGCAAUCAUGAGAUGACCUUUCCUAAAGGAAUUUAAAUUAAGUGAAAAAAACAUAAAAACAAAAAAAGUCAUGUUCCCAUGAUUGAACCUAUAAAAUUGAGGAAGAUAAAUGCAUCCCAUAAAUAACACUCAUUGUAGUAAACAACCAUGGUUGUGGGGCCAUACCUUAUGAUGUUGUGCUCCUCAAAUAAAUAAAUUAAAAGAAAACAUAAAAUUAAUUUUCAUGACCACAAGCACCAAAGUAAAGAAGGCAUCCAUUGAAAGUUUAGGAAAAACAAUUAUAUUUGCAUCCACAAUAAAUAUACAUUCUUGUUCUUCUUGUUCAUCAUCAUCCUCUAUUUCUUCUCUUCUAAUAUUUCUAUAAUGCUAAUAAUUUUUUCAAGAAAGUUAUGUUUAAAUAAGCUAAUAAUAAUCUCUAAUAAUAUUAAAAGUGCAUAUGUAUACUUAUUACAAUAUAUUUAUUUAUUUUUCAUUUUUUGAGCUAGAAAAAAAAGUGUUCAGAGUUGCAACGUUGAAUGAAUUACAACUAUUCAACAUUGUAUUUCUAGACAUUCUUAGAAUGACAUAAAGAAGAUAUGAGAGGAUUUUGUGGACAAAAAAUUACAAUUACUUUUACUUGUAAAAGAAGUAAAGUAUAGAGAGAUUCAAUGAAGAAUAAUAUCGAAUAUAAGAGUAAAAAGAAAGGGAAAAAAAGAUUAGGAAGGAUAAAGAAAUAUGAAUGUCAUAUACUCUUAAAGGUAUGAAGUUGCCAACAAAUGAUAAUUGGAUAUUGGUUGUUAAAUAUGGAAGACAUAAUCAUGUUGGAGCACAAUAUCUCAAAGGAUAUUUUUUUCGUGAUUAUUUAAGUCAAGAAGAAAUGAGUAUCUUAGUUAAUAUGUCAAAAAGUAACAUCAAGCCAAAAGAGAUUGAAUAGUUUGAAGCAAAGAAGUAACCUUAAUUGUAACACAUUGAGGACAAGAUACAAUGUAUAGUAUAAACACAUAAAGUAAGGGAAUAUGGUGAGAGGCCACAAAUGCAACAAUUGAUGCACAAAUUAAUGGAGUUGAAUUACAUUAAAUGACAUAGAAGGGAUGAACAAAAUGAUUGUAUUAGAGACUUGAUGUUCAUCCACCCAAGAUCCAUUGAUUAAUUUAUUGUUAGCAUUUUCACUAGUGUUAAUCAUGGAUUGCACUUACCAGCCGUAUAGUUAUAAGAUGCCUUUACUCAAAAUAGUUGGUGUAACAUCAACAUAUAGGACAUUUUCUAUUACAUUUUCAUAUCUUAAGGGUGAAAAAAAAAAUAGGCAUUACACAUGAGCCUUACAAAAUUUGAAAAGUUUGAUUCAUAAAAACUUCAUUCCAAGAGUACUUGUAAUUAAUGGAGAAUUUGCUCUUAUGAAUGAGUUACAUAAUGUGUUCUCAACCUCUUCACAUCUUCUAAGUGGCUUAUAUUGAAAAAUAUUUUCACAAAUUGUAAGAAAUGCUUUGAGUAAAAAACAAGGCGGGAGGCUUUUAUUUUCAUGUGGAAUGUUUGAUGUUUGCCAUUUAGAAAAGGCAUGUGAGUACCAUCUUACUACCUUUGACAGGCAAAACCAAAGGUACACAACAACAACUAAAUAUUGCAAAGUUCAAUAGUUAAUUUCACCUAAAGAGAAGUUUGUAGCAGUUUGGAUAGAUAAACUCAUGCAUUUUGAUAAUACAAUAAAACAUAGGUAUAAUUAUUUUUUACUUUUUUUUUUUCGAAUAAUGUGUUUUAAUAUGUAAUAUAUAUUAAGUUCAAAUUUUCUUCAAUAUUAAUCAUGGUAGAAAGUUCACAUGUCUAGUCGAAGAGACAAUUAGGCACACCUCAGAUGAUUUUGAGGGCUUUUGAUUCAAAGUCCAUGCCAUGUUAGAGUUAUAACACAUGAAAAUAAAGACAUCAUUUGAGAUGAGUGUAAUUAGUGUCCAAUACAACAUGAAAAGUCAUUUGUUUAGUGAAUUAAGGGGUAGGAUUUCCAAAUUUGCACCAAGUGUUUUGGCUGAUGAAGGAAAAUGAUUUGAAAAUGUUGGAGUGAAUGUAUUUGCAUGUGGAUGUGCAUAUAGAUAGACUCAUGGACUGUGCAUAUGAGAUCUCUUUAUAUAAAAUUAAAGCUUGACCAAUCCUUUUAGCAUCAUUAGAUCUUCAUUUGAGGAAACUCAAUUUAGUUCCUAUUAAGAAUUGAAAGACAAAGGAAAUGGGUUAUGAAACUAAUAUGGGACACUUCCAUAAAUAGUUCUUAAGCAAUAAUCCAAUUGAUAGGAAAAAAUUGCUAUAGGAGGUGAUGGAAUUAGCUACUCCAAAAAUCACAUCUAUAACAUCCCUACCCACACUAGAAGAAGAUGAGAUAAAAAAGAAGGUCAUCAUCUUCUAAGAAGAAUGAUUCAUUAACUCGUAGGGAUCCAUCUUUAUUGGAGUAUGUCUCACAAAAUGGGAUGAGAAAAUGAUUAUUGUUACUACAUCAUCAUAAUAAAAGAGAAGGUUAAAGGAGAUAAUAAGAUGAUCAUGUAGGACUAGCUACAUUUGCAGGCUAUUUGCAACCUUAUAUCAUGCAUGUAAAAGAUAUGGGAACAUAUCAUAGUUGUAGAUAUUGAGCUAGAGCUUCUACUUUAGGAAUGAGUGAUGAUGGUUGGCCACAUGAUAAGCAAGACAUGUUUUGAGAGUUUCCACUUAUCAUAUAGAGUUUGAUGAGUCGUUUUAGGGAUAACUUGCAAGUUGAUGAGCUCCUUCAUGCCUUAAAUUUCUUUUACAACCUUGUUGUGGUUAACAGAUGGAUGACCAUGACCAAUAUGAGGCACACUAUAGCUUCCAAAUACAAUGUUGUACUUGUCCAUAUAUCGAUGCAGUAGUGUCUUACCUUUUUUUUUUUUUUUUCAAUCGAUGCCAUAUCUAUACUUAUGCGAAAGAUUAUAUCAAUUAGUUUUAUUAAUGAAAAUCAUGUUGUGGAGGUAAUUUCAUGAAUACUAAUAUAUUUUAUUUACAAUACCCUAUGCUUACUUAAUGAAAUAAUUUUCCAUAUUCUAAAAUUUUUUCUAGGUUUUAAUGCAACCUAAAACCCUAAUGAAACCUAUUACUAGUAGUUUGCAUAUGAGUUGAUAUCAUUGUGCUAAGGGUUCCACAACUCCAUAUGUACCUUCCAUUAUGAUGCUUUGCUGUUGAAUUUCUAACAAUAUUAUCACAUAAGAUAUUAUAGAUUUAGGUGAUAAUUAUGAUGUAUUGUAUUAUUAAUAUGGUAUAAUGAUUUAGAUGUUUAUGUCAAUUUCAUUAUAGAUGGUAAUGCUUAUAAUACAACACCUCUAGGAAUUUGCAAUAGAUCAAUAUGUAUAAAAGGUAUCCAACACUAUACCUAUGAUAGGAUAGCCACUAACCUCGAUCUAAUUUUCUACAUAGACAAGUACGAGACCUGUCUAUGUCACUACAUAUAAUCAGGUGCACACUCUGAUGGAUAUGUCACACGAAUAGCAUUCAUUGUAGCUUGUGCACUAAAACAUUAGAUAUAGGUCCUAUAAUGAAUACAUUGUUGGAUAAACCACUAGAUCUAAUAAUAAUGAAAGCAAAAUUAUGCACUAAAACAUUAGAUAUAGGUCCUAUAAAAACCAUAUCUUUGGAUUUGGAUGUUCUUAUAUUCCACUCUAGAUGAUACAGAGAUCUAAAAAACCUUGUGAUCUUCUACCCAAUCACUCCUUUAAUUCUUGACACUUGUAUAGAGUGGCUACACACCUUAAGAGGGAACAAGAUGGAAUUUGGGGUUUUUGAAAGACAUUUGAUUUAAAAAUUAAAGUCUAACCCUAAAACUUAAGAGGUUCAUAUAAACUCUCCUAUGGGCUUAAGUGACUUAGACUAACUUAGGUUUGGGUCACUUAAUCUAACCUAAUAGGUUCUAAUUAAUCAAUUACCUUAAUAAUCUCUAACUAAUAAACUAGUCUAAUCCAAAAAACUUAAAAUAAAUAAAAGUUGUUGUGCAACCUUGCACUUUAGCACAAUGCUAUUAUGCACACAUGAUUAAAUCUUUUAUUUUUCUCAAGCCUUUGUAUCAAUAAAGAAUAUGAGCUCGAGAGGGGGCCAUUGGGACCCAUAGGAAAAUAUUGAACCCCUUAUAAUCCAAUUCUAAAGUUGAUUCAACACUUUACUGAAGAAAUUCAAUUGCACUUUAGUAGCCUAUGAAAUUACAUUAAGAUUAAAAUUGAUUAAAUUGGAUUUAAUCAAUUUCUCAAGUGCAUGACCUACUAUCAACCACAUGCAGGCUCUCCAUGAACUUGUGUAUAUAAUCUAACGAGGUAAAAGUUAUUGACCUCUCAAGAGAUAAUAUUAUAAUAGCCUCAGAUGGAUUGCCUAAGUCUAUAAAUUGUUUGUGAACAAUUCAUAAACUUGCAAAGAACCCAUGAUUUCGAUUAUUUAUAUAACUCUUAAUGCACUUAAGUCAUGUACAAGUGAUGUAAGCUUAAAUGCUAAGAUAAAAUAUUAAUGCAAACAUGGAAAAAAAGUGGAGUUAUAUGGUUUAAAUAUAUAAUAUUUUAAUCAAAUCUCAUUUUAUUACAUCAUGUUAUGAUUUUAAAGUAUCUAUCCCUUAUGGGAGCCCUGGAUUUUAUAGGUACAUGCAAUCUACCCUUGGCCUUUAGAUCUUAUGCAACGAAAGUGAAAAAUAGUAAUUUUAAUAAUCAAGGAUCUAGAUUAAAAGCUUUAGAAAAUAAUACCUUUGAUUUGGAUAUUCUUAAAUCAAAUCCUAUCAGAGAAGAUCAAAUCUGAAAGUAUUGAAGGUCUCGUACACCCAAAAUUUUCCUCCCAAUGGCUCUAACUUGAUCUUGACCCUCAAUUGGUGGGGAGGUAUGAGAUGAUGGAGGUUAUGACUUUUUUCUUCUUUGGAGGUAGAAAACAACUCUAUGGAAACCCUAAUACAUAAAGGAGUAUUUAUAAGGUUCCUUAAUUGGGCUUAAGCCAAGGGCUUAGGUCACUUAAUCUAUCCUAAAAUGGGUCCUAAUUAAUUAAUUAACCACACAAGGUCAUUUAAUUAAUCAAUUAACCCAAUCUAGAGACCUUGUUCAUUAUCCCUUAUGCAACUUUAUGUAAUUAUCAAAAUGCCCUUAUGCAUAAAAGUGAAGCCAAUUUAUCUUUUACAAACCAUGCCAUCAAGGUAUAUGAGCUCGAGCAAGGACCAUUGAGACCCAUUGGAAUACUGAUAAUUGUGGAUAUUUACCUUGCUUUAGUUUUAUAAUUGAUGAUAAAAAUUGGUUAUGACACUCAUGUUUUAGAUAUUUAAAUUUUAAAAGUCUAAAAUUUCUUUGAUACUAAGAAGAUGACUUUGUUAAUUCUCCAAAUGAGGUUUGUGAAACAUGUGUUUUGGGAAAUAAGUAUAAAUACCAUUUUCCUGUAGGAAAAUUAUGGAGAGCAAGGAAGCCUCUUGAAUUGAUUCAUUCAAAUCAAUGUUUAAUGGAGGCUCCAUCAAAGAAAGAUCACAUAUACUUUAUAAUCUUUAUUGAUGAUUUUAGUUAAAAGGUUUGGGUUUAUUUUUUAAAACAAAAGGGAGAUACAUAAAAAAAUUUCAAAAUUUUUAAAGCUUAUGUGGAAAACAAAGUGGACAUGCCAUUAAAAUUUUGAGAACAAAUAAGGGUACUAAAUAUGUUGAUUAUGAUGUUUUAUUGAAAAAAAAAAGUGGUAUUGAGCAUCAAUUGACUGCACGGUACACUCCAUAAUAAAAUGAAUUUGCAAAGAGAAAAAAAUAGAACAAUUAUGCAUAUGGUGAGGUCCAUAUUGCACUUAAGACAAUUGGCUAAAAUGUUUUAGGUCAAAGUAGUUUCUUGUGCAUUUUAUUUAUUGCAUAGGUACCCUACUAAAAGUGUUUAUGGAAAGACCCACAAGAAGCUUGACAUCAUAGGAAGCCUAAUAUCAAUCAUCUAAUUAAGGGUGUUUGGUUGCAUAUCAUAUGCUCAUGUGUUUGAUGCAUUGCGAAAAAAAAAAUUGAUGAUAAAGGUGAAAAGUGUUUAUUGGUUAUAUUCAAGUGGCAAAAGGUUAUAAAUUAUAUAAUCUACAAACCAAGAAAGUUAUUGUUAGUCGUGAUUUGAGUUUUGAUGAACAAGCAGUAUGAGAAUGGUCUUUUAAUGAAAAAUGACCAUCAAGUAUUUACAUUCAUCUUGAAGAGCAAGGUGAAGAUCAAAGUACGCAGCCUACUAGUGCACAAAUUAUGACUCCAUGUUCAAUAGCAUCACCAAGGCAUCUACAACGUCUCUAUGUUUUACUUGCACACUUACAACAUUCUAUAGUUGAUGAUGAUAGUAAUCCAACAAAUGAAGAAUUGAUUAUUUUUUCUUUAUUUACAUAUUGUGAUCUAUUAAGUUAUAAGGAAGUUGCUCAAGAUGGUUAUUGGCUUAAAGCUAUGGACAAAGAAAUUCAUACAAUUGAGAAAAAUAAUACAUAAGAUCUUACUAAUCUCCCUAAUUCUAAUAAGCCAAUUGUUGUCAAAUGAGUGUACAAACCAAGCACAAGACAAAUGGAGAAGUCAACCCCUUCAAGGCAAGAUUGGUGGCAAAAUGUUACAAGCAAAAACCAAGUAUUGAUUAUUUUAAAGUAUUUGCACUUGUUGCUAGAUUGAUACUGUUCGUAUGAUUAUCUCUCUUGCUACAUAAAACAAUUGAAAAAAAUUUCAAAUGGAUAAAUUAGCUUUCUUGAAUGACAACUAAGAGAAGAGGCUCAUGUCAAAUACCUCAAGGAUAUAUUAUAAAAGGGUUAGAAGAAAAGGUUUAUUAGCUAAAAAAUGCCCUAUAAAGCACGCACCAAGAGCAUUAUACACAUGUAUUAAUACCUAUUUCAUAAAGAAUAAAUUUUAAAUAUGUCUUUAUAAACACACUUUAUAUAUCAAAUUUAAUUUGUAAGGUGACAUUCUUAUCGUGUGUUUAUAUAUAAAUGAAUCAUUCGUAAUAAUUUGAAGAUGAUUGAAGAAUUCAAAGAAAUAAUGAUUAAUCAAUUUGAGAUGAUAGAUAUGGGAUUGAUGUCCUAUUUUUCAGGAUUGAAGUAAUUCAAGUAUAAAGGUAUCUUUAUUUUUUAGAAGAAGCAUGUAAGUGAUAUUCUUGAAAAAUUGAAGAUGGAAUCAUGCAAUCUUAUUCUAACUCCAGUUGAAGAAAUACUGAAAUAAGGAAAAGAUAACUAAGGUAAGUUAGUUGAUCUAACAAACUUUAAAAGAAUGAUUGGGAGUUUGUAAUAUUUGACUUCUAUAAAACAUGAUAUUGUAUUUAGAAUUGAACCUGUAAGUAGAUUCAUUGAGUCUCCACACCAAUCUAACUUGCAAGCAACAAAUUGUAUCUUACGAUACAUUAAAGGUACACAAAGUGAUAGUAUUUUUUAUGCAUAUGAUAACAUGAUUGAGCUUGUUGGAUACACAUAUAGUUAGUGAGUGGGUGAUGUAGAAAAGCAAAAAAAAAAAAAAAAAAAUUACUUUCAACUAUGCAUUUAAUCUUGGUUUGGAAGUUUUUUUCCUGGUCAUCAAAGAAACAACAUAUAGUUGUUUUGUCAACAACAUAAGUUGUGUCUAUUGCAGCUACUAGUGGUACAUGCUACUCAAGCGAUAUGGUUUCAUAAAAUGCCUUUUGGCUUAAAGCAUACUCAAGAAGUUCCCACAAUUUUUAUUUUUAUUUUUUAUUUUUUUUGUGAUAAUAAAUUAGCAAUAGCAUUGAUCAAGAAUCCAAUUUUUUCAUGGAAGAAUUAAACACAUUGACAUAUAAUUUCAUUAUAUUUGUGAUUUGGUGAAAGACAAAGAAAUUAUACUUGAGUUCUGUUCUUCAAAAAUCCAAGUUGCAAACAUUUUUAUAAAGUCAAUCAAGGGGAAAACAUUGCCCAAGUUGAAGAAGAUGACGAGUAUGAUGAAAUUUAAACAUUAUUGUUUUUUUUUCUUUUUUGAGAAAUUAUUUUAUGCUAGAAAGAUUAUUUUUGGUUGCUCACAGCUACUCAUGACACAAUGCCAUAUUCAAGAAAUUAUAUAUAUAUAUAUAUAUAUUAAUUUUCAUUUCUUAAAAAACUCUUUUAAAAAUUUGUUGUAAUAAAUAAAGGAAAGCCAGCGUGGCAUAGAAAACCUUUGCCUUUGCAAUCAAAAUUAUAUAUAUAUUUUCAUUCUUCCAUGUUUCUCUUAAAUCUUUCAGAGACGGAUAGAAAACAGUAAAAAUAAUUUGAUAAAUAUAAAAUAAAACUAUUAUGUUAACCAUGUUAUAAGAAGAUGAUGGUAAAGCUACCAUAUUUUGAUGUACUUAAAAGGAAAGAAAUAGAUAAAAUAAGGCUUCCUUUACACUUCUUGUAUUUUUUUUUUCAAUAACUUUUAUAUAAAUAUAUUUUUUUUUAUUUUUAUGAAAGUAUAAAUUUAUAUUAUGUGUUUAAAAAUUACUUUAAAAUUUUUUUAAAUGUCUGAAACAAUAAAUUUAUAUCAAUUUUAAAAAAUUAUCAUAUUUUCAAUGUAACCUUUUUAAGAGUUAAUUCAUAUGUAAGUUACUAUUAAUUUUUGUUUUUGAAAAAUAAAAAAAUAAUAUGUGAAUCAUAAAGAAACUAUGGACCUGUUUGGAAAUUGUUUUUUGAAACAAUUUUCUAUUCUUUAGAACAAAAAAAAAUAGAAAAAUACAUUUGAUAAUUAAAAAACUUUUUUUUAUUUUUUAUUCUUAAGAAUAGAAAAUAAGGUGUUUUCAAAGUAUAUCUUUUAGUUGUUUUCCAUUGUUUUCACUUAUUUUAAAAAAAAAAACAUUAUACAAACAUGCAGAAUGAUUAAAAAUAAAGUACUAGAUAUAAAAAUUAUUUUUAAAAUAUAUUUUAAAAUAUUAAAAACAUUUUAGGUUCCCAAAACAAAUUUUAGUUUUACAAAACAUUAGAAAAACUAUUUUUUAAAAUCAUUAAUUACCAAACAUGCCCUAAAUAUCCGUUUCGAUACAUCUCUUAUUUCUUUUUAAAUAGAAUCAUAAACAUUUAAAAGUAUAAUAUAUUGUACAAAAAAUUUGAAAAUUUGAGAUACCAAAAAGAUUUUUGUUACCUCAAAAUUUUUAAGUAGUUUUUAAAAGCAUUUUUUUUAACAUAAGUUUUUAAAAGUUUUUAUAUCUUAUAUAAAAUUUAUUAUUAGUUUCUAAUUUUAAAAAAUAAAAAACAAAAAAACAUAUCUAAACGAAACUAAAUUAAGGGUUUUUCAUUUAUAAAUUUUGAAAAGGUUAGGUGAAUUGAAGCUUAUGAGGAGUUUAGACAAACGCUCUCAUUAAUUGUUGAUAGAGGUGUUUGGUGAUUUUAAAGUUAAACCACCUAAUAUUUGUGAUUGAGAGGUUACUCCAAGGCAAUUGAAUCUUACAAAUUCCCAACCAUUAGAUUUAAGUCAUUGGCCCACAUUACCCACAUUACUGACUCCACCUCCCAGGAUUCAUAUAUGCAUUAAAUGAAGAGAGAAUUAUGUUUUGGGGGUAGAUGACCCCCGAAUUAACAAAAGGUCUAUGUAACUCUUUAAAUUGAGCUCAAGACCCAAUGAAAGUAUGAAAAUUGAGUUGAAGGAUAUCAUCCUUCAGUAUUUCCAAAAAUGUCAUUUGUUGAUUUUGAGAAAAAAAUUAAUAUUUUUGAAAAAUACUUUUAUUUAAUUUAAUAUUUUUGAUUUAAUUUAAUAUUUUUAAAAAAUACUUUUAUGUAAUUUAAUAUUUUUUAAAAUACUUUUAUUUAAUUUAAUAUUUUUUAAAAUACUUUUAUUUAAUUUAAUAUUUUUUAAAAAUAAAUUUAUUUAAUUUAAUAUUUUUUUAAAAUAAAAUUAUUUAAUUUAAUAUUUAAAAAAAUUAUUUAAUUUAAUAUUUUUUUAAAUACUUUAAUUUAAUUUAAUAUUUUUGAAAAAAAAAUUUAAUUUAAUAUUUUUGAAAAAAAAAUUAUUUAAUUUAAUAUUUUUGAAAACUACUUUUAUUUAAUUUAGUAUUUUUGAAAAAAAAAAUUAUUGAAAAACAAUUAUUUAACUUAAUUUUAUAAAAUAUUUUAUAUGUGUUUUUAAAGGGUCUUGUAGACCUCCUCAACAGCAGCAGGUUUCUUUUUUUUAGAUUAUUAUUUUAUUCCCCUUUCUUUUGCUUUGUUUUUUUCGCUCUCUUCUUCAGAACCCGAGAAUGAGCUGGGGGUGGUAGCCAAAACAGGGCGGCCAUAGGACGAGAUGGGCAGGUUUUUUUACGGCGAGAGGGGACGGGGGUACGAAGAUGGCUGGGAGGGGAAGCUAAGAAAAAAAAAAGAGGAAAAAGAGAGGAGAUAUCUCGUGAGAGGGGGGAAGCUGAGGAGAAACACGGGCCUGCAGGCUGGGAAGAGAGCCGGGGUGGGAAUUUCGGGUCCGAAGCUUGAGGAGAAGAGGUUUGAAGAAGUGACAAGAGAGAGAUUUGCGAGAUGGUAGAAAUGGGCGUCUCAAGCUGAGUUGAGGAGGAGUUUGAAGCUUAGGUCCAGGUAAGAUUUCUGCAUGUUUUAUAUACCUCAUUUUAGUUUGCUUUAUUCUAUUUCUUGUUAAUUUCGGUUCCUGCUUGGUGUUUAUUAUAUGGAUGGCGAGGCAUAUGAUGCGUUAGAGAGUGUGUGUAUUGGAUUGAGAUCAAUUAAAGGGGUGGAAAAGAUGUCUAAUUAUAUGAUUAGUAGUGGGUUUGGUCCGGAUGAGUAUUUGGGGAACAAGUUCUUGUUGAUGCAAGUAAAAUACGGGAUGAGGAUUGAUGCACAUGGACUGUUUGAUGAAAUGCCAAUAAAGAACAUUUUAUGUUUUUUUUAACACCCCUGCACAUGAUUCUCCCAUUCAUAUUAUAUUUGCUUCAAAUCCUGGAAGCGACCCCCACUAGCGACGUUGAGCCGAAGCUCCUUGCCGGCGACGACGAGGAGAAUGACAGGUUGCAAGCUUGCAUGGGGAGGUGCCUACAGCUGCUAUUGGUCUUGGAGGUUUGGGCCCCCAUGAUAGUGGAUUUGGGCCUGAGGUGAAGCCCCAAACCCAAAUAUGAUGGUGAAAAGGCUUGAGUCCUUUUGCUAACGGAUGUGGGCUUGGGAUGAAGCCCAAAUCCGAGCUUGAUGAUGGAAGGCCCCCAUGAUUUGUCCAUCCACUUUAGGACCGGCCCAUACUUAUUUCAAGCUGGCCCAUCUGGUUGUUUCCACCUUAUAUAUUUCACCUUCUCUAAAUCACUCAUUUCUCAAUAAACUCUUUAAUUUCUAAUUUCCAAGCCCAACUUACAAAAAUUCAAUCUCCAAAUGACACUUCAAAAUUCAGAUUUUUAAUGUUUAAUUCCGAUUUCCGAAUUCUCAUAUUCCCAUUAAUUUAUUUGAUCAUUAGUAUUUCAUUUAUUUAUUUCAAAGCUCCAUUCUAAAUCAAAUUCUUCUAAAACUUCUGAUUACCGAAUUAAAUUCAAAAAAUUCCAAUAUUCGCAUUAAUUUAUUAUUGUUAUUUUAUUUAUUUAUUCUAAAAUUCCAUUUUAAACAAUUCAUUAAAAUUUCCGACUUUCGAAUUAAAUUUCUAUUUCUGAAAAUUCCAAUAUUCACAUUAAUUUAUUUAAUUAUUAUUAUUUUAUUUAUUUAUUCUAAAAUUCUAUUUUAAACAAUUCAUUUAAAAUUUUCAACUUCCAAUUUUAAUUUCUAAUUCUGAAAAUUCCAAUAUUCACAUUAAUUUAUUUAAUUAUUAUUAAUUUAUUUAUUUAUUCUAAAAUUCCAUUUUAAACAAUUCAUUAAAAUUUCCACUUCCGAUUUUAAUUUCUAAUUCUGAAAAUUCCAAUAUUCACAUUAAUUUAUUUAAUUAUUAUUAUUUUAUUUAUUUAUUCUAAAAUUCUAUUUUAAACAAUUCAUUUAAAAUUNNNNNNNNNNNNNNNNNNNNNNNNNNNNNNNNNNNNNNNNNNNNNNNNNNNNNNNNNNNNNNNNNNNNNNNNNNNNNNNNNNNNNNNNNNNNNNNNNNNNNNNNCCAUUUUUAAACAAUUCAUUAAAAUUUCCACUUCCACUAAUUCCAAAAUUCCAACAUUCACAUUAACCUAUUUAAUUAUUAUUAUUUUAUUUAUUUAUUCUAAAAUUUCAUUUUAAACAAUUCAUUAAAAUUUCCGACUCUCGAUUUAAUUUCUAAUUCCAAAAUUCAUAUUAAUCUAUUUAAUUAUUAUUAUUUUAGUUAUUUAUUUUGAAAUUCCAUUUUAAACAAUUCUUCAAAAUUCCAAUUUCUGAACUUAAUUUCUGAUCUCCAAAAUUCUAAUUUCUUUCAAAUUUAAUAUCCAAAAUUCUAAUUCUUAAAUUUAAUUUUUCAAGACUCCAAUCUUCAAAUAAUUUUCGAGGCUCUAAUUUCCAAAUAAAUUUCAAAAAUCCAGUUUUCUCUCGAAUAGCUUUAAUUCCACUCCGAUUUUUAAAUAAUGUUCUAUUUCUUUUGAUUUUUACACAAGCAAGAAUGAUGAAUCUUCAUCAAUUGCCAUGUCAACUUCAUUCUAUUAGUAGAGACCCGACUUUAGGGACUUAGAGGGGUGCUACGGUCUUCACCGUACCUUCCCGAUAAGUAACCUGACCUCCGAACCCGAUCCGGUUUUUCGUAGAUCACCUUUUCCAAAUAAGGAGUCACACUUAGGGUUUUUCUUUCUUAUUUGUUUACCCUUUAAAAAUAAAACAAAAAUAAGUGGCGACUCCAAAUCAUUUUUCUUAAUCAAAUAAAAAUCAAAUUUUCAAAUAAAAAUCGAGGUCGCCAUCGAGUGGGAAACGCAUGAGCAGAAAUGCGGGGUCCACAAAAUGGCGACUCCGCUGGGGAUCUUUUAGAGGGUCAAGCUUGAACUUAAAGUGAAGCAAACGUGGCGUUUGGUGAGUCGAUCAGUGGGUACUCAUCUCUUGAUUGCACAUCGAGAGUUCCCGAGCUUUCACUUGGGACGUUGACAUGUUGAUCAUGUUGGUUGAUUAUUUUGGUUGGGGAUUCUAAUAUAGCUAGUUUCUUAAUGCUUCAUUGAUAUAUUUGUAUGAGAUAUUUGACAUGCUGAUUAUGAGAUUGAUUAUCUUGAUUGAGGAUUUUGAUUUUUUUUUUUGUGCUUCAUUGCCAUGUUUGUUGAGUACAUUGACAUGCUGAUUAUAUUGAUUGAUCAUCUUGCCUUGCUUAGCAUAGUCAUUCUGAUUUUGCCAUGUUUGUUCUGAUUACCUCACAUGUAUAGACUCACCAUUGUAUAUCAUUUGAUUUGACAUGAUUGAUUCUCUCAGUUAUAUAUUAUCUUAUCAUAGAGCAUGCUAUCAUUUGUCACAUAUUCUUCUUGAUUGGCUUGUGUGUAGAUUUGGAUGAUAUAUACCUGUUUUGCAUGACUGUCUGUUGCAUGACUCUUCUCAUCCUGAUGCGACUGCAUGAGUCGUGUGUCUAUGUGGAACACAAACUUAUCCUUUUAUUUCCAAGUCCCUAGUCUCGGUCGACAUAGUUUUCCUUGCUCUCAUAUUUGAUACGAGACUUGUUGCCUUGUNNNNNNNNNNNNNNNNNNNNNNNNNNNNNNNNNNNNNNNNNNNNNNNNNNNNNNNNNNNNNNNNNNNNNNNNNNNNNNNNNNNNNNNNNNNNNNNNNNNNCUCUCAUAUUUGAUACGAGACUUGUUGCCUUGUUUGCUCUUCGACCGAGCUAGUGAUUAGGAAUAGGGUCUAGCGACGGGCUAUAUCUAUGUUUGGGAGCAUUCUGGAGGUGGUCAACAUAUUGAUGUUGAUUGGAGUCUGAACUUUGAAGACUUGUAUAGCCCAGAGCUAGAUUUCAGGAUAUUUGUAUGGUCAGUGUGUUUUCUUUUAGUUUCUUAGGGUUUUCAGAUGCACCCACACCACCCACUGUGGACUUUAGUCGAUUACUGAGUGCUGAGAGUUGUGAGAGCUUUCACCAUAGGAAACCCCCUGGGAUGUCGAGGUAGUGCAUGUGUGGAGGUGAUGACCACCUUGCAUGGAAGCGCCCCGUCUCUUCGGAGACGUGCAGAGGGUUGCGUACCGCCGGAGGGUAUGAUCGCUUCUGCUAGGGAUCCUUUAAAGUCCACCCAUACCCAUUUAGAGCCACCUUGACUUUGUAGGUUGAGCCGUAGAUCCUUCGAUUAGGACUCCCUUCCUACACGUGGGUGCAUCUGAGGGCCUUCAGAGCCUCUUUAGUUACAGUUCGGAUCCAGUAUUCCCUCUUUUUAGUCUCCAGUUGAGAGUGCUCGAAGAUCGGUAUGGGUUUGAGUAUCGGUUGGAUCACUUUUCGUCUGAUCGCCUUAGUUUGUGUUUUUCACUUGACGAGUUUAACAUGUUUUCUCGUUAGGGUUUUCGUUCUCAUUUCUUGGCUCGACACACCCCUUCACUUUGAUUAUCACUCACUCGAUACUUUGGGAUAUGUUCAUUGAUCAUCUUUUUACACUGCACACCUAUCACGGGCUCAGUACCUCAUUCUUUGUUUGAUCCUUGGUUCGAUUUUCGACCGAUGUGAUGACAGGACCAGUCACUGUUUUUGUUUUUGUUUGUUUAGUCUUGUUUUACUUUUGACUUUUAGAGACUAUAACUCGAUUCUUGAGUAUUGUCUUUGUUAUCCUUCUUUUGCAUGAUAUACUCAUCGGUUAUCCCAUUGGAUGUCUUUUUCUUUAUGGACAUAUGCUUGUGUUUUGUGAUAUGAUGUGUUGUUCUUUUUACUUGAGGCAUCUCUUCACUUACACAUUGUGAUCUUGAGGCUUGACCUAUCAUGGAGGAUAUUGAGCCUAUUAGCCUAGAAUCAGAGAUUUGACUCAGGAAGUUCGAGACUGUGACGCAUCUUCUUAUGAUCAGAGUAGUGCCUUGCUCACUUCCCGCAAUUUGACUCUGUUUUGACCUACAUCCAUCCAUUGUGAGCUUUGCACAGCACUACCCUUGAGACCAUUAUAUGACCUUCUCAUCCUCUAUUUUUUCUAGCUUUACACAUUCCCCCUCUAGUCCGACCAGGUAGAGAACGAGGAGUUUGACCCUAGGGUUGAUCUCACAUGACGAGGGUUAGCUUAUGAUCUUUGGGUGGUUUACGAUAUGAGGAUUGGUCGAUUGCUUGAUGAGACUGUCACUUAUUUUUUCGUGAGUACAAAGGUUGAUGUUGUAUGAUGAGAGUUGGCUUAUGAUGGGCAGUCGUGCCUGAUGAGAUCACCAUUCACUUUGCUUUGAGAGGAUCAUCUUUGAGAUUAUUAUGGAGCAUUCGGAGUAUGGUUGAUACAUGAUCCUAGAGGGAAGUUCAGACCCAACUGGAGCGGACCUUAUUUCAUCAGGGAGUUGACCCCAGAGGGCGCUGCAUGGUUGAUGGAUUUAGAUGGAAACCGAUUCUCAGAGCCAACCAACAUGGAUCAGCUAAAGAGGUACUAUGUUGGAGACCAUGGUCGCAGGAUGGGUGGCCAUCAUUUCGGUUAGCCAUAUGCCUUGUUAUUCCCUUUUUUGAUAUAUAGUCUGUUGCUAGCCCAUUGAGCCUCGCAUGCGAAUUAUAGCCUUUCUUUCUUAUCGCCUUGCUCACAUUUUCACACCGGGAUAGGGGCCCUUUAAUGUAUGCAUGCAUUGUUUGGUAGUUUCAUGAGCCUUGGACCUAGGGGCAUGUUUUUCUCAUUAUCUUUUCCUAUCACUGCACCUCUGCAUUUUCAUCUCAUCUUAUUGGUUAUGUUAUUUAUCUCUUCUUCCUUAUCCUAUCUACUAUUUGUUUGUUUCAUAUUUCUCUUCACCCUGGGUGGUGAUCCUCCUCAGUUCAUCACAUGGAGGAUAGUCACAUCAUUUCCACCAUCUAUCUCGCGGACACUGGUUUAGAGAUCCUUAGUUUGAGAAGGUCAUCUUGUUAGAGAGAGUUUGUUUGUUACCUUAGUACUUGGGGGUAUGUCCAUUUGUCAUUGAUAUCAUCUUUGGGGUUCAUUUGUUCACGUUCAGGGUACGUGUAUUUGCAUAUAUGUAAAAAAAAAAAAAAAAAAAAAAAAAAAAAAAAAAAAAAAAAAAAGAGAAAGAAAAAAAAAAGAAAAAGAUCAUUAUUAUUAUUAGCACAUGUGUGUAUGUGCAUAGUGUUCUCGAUCAUUGAGUAUGUAUAUUGAUGUCUGGGGGUCAUUUUUAUCGAGUAUGUUCGUUAUUGGGAGUUCGUAUGUGAGCUCUCUGAAAUCCCNNNNNNNNNNNNNNNNNNNNNNNNNNNNNNNNNNNNNNNNNNNNNNNNNNNNNNNNNNNNNNNNNNNNNNNNNNNNNNNNNNNNNNNNNNNNNNNNNNNNAGGACUCUGAGUCAUUGUCCUUUCCAUCAUUACAUUCAUUAUUGAUGUGACUUCACUUCAUGUUUGAUCUUAGUCGAUCACCAUCUUUCUUCAUAUAUUCAUUGUUCCGGUGUCAUUUUUAUCGUCACUUGUGUUUCACCUCAUUCACUUCACGUCUUAUUCUCUCCUUACAGCAACCCAUCUCGGGUUCGAUACUCACUUCGCAUCAUCGUUACACAUAUCACCAUCAGUUCAUUUUGUUUCAUUUGUCUCCUUACCGACAUCAUAUUCACGUUAGGCAUCCUCAGGUCCAUGGCUCAUGGGAUUCACUAUACAUGUUGCAUUUCAUAUAUGAGGGCAUGUUUUUCUGAUCAUUGGGUAUUUGGGCCUAGUUUCCUUUCAUUUCUGUUACCUUAUCACCUCAGCCUACGUUACGUCCUGUGUCUUAAGACCACCUUGAGGCCGUGGGAUCAGAUGUCGUCUUUGACAGCCUCUACUUGGAUAGGUGAUUGAGAUCUGAUUGACAUUUAGAUAUCGUCAUGCUUCUUCUUCUGGGAGUCACCUCUUUGAUGUGUAGGACUGAUUCAAUUGUGUUCGGAUUACCGGGAUCGUGAGUUUGAUGAUGAUUGACUUGGUGUCACCUGAUUUUUUUUGACCUGUCGUACCUCUGGUGCCACACUGCGGCAUAUCCCAUUUCAUUUGGAGGUUUAUGGAUCCUCACAGAUUUGCACGUUCAUUAUCACUUACUGGAUGCUCAUUGAGACGUGGACAUGAUCAUUACCUUACGGAGCCCCUGAGAUCCAUCCAGCUAGUUCCGCACUUCUCGACGCUUGGAUGCCAUCAUGCCUCUCCAUCUGGGAGGACAUCUUGGAUAUGUGUGCAUGAUUCAGUUAUGGAUUCGGAUGACCAGUGUUACAUGUGCGACGAUAGAUGAUUUCAUGACAUUUGUCAUUUGGACCCGUCGCGCACUUGAUGUCAUACUGAGGCAUAUUUCCCGUUUCAGAUGUGAUUUAUGGAUCUUCACUUAUGUUGCAUGAUCGAUGAUAGAUGAUUUCGUGUCGCCCGAUUUCUGACCUGUCGCGCACUUGAUGUCAUACUGGGGCAUAUUUCCUUUUCGAUUGAGAUUUACGAAUCCUCAUGGAGUUGCACGCUCAUCCCCACUUAUGAGGUACACAUUGACAUGAUGUUUCCACCAUGAAGCCUCUCGGGAGUUACCCAGUUAGGCCUGCACUUCGCGACGCUUCGAUGUCAUCAUGCUUUCCUUCCGAGAGACGCCCCUUUGAUCUAUGGGUCUGAUUCAGUUGUACACGUGGAUGACUUGGAUCGCGCAUUCGAUGAUGGGUGAUCUGAGCUCAUUUGGUUCUUUUGACCCAUCAUGCAUUGUGUUUGAUAGCUCUUAUGUGAGCGGUACUUGGGAUUGAUUCGAGAGCAUUCUGAUUGUGAUGGACCGGGAGUUAUGGUAUGACCUUACACUGGGGCAUAGCCAUCUCAGAGAGUUUUAUUAUCGGAUGACCAUUAUGUCGAGGCAUACUCUUCUCAGUCGAUGACGGAUUUUUGAGCCAUGUCCUUUCCUGGGAGGAUAUCAGAUGUCCUUUUUCACAUUGGAGCAUGAGACAUGAUUGGCGCGUUUCAUCUGGUGUAUUUUACACAGGGGCAUACCCCUUUCGGUCCAUGAUGGUUUUUAGGCAUAGUUGUUCCUUGGAGGCGAUUAGAUUCAUUUUACAUUGGAGUAUGAGAUAUGAUUGGGUGAUAUGUUUGAUGUGAUCACAAGAGCAUAGCCUUCUCAUCAUUGUUGACAUAUUUUUUAGAUGAUUGGAUCAGGACACAGACACUUAUGAGAGCAUGCAGCGGAGUUUAGUCAUUUCAGGGUUUGCCCUAUAUUGGGGCAUAACCCUUUCAUUGGCGGUUGAUCUUAGAGAUAUCAGUUCACAUUGGGACAUGCUCUUUAUUUGGGGGAGGUUAGAUAUUCUCUUCACAUUACCACGAUGGCUUUGAUGAGCAGAUGUUCAUUUUGAUCAGAUGAUGUAUGAUUGGUUGUACUCCUCUCAUUGAUGUUUGAUUCAGAGAUGCUUACACCGGGGCAUAGCCCACUCAUCGAUGAUGAUUUUGUGAGAUGACAGUUUAGGCCAGACACAUACUUCCCAGGGUUUAUCUUGCACUGAGAACUUAUCCAUUUUGAGAUGAUGCAUUCAUACUGGGGGCGUACCUACCUUGCUGAUUUUGACAUUGAGACUCCACUUCCUGUUUAUGAUCGCUGCUCUCGAUGGAUUAUAGUCAUUGGCACCCUGGGUUCAAUCUUCUUAACGUACUUGGUCCGACUUGGGUACCCACUUUCCUUUGUUACACACCCAUCCAUCCUACAUUGAACACCGUUAUACUUGCACCCAUCUUAUCAGAGCCUUACAUCUUUUGAGCCUACAUAUUUCAUCAUCUUACCUGACUUUAUCCCUUUCUCUUGAUCAGAGGAAGGUGUAGACUAGUCUUGAGCUUUCUGGUUGAGUUUUCACAUGCCUUUGGACAUUAGGUUCAACAUCUCUUAUGAUGGUAGGACCUAUCAGAUUUGUUGAUGCNNNNNNNNNNNNNNNNNNNNNNNNNNNNNNNNNNNNNNNNNNNNNNNNNNNNNNNNNNNNNNNNNNNNNNNNNNNNNNNNNNNNNNNNNNNNNNNNNNNNNNNNNNNNNNNNNNNNNNNNNNNNNNNNNNNNNNNNNNNNNNNNNNNNNNNNNNNNNNNNNNNNNNNNNNNNNNNNNNNNNNNNNNNNNNNNNNNNNNNNNNNNNNNNNNNNNNNNNNNNNNNNNNNNNNNNNNNNNNNNNNNNNNNNNNNNNNNNNNNNNNNNNNNNNNNNNNNNNNNNNNNNNNNNNNNNNNNNNNNNNNNNNNNNNNNNNNNNNNNNNNNNNNNNNNNNNNNNNNNNNNNNNNNNNNNNNNNNNNNNNNNNNNNNNNNNNNNNNNNNNNNNNNNNNNNNNNNNNNNNNNNNNNNNNNNNNNNNNNNNNNNNNNNNNNNNNNNNNNNNNNNNNNNNNNNNNNNNNNNNNNNNNNNNNNNNNNNNNNNNNNNNNNNNNNNNNNNNNNNNNNNNNNNNNNNNNNNNNNNNNNNNNNNNNNNNNNNNNNNNNNNNNNNNNNNNNNNNNNNNNNNNNNNNNNNNNNNNNNNNNNNNNNNNNNNNNNNNNNNNNNNNNNNNNNNNNNNNNNNNNNNNNNNNNNNNNNNNNNNNNNNNNNNNNNNNNNNNNNNNNNNNNNNNNNNNNNNNNNNNNNNNNNNNNNNNNNNNNNNNNNNNNNNNNNNNNNNNNNNNNNNNNNNNNNNNNNNNNNNNNNNNNNNNNNNNNNNNNNNNNNNNNNNNNNNNNNNNNNNNNNNNNNNNNNNNNNNNNNNNNNNNNNNNNNNNNNNNNNNNNNNNNNNNNNNNNNNNNNNNNNNNNNNNNNNNNNNNNNNNNNNNNNNNNNNNNNNNNNNNNNNNNNNNNNNNNNNNNNNNNNNNNNNNNNNNNNNNNNNNNNNNNNNNNNNNNNNNNNNNNNNNNNNNNNNNNNNNNNNNNNNNNNNNNNNNNNNNNNNNNNNNNNNNNNNNNNNNNNNNNNNNNNNNNNNNNNNNNNNNNNNNNNNNNNNNNNNNNNNNNNNNNNNNNNNNNNNNNNNNNNNNNNNNNNNNNNNNNNNNNNNNNNNNNNNNNNNNNNNNNNNNNNNNNNNNNNNNNNNNNNNNNNNNNNNNNNNNNNNNNNNNNNNNNNNNNNNNNNNNNNNNNNNNNNNNNNNNNGUACUGGGGCAUACCGCCUUUAGCGCUUUUCAACUGGAGCAUACCCCCUCUCUCUUUGGGUUUACCGUGUCUCGUGUUGAUUUCAUGGUUGUCAGACCCAUUUUGUCGAUCUUUACGAGUUAUCACCUAGGGCAUUCCCCUUACCGUCAGUUUGUUUAGGGCAUCCCCCUAUUGUCGUCUCGUUUGGGGCAUCCCCCACUGUCAUUUACGUUUGGGGCAUCCCCCCACUGUCAUUUACGUUUGGGGCAUCCCCCACUGUCAUUUCGUUUGGGGCAUCCCCCCACUGUCAUUUACAUUUGGGGCAUCCCCCCACUGUCAUUUCGUUUGGGGCAUCCCCCCACUGUCAUUUACGUUUGGGGCAUCCUCCCACUGUCAUUUCGUUUGGGGCAUCCCCCCACUGUCAUUUCGUUUGGGGCAUCCCCCCAUUAUCAUUUUGUUUGGGGCAUCCCCCCACUGUCAUUUCAUUUGGGGCAUCCCCCCACUGUCAUUUACGUUUGGGGCAUUCCCCCACUGUCAUCUCGUUUGGGGCAUCCCCCCACUUUCAUCUUGGUUAGGGGGUAUUUCCAUUUUGUUUAGGGCAUCCCCCUUUAUUUUAGUUUUAUCACCACCAUGGAUUUUCAUCCUUGGGCUUUCAGUUAUUUCACCACCAUAGAUCGGACAUCUAUGGACUUUGAUCAGUUUGUCACCACCAUGGAUUUUCAUCCUUGGGCUUUCAGUUAUUUCACCACCAUAGAUCGGACAUCUAUGGGCUUUGAUAAGUUUUUCACCAUCAUAGAUUUUCAUCUAUGAGCAUUUAUUUCAGUUAUAUCACCACCAUAGAUCGGGCAUCUAUGGGAUCUAUGGGCAUUUCAGUUUUCACCACCAUGGAUUUCCAUCCUUGAACUUUCGAGAUUAUCACCACCAUGGAUUUUUAUCUGUGGGCAUUUGGGAGUUUCACUACCAUAGAUUGGCAUCUAUGGACUUUUUUUAUUGUAUCAUCGUCAUAGAUUUUUAUCUGUGGGCUUUCGAGAUUAUCACCACCUUAGAUCGGACAUCUAUGGGCAUUUUUAUUGAAUCACCACCGUGGGUCUCCACCUAUGGUCCUUCUAGUUUAGUGUUUAGAAUUAGCUUUAUGGUUUGGCUUCCAGAACUAUUAUUUUCUAGUUUAGUGUUUAGAGUUAGCUUUUCGGUUUGGCUUCCAAAGCUAUUAUUUUCUAGUUUAGUGUUUAGAAUUAGUUUAUUGGUUUGGCUUCCAAAGCUAUUAUUUUCUCAAUUUGACGUUCAGAGUCAUCAUCAUCACUUCUCAGCUUCGGCGUUCAGAGCCAUCAUCACUUUUUAGUUUCGGCGUUCAGAGCCAUCACCGUGUUUUCAGAUCGACAUUCAGAGUCGCAUCCUCGGUUUCGGCGUUCAGAUUCGUUAUCACUUCUCGGCUUGACGUUCAGAGUCAUCAUCAUCACUUCUCAGUUUCGGCGUUUAGAGCCAUCAUCACUUUUUAGUUUCGGCGUUCAGAGCCAUCACCGUGUUUUCAGUUCGGCGUUCGGCGUUCAGAGCCAUCAUCGGUUUUCAGAUCGACAUUCAGAGCCAUUCUCAUCACAUUUUCAGUCUCGGCGUUCAGAGCCAUCGUCACUCCUCAGUUUGACGUUUAGAGUCGUAUUCCUAGUUUCGGCGUUCAGAGCCAUCAUUAUCGUUUCUCAGUUUCAGCGUUCAGAGCCAUUAUUACUCCUCAGUUUGACCUUCAGAGUCGCAUUCCUGGUUUUGGCGUUUAGAGCCAUCACCGCAUCUUCGUUCGGCGUUCCGAGCCAUCACUUCUCAGUUUGGCGUUCAGAGCCAUCUUCGUUCUCAGUUUUGGCGUUCAGAGCCAUCACUAUUUUCAGUCUGGCGUUCAGAGUCGUCAUCACUUCUCAGUUUGGCGUUCAGAGUCAUCAUCGUUCUCAGUUUUGGCGUUCAGAGCCAUCACCGCAUCUUCGUUCGGCGUUCCGAGCCAUCACUUCUCAGUUUGGCAUUCAAAGCCAUCAUCGUUCUCAGUUUUGGUGUUCAGAGCCAUCAUCGCUUUUCAGUUUUGGCGUUCAGAGCCAUCACUAUUUUCAGUUUGGCGUUCAGAGCCUUCAUCACUUCUCAUUUUUGGCGUUCAAAGCCAUCAUCGCUUCUCAGUUUUGGCAUUCAUAGCCAUCAUCGCUUUUCAGUUUUGGCUUUCAGGAGCCUUCAUAGCUUUUCGGUUUCGGCGUUCAGAGCCAUCAUCAUCACUUCUCAGUUCUGCGUUCAGAGCCUUUCUCAUCGCUUCUUAGUUUCGACAUUCAAAAAUCAUCACCGUUCACAUUCAGGCGUUCAAAGCUAUCAUCCACAUUCAGAGUCACAGCUCCUAGUAUUCAUGUUCGCUAGCAUUACGCAUCCUGUCUUCACGAUUUUUACAUUCGUCCUCAUUUUCCUUACCUCGUUACCCUAUGCUCAUCGCUCAUUCAUCAUGCUCUUCUAGACCUCUCUUCCCUCUACUUUAGGGCAUCCUCUUACCUUUAUUUUGUUAGGGCUUCCCCAUACUUUUAGUUUGUUCAGGGCAUUCCCCUUUCUCGUCACUUUGUUUAGGGCAUCCCCUUACUGUCGCUUCGUUUAGGGCAUCCCCCUACUGUCGCUUUUGUUUAGGGCAUCCCCCUACCUUUAGUUCGUUUAAGGCAUCCCCCUACUUUCAGUUUGUUUAGGGCACCCCCCUUUCCUGUCGCCUUGUUUGGGGCAUCCCUCUUGUUUACUUUGUUUAAGGCAUCCGCCCACCGUAGGUCUUCACCUAUGGGCCUCCUAGUUUAGCUUUUAUAGUUAGCCUUUUGGUUUGGCUUCCAGAGCUAUUAUUUUCUAGUUUAGCGUUUAGAGUUAGCUUUUUGGUUUGGCUCCCAAAGCCGUUGUUUUUCUCAGUUUAGCGUUUAGAGUCAGUCCCAUCAUUCAGAGUUACAGCUCCUAGCAUUCAUAUUCACUGGCAUUGCACAUCUUACCUUCAAGGUUUUGCGUUCGUCCGCGGUUUUCCUCACUUCGUUACGCGGUGCUUAUCGCAUAUUCAUCUCGUACUCUAGGGUGAUUUGACCGUUACUCAUCUUUGAUAUGGUUUUUCGAGUCAUUUUUGGAGACGUCUUAGAGGGAGCCUAGGUCCUUAAUGUAGCUUUAGAGGCGCUUUGGGACAUCUUUUUCUCUGUUAGGGUUAGAGCCUUUGUGUUCAUCUGUUGGCUUGAGUGAGUUCUUAUUUUACUAGUGUCACUAUGGGGGUCUCCUUGGUUCUUCGGUAGAGUUCACUUCAUUCCACUCACUAUUCACAAUUUCUUUUCACUCUAGUGUUCAUAUUCCUUGCACUCGUGAACUCUAUCAAAGAGGGGCAUAUUUGUAGACCCCCUCAGUAGCAGCAGGUUUCUUUUUUUUAGAUUAUUAUUUUAUUCCCCUUUCUUUUGCUUUGUUUUUUUCGCUCUCUUCUUCAGAACCCGAGAAUGAGCUGGGGGUGGCAGCCAAAACAGGGCGGCCAUAGGACGAGAUGGGCAGGUUUUUUUACGGCGAGAGGGGACGGGGGUACGAAGAUGGUUGGGAGGGGAAGUUAAGAAAAAAAAAAAGAGGAAAAAGAGAGGAGAUAUCUCGUGAAAGGGGGGAAGCUGAGGAGAAACACGGGCCUGCAGGCUGGGAAGAGAGCCGGGGUGGGAAUUUCGGGUCCGAAGCUUGAGGAGAAGAGGUUUGAAGAAGUGACAAGAGAGAGAUUUGCGAGAGGGUAGAAAUGGGCGUCUCAAGCUGAGUUGAGGAGGAGUUUGAAGCUUCGGUCCAGGUAAGAUUUCUGCAUGUUUUAUAUACCUCAUUUUAGUUUGCUUUUUUCUAUUUCUUGUUAAUUUCGGUUCCUGCUUGGUGUUUAUUAUAUGGAUGGCGAGGCAUAUGAUGCGUUAGAGAGUGUGUGUAUUGGAUUGAGAUCAAUUAAAAGGGUGGAAAAGAUGUCUAAUUAUAUGAUUAGUAGUGGGUUUGGUCCGGAUGAGUAUUUGGGGAACAAGUUCUUGUUGAUGCAAGUAAAAUACGGGAUGAGGAUUGAUGCACAUGGAUUGUUUGAUGAAAUGCCAAUAAAGAACAUUUUAUGUUUUUUUUAACACCCCUGCACAUGAUUCUCCCAUUCAUAUUAUAUUUGCUUCAAAUCCCGGAAGCGACCCCCACUAGCGACGUUGAGCCGAAGCUCCUUGCCGGCGGCGACGAAGAGAAUGACAGGUUGCAAGCUUGCAUGGGGAGGUGCCUACAGCUGCUAUUGGUCUUGGAGGUUUGGGCCCCCAUGAUAGUGGAUUUGGGCCUGAGGUGAAGCCCCAAACCCAAAUAUGAUGGUGAAAAGGCUUGAGUCCUUUUGCUAACGGAUGUGGGCUUGGGAUGAAGCCCAAAUCCGAGCUUGAUGAUGGAAGGCCCCCAUGAUUUGUCCAUCCACUUUAAGACCGACCCAUACUUAUUUCAAGCUGGCCCAUCUGGUUGUUUCCACCUUAUAUAUUUCACCUUCUCUAAAUCACUCAUUUCUCAAUAAACUCUUUAAUUUCUAAUUUCCAAGCCCAACUUACAAAAAUUCAAUCUCCAAAUGACACUUCAAAAUUCAGAUUUUUAAUGUUUAAUUCCGAUUUCCGAAUUCUCAUAUUCCCAUUAAUUUAUUUGAUCAUUAGUAUUUCAUUUAUUUAUUUCAAAGCUCCAUUCUAAAUCAAAUUCUUCUAAAACUUCUGAUUACCGAAUUAAAUUCAAAAAAUUCCAAUAUUCGCAUUAAUUUAUUAUUGUUAUUUUAUUUAUUUAUUCUAAAAUUCCAUUUUAAACAAUUCAUUAAAAUUUCCGACUUUCGAAUUAAAUUUCUAUUUCUGAAAAUUCCAAUAUUCACAUUAAUUUAUUUAAUUAUUAUUAUUUUAUUUAUUUAUUCUAAAAUUCUAUUUUAAACAAUUCAUUUAAAAUUUUCAACUUCCAAUUUUAAUUUCUAAUUCUGAAAAUUCCAAUAUUCACAUUAAUUUAUUUAAUUAUUAUUAAUUUAUUUAUUUAUUCUAAAAUUCCAUUUUAAACAAUUCAUUAAAAUUUCCACUUCCGAUUUUAAUUUCUAAUUCUGAAAAUUCCAAUAUUCACAUUAAUUUAUUUAAUUAUUAUUAUUUUAUUUAUUUAUUCUAAAAUUCUAUUUUAAACAAUUCAUUUAAAAUUUUCAACUUCCAAUUUUAAUUUCUAAUUCUGAAAAUUCCAAUAUUCACAUUAAUUUAUUUAAUUAUUAUUAUUUUAUUUAUUUAUUCUAAAAUUCCAUUUUAAACAAUUCAUUAAAAUUUCCACUUCCGAUUUUAAUUUCUAAUUCCAAAAAUUCCAAUAUUCACAUUAAUCUAUUUAAUUAUUUUAUUCUAUUUAUUUAUUCUAAAAUUCCGUUUUAAACGGUUCAUUUAAAACUUUCGAUUUUCGAAUUAAAUUUCUAUUUCUGAAAAUUCUAAUAUUCACAUUAAUUUAUUUAAUUAUUAUUAUUUUAUUUAUUUAUUCUAAAAUUCCAUUUUUAAACAAUUCAUUAAAAUUUCCACUUCCACUAAUUCCAAAAUUCCAACAUUCACAUUAACCUAUUUAAUUAUUAUUAUUUUAUUUAUUUAUUCUAAAAUUUCAUUUUAAACAAUUCAUUAAAAUUUCCGACUCUCGAUUUAAUUUCUAAUUCCAAAAUUCAUAUUAAUCUAUUUAAUUAUUAUUAUUUUAGUUAUUUAUUUUGAAAUUCCAUUUUAAACAAUUCUUCAAAAUUCCAAUUUCUGAACUUAAUUUCUGAUCUCCAAAAUUCUAAUUUCUUUCAAAUUUAAUAUCCAAAAUUCUAAUUCUUAAAUUUAAUUUUUCAAGACUCCAAUCUUCAAAUAAUUUUCGAGGCUCUAAUUUCCAAAUAAAUUUCAAAAAUCCAGUUUUCUCUCGAAUAGCUUUAAUUCCACUCCGAUUUUUAAAUAAUGUUCUAUUUCUUUUGAUUUUUACACAAGCAAGAAUGAUGAAUCUUCAUAAUUCCGAAAUAAUGGGAUUCGUGAGAUUAAUUCGUGCAAUAUAAAUCGGGCUUUGGUGGGGCCCCACAUAUUUGAUUUUAUGACUGACUGAUUGAUUAAUUGAUUUAUUUACCAUGCUUGUUUGAUUUAUUUUGUUCCUUGAUAUGCACGUAAUUAUAUCUAUUCAUUGUUCACUAACCUUGUUUUAUGAUAGCGCAUGGUGGCUCACUGCCCAGGUACAUAUCUAUUCCCAUUCUGGUAUUUCUAUAUGCGUGCUUUGAUUCUCAUAUGUGCAUGAUAGUUCCGGGUAUUCAUUGAUUUCUUCAUCAAUUGCCAUGUCAACUUCAUUCUAUUAGUAGAGACCCGACUUUAGGGACUUAGAGGGGUGCUACGGUCUUCACCGUACCUUCCCGAUAAGUAACCUGACCUCCGAACCCGAUCCGGUUUUUCGUAGAUCACCUUUUCCAAAUAAGGAGUCAAACUUAGGGUUUUUCUUUCUUAUUUUGUUUACCCUUUAAAAAUAAAACAAAAAUAAGUGGCGACUCCAAAUCAUUUUUCUUAAUCAAAUAAAAAUCAAUUUUUCAAAUAAAAAUCGAGCUCGCCAUCGAGUGGGAAACGCAUGAACCGAAAUGCGGGGUCCACAGGUAUAUUUAUCCGUUACUAUUUCAUAUCCUUCAACUCAAUUUGAAGAGUUAUAGGGACCUUUUGUUAAUUUGGGGUCCAUCUACUCCAAAAGAUAAUUCUCUCUCAAAUGAAAAACCUACUUAAUAGCCCAACCCCAACCCUAGAGAGAUUUAAAACAAUCUCAUCCUUAGAUUAUGAAUAUAUAUCAACUUGAUUCUUUCACAGACAUGAAAUAAUAUUAUUUUUUUCCUUAGAAAAACAUUAUCAAUUUUUUUAUCCUCACUCCUAAUUAUUAUUUUUACAAAAUGCCCCCUUAUAUGUUUCAUUAAAUGGAAAUAACGAGAAGAAAUUAAUAAUAAGAAAUGAAUGGAAAAUUAGAGAAAAAUCAAGAAAAUCAUUUUUUUUUUAAAAGAAAAAGUUAUUAUAAAAAUACAUAGAAAGUGUUGAUGUCAUAUUAUCAGGUUCAGAGUUGUUUAUGUCACAAUGCCACUCUUCACAUGCUAUUGUUAGGUUUAUGGUUGUAGUGGCUUAUACAUGACCCAUCAAUUGACUUCGAUUUUGUUUCUUUAUUAUACCUAUAUCCUUGAAGAAAAAGUCUUAAUAGUGUGUUCCCUAUUCACUUUUCGGACGACAUGACAUGAAAUAUUAUAAUUUAUGUCAAACAACAAACAAACAAACAAGGUUAUAUUUAAAGUAUUUAAAGAGUGCAGGCUAUUUUUUUUCAAAUUCAGAAUUAACUUCAACUUCCCCACUUAACCAAAAUUUCCUGAAUAUAAAUAAAAAUUAUAAACUUGGAUAAAAAUAAAGUGAGGGUAGGAGAGGCCCCCUAAAAUUAAAGGCAGUGUCUGUGUGAGUGGUGGGCCUUGACAGCUGUGGACAUAAACAUCCUGUGAAUUUCUUGGCUGUUUUAUUGAUUAAAGAUGACCCAACUGGGGCUUGUUGGAUCACACAUUCAUUGUUUCCCAUCCUCAAUUUUUAUCACUCACCUCAUAUUCCAAAACAAAUCACAAAUCAAAAGUCAAUUCUCUUAAUGGGAUUGCCGGAUUGGACUCUCUUGUGUAAUGGUUUUCUUUUCAACCACCCAGUACUCAUUUCCAUUAUUAGCUCUUACCAAUUUUCGGGUCAUUUUUCUUCUGCUUACCCCUUCCAAAUAUUUCCAACUCAAAGUCAUGAAGAAGUCAGGACCCCUUUCUAGUUUGUCCUUGAACUUUGUCUCAGAGACAAAAAAAGAAAAUAACAAUAACAAUGUCUCUCAUAUAUUCUGAAACCUGAAAACCACCACGCAUUGAAACCCUAGUUUCACGAGGACUAUGAAGAAGAAAUAAACCAAAAAAAUAAGCAAGUGAACAUAGAUAGAUAAUACAUAUAUAUAUAUAAAGCCAUAUUAUUGCUAAUCCGCAUGCAUCAAUUUCAUACCCUAGGCUUAAUCUUGGCCCUUAGAGGGUUCUUCAUCACCACUGUGAAUUCCAACUUUUCACUAAAAUCAAUCUUACUGUUUUCAGGGUAUGCGCUCCACUCGAAGUCCUGCACCAUCCUUGCCAGCAUUAGGUUCACAUGCACGGUGGCCAUGCUCAAACCAGGGCAUAUCCUUCGCCCUACUCCGAAUGGCAUCAUUUUUACGCCGGUCACUCCGGUUAUAUCGGCGUCUUCACCGCCCAAGAAAAAGCGGUCGGGGUCGAACUUUUCGGGAUUCUUCCAUAGCUUGGGGUCCUCGGAGAUGGGUGGCAAGAAGAACUCGACAUUUGCGUCUGUGGGUAUGUCGUAGCCUGCCAACUUCGCUGGCUCUGUGACUGCAUGAGUUAGGGAAAAGUAGGUGGGAGGGUGUUUACGUAGUAGUUCUUUUGAAACUGCGUUUAGGUAAGGCAUCUUCUCCAUGUCUUUCUCUUGAACCUUACGAUCACCCACUGUUGUUUUGAUCUCUUCGUAUAGUUUUGACUGAAUCUCGGGGUUCUCGAUCAUUCGGGCAAUUGCCCACUCGACCGCCGUCCCUGUUGUGUCGGUGCCGCCAUUGAGGAACUCGGAGCAGAGUGUGACGAGCUCGGGGUUGGUUGGAGAUGAUUUACGCCCCUCGAUUUUGAGAUCGAAGAUCGUGUCGAGGUAGGAAAAUGAAGCCGCGGUUUUAUCUGAUCCUGGGUUUUCAAGCGCCGCACGCCGCCUCUCGAUGAAGGGGACAACAGUUUUGAUCUGCCUCUUCCGCACUUCCGUGGCGGCUUUCCUCUGCUUUGAGAAGAAUGGGCUUAGAAGUGGGAGAUAGUCAUCAAGUCUUGGAUCAAGAGUGAUUAGAACAGUUUUCAUCAGAUCAUCCAUCACCUCAAUGGUCUCCUCAUCCAUUUCGACUCCAAAACACAUAGACAAAAGGAUGCAAAAAACAGCAAAUCGAGCAUUCUUCAGAACCCAAACAGCUCCAUCAUUAGCCUCAGCCUCGCUCCGUAGCCUGUCAAUGAGCUUAUCCAUGGACACAUCUCUCAAAUUGCUGAACUCCCUAAUCUUGCUUGCACUGAGCAUGUUUUGCACCAUGUUCCUCCGCAGCGACCGCCAGACAGGGCCGUAGACGGCAGCGUUCACCGUGAACUUGUUGCAGCUGAACACGGUGCGCGUAGGGUUUUCUCGAGGCCUGCUAGCGAAAGACUGGCCCUUUUCGAUGAGAGCUUCGUGCGCCAAUUCUGCACUGCUUAUUAUGAUCAUGGUUCUAUUCCCCAUCUUCAAAGUGAAAAUUGGGCCAUAUUUUGGCCUAAGCUCUCUCACAUACUGAAAAAAUUGCUUCCCAGAGCGAGCAAAUUGGAAGAGGUUUCCAACAAUAGGCCAACCAGGGGGUCCCGGAGGAAGGUUUAGCUUCUUUGACUUGGUUUUACGUGACAGCAAGACGAUCAGACCUGAUAUGAGGAAGGCUAAAGCAGUGAAGAAGAUGUGGUAGUAAGGAGAAUAAGUCGAAGAAGCAGCAGCAAAAGCAGGAGCCAUGGAGAUGGUGUUGAGACAGAGAAAGAGAGAAGGCAGGAGGAGAAGAGGAGAUGAAGUAAUGGAGGAAGGUUGGAGAGGGGUAUAAAAUGGAGAGGGCGUGAAAUUGCAGGUGGGGUUCAAUUAAGGCUCUUCAAGUCUUCUACCAACGCACAACUGGUUGUGUUAAAUGCUAAAGAGAGAGAGAGAGAGAGAGAGAGAGAGAGAGAGAUGGGGUUUUGAGAAAUAUGGAAAACCAGUGACACUGACGCCCCUCAUGCAAGCAAUGUCUUUAUGGCCACAAAUUUCUUAUUGUCUCUCAAAUUUGAACUAAAAAAUUAGACUAAAUUAAGAGUUUUGGUAAGGUUGAAGAAAUUUAUGGUGGCCCUCUGAAUCUGGUGUGCCAAGCCUUUGAUUGGGAUUCAUUGAAUAAAAACGGUUCAUAAAUGAACUCUACCCUUGAGUCGGAGGCCACUACUGGAUGGAGCAUUUCACAGUAAGAAAAAAAAAACAGAAAAUAAAUGGAGUUGGGGUUGGAAAAUGGUGAGUUACAGUCUUUUAGUACUUGCAUCUACUGCUGAAACUUGACCUCAAAAGGAUUAAUUGAUUCAUGAGAGUAGGAGGUGUAGACUACAGAGUCUGUCAUGGUUCACAGUUCAAAGAGAUUGAAAUAUCGAGGAAGAGAAUGAAAAGAGAGUCAGUGAUGAGUUAGUUGAGUAGGAUCAGAGCCACCUGUACAAUAAUACCAUGUAGACCAGCACUGCGACGGGACUGAGAUUCAUCUCAUCUGUCACUAGUCAGUCAUGGUACAUUAGCUUAUUUUGAUUUAAACUGCUUUACGUGUUCCAGGUUCGUACACCAUUUUGCCUUAUUUGGAGCCCAUGGUUUGCUUUAAAGAAUUGAUUUUCUCUUUAAUUCUCCUCUUAAUAUGCCUUAAAGAGUGCCAAAAAAAUAAAAAAAAUUCACUAACCUUUUCUCUCAAAAAACGGUUUCUCAAAACAGUUUUUAAAAACAUUCUCUCAUGUUUUUUUUUGUUAACACAAAAAAUUGUCCCAAACCGAAAAUAUUCUUAAUAUAUUUUGUAUGUUUUCAUAUAUUUCUUAAAGGUAAUUAUUUUUGUUAAAGUUUGGUUAUUUGAAUUCUAUUUGAUCAAACUUGAAAAGCCCGUGGUACGAUACAUAUGAUGAAAUUAUAAUUAUGAGAUUUUUUUGGAGUUUUAUAAUAGUAAUAGAGAAAUUAAGAGAGUGUUUGAUACUAAUUCUAUGAAGUAUUUUUAAUCUUUUUAAUAUAUAAAUUUUUUUAUCUUUUAAGUAUUAAAAAAAAGUAGAAAGAUAUUCUAAAAUCAUUAUCAAACAUACUUUAAGUGUGGGAUAAUGUAAUUUUAGAAUUAUGAUGAUUAUGCUUUUUUGUAAUUGCUCCCAAUCUUAUGAUACUUUUUUGAUAUAAUGAAUUUUUUUUAUUUUGUUUAUGAUUUUUCUUGUUUAGAGUUUUUCACAUAAAUUUAUAUAUUUUUAUUCUAUUUUUAACUACCUAUUCUCAUUAUUGUGGAACAUUUUUUAUUUUUAAAAAUAAAAAAUAUAUAUAUUUUUAAAAGAAGCUCGCAAAGAGGAUUGUCAAAUUCAGUGAAAAUUGAAUUCCAAGUGGGGAGAAGGCAUCCAUCCAGCACAGUAAGAGUCCAAUAAAUGGCACCCAUGACAAAGGGCAUAGGGUCGGAAGGAUUGUGAUUGAAGAUGGGGAUUAUUUUCUUCUUUUAAAAAUAAACUGACUGACAAGAAACUCAACAGUUGCAAGUACUUCUACUACUUCUUUCCUGAAAUAUAAAAAUAGGUUUGUUUGUCUGCAUAGUUUUUUAAUUUACUGUUGAAAACAAAUUUUAAAAUUAUUUUCUGACUGAAUCAAUUUCAGAAGACUUGUCACGAUGAUUCAAAGAUUGCAAGGACUUCUACCAUUGAAACAUCCGAAAACAAUAUGAUGGUCCUUUCUCUUUUGCCUUCGAAAAUAGUUAAAGAUAUGUUAUUUUAAAAAAAAAUAAAAUUAUGUUUAUUUUCAUUGACAAAAUUAAUAGACCCAAAAUAUUAGAAUUAUUAGUAUAUACUUAUACUUGGGCAUAAGUUUUGUCCAACGAAAUGUUGAAAAAGAAUCCUCCAUGCUCACAUUAAAAUCCCAAAGAAAAUACCUCAUGAUAAGAAGAAAAUUGUUAGUUAGAUUACUUAUAAUUUUUUUUAAAAAUAAUUUUAAGAAAAAUCUUGAGGGUAAUAGAAAGGAGGGGAAAUCAUGCAACCAUCCAUUAUCUAAAAAAAAAAAAUUGCUUUUUAAUAUAGACUUCAUCGAUCACCUACAAAACUAAGCUUUAUAGCACAUACUUCAUAGUAUAUAAAGGAAAAGCUAAUCAUAUUUAAUAGAAGAGGUUGAAAGAAUUUUCCAUUUAAACAAACAUCCAAGAUAAUAUUCUCAAUUCUUGAUUCAUAAUAAGAUGGUAUAUAAUAUUAAUUAAUUUGUGAGCUUCCACAAAGAUAUUAUGUUUGUUAGUGUGUGUAUUACAUUGCCUAUGAUUAACAAUUUGAAUACAUAUAUAUCCUGAGAUCUAGUCAUUAGUGGGAUCCAUUCCUGCUAAGGUUCUAUGUAUUGCUCAUCUUGGGUUUGUUUGUGAGCUCUUGUCUAGAGUGAAGUAUAGAUUAAUUAAUACAAUUUUUUCAUAUUUUGUUUUGAAAAUAUAUUAUUUUUAAAAUUAAAUAAAGAUAUUUUUCAGUGUUUUUUUAAAGUAACGUUAUAAAGAAUAUUUUGAACAAUUUUAGAUUGUAAAUAAAUACAUUAUAGCUUUAUAGAAUGUAAGCUGAAAAUAAUAAUUUUUAUAUUUAAAUUCUCAAAUAGAAUUUUAUUCUUAAAGAUAAUUGAAAAUUGUUUUUAAAAAAUGUCUUUCAAUAUGUUUUACACACAAUUUUUUCUUCAAGAAAAAUCAUGCUCAGUGGAAUUGGAUUUUUAUUGAUUUGUAGAAUGAUAUUGGAAUAAUCUUUAAAUUUUUCAUAUUUAAAUUCUUAACAAAAUUUUAUUUCUCAAGAAAAUUGAGAAUUGUUUUUAAAUAGUGUUUUUAGAUAAUUGGUCAAGUUGGAUUUUUAUUAAUUUGAAAAAUGAUAUAGCUAGAAUUUUUAUUUUGUUCUCCAAUUCUUCAUUUCCUAGUUGUUAAUCAAGGACCAAAAAAUGUUUGAUUUAGAAUAGCUUAAACCUAAUUUAGACCUUGACUUAAUUUAAUUUUGAGUCUUGACUUAACAUAGAUUCCGACUUAAUUUGGAUAUUGAUCGAAUUCGAACCUAUGUUUAACUUAGGUUUUGGUGUAACUAGGACCUUGGCCAAACUUGAGUUUUGGCUUGACUUAAACAACAUCAAGGACUUUGAGUAGUUUGAUCUCAAAUUGUAGAAGCCUUUUGUAGAUUUUCAUUUUAAAAGUUGAAACUUAAGACUUUGAAGAUCUUAACAAUUCAAAGAUACUUUAAAAAAAAUUGAAGACUUAUAUCUCAUUUUAAUUUUGAAAUAGUGUUGAAUCUCCCAUAAAGAGUUUCCUCUAACUCUUAUCUUCUAAAUUGUCUUUAAAUUACCUUGUCAAUGCUUUGCAGUUGGUUUAAGUUACAUGGAUUAGAAAAAAUCAUAUUUAGAUCAUUUUUUAUUUUUUAUAAAUAUUAUUUCUUAAUUAAAAUAAAUAUAUAAGGAGAUUUGAAGGACUAUAUUGGAUAGUUUCAACAUUUUAAAAUAUUAUUCUUUAAAUUAAAAAUAAUAUCUAAGCUAAAUUGAAAGACUAUAUUUGAUAACAUUCAAUUUAUUUCUUAGUAAAACUUGAUAAUUAUUUUUUCGAUUAUCAAUUUACUAUUUCUAUUAAUUCUAAUAACUUUUCUUUUCUUUCGGUUUUUCUUUUUUUUUUUGGAGAUUCAUGCUAACUUUUUCAUGGAUUGAAAAUUUAUUUCAUGUGAUCACUUAUAAUUAACCACAAUAUAAAUCAAUUAUGAACAUUUGAUUUUUCUUGUGAAUUAUAAUUAACUUAAUUUGAGUAUAUAAUAAAAAGUUGUUCAUAAACACAAGUGUACACACAAAUUUUCGCGAAUUGUCUACAAUCUCUGUGAUAAUAUUCUUUACAAAAGAAUAUAUCCCUCUGGUUCUUUCACUUUGAUCACAAUUUGGAAGACGACAAUGAUGUUUUCUUGAUUUCGAAGAUCAGUUAAGGGUCAUAAGUGACUUAUUCUCGAAUGAACUUGUUGAAUGACAAAGCUCGCGUGUGUAGAACUUUUAUCGUUUCUUGAAAGGGAGAUUUUUGUGAAACCCUUUUUUUUAUGAAGCAUCUUUUCCCCUAUAGAGUAGUUUUUUGCCAAUCUAAAGAAGUCCAUACGUCGAAGGAAAUCACCCAUUUUUAUAGGUGAAAAUAGGAAAUCAAAAUUUGGAAUUCCCUAAGAUGUAGUUGCUUGAUUUUAACAACUUGUCUUCUCCAUUAAGGAAAUUUGUCAACAAGAGAAUAUAUAUAUAUAUAUAUAUAUAUAUAUAUAUUUUGACUUCAAGAGGAAUAUUUGUUUCUUUAAAAAAAAAAAAUUGUCAAUUAGAGAAUAUUUAUUUAUUUAUUUUUUAUUUUCUUUUGACAAUAAUUUGGAAGAUUUGAUUUUAUUUGGAAGACUAAAUUUUGUAGUCUUCCAAAUUGGUCCACAUGCCACCUUUUUAACAUAUGCCAAGUGUCAAAUAUGUGUAAGACCAAUCAUGUGUAGAUCCCAUAUUUUGUUGAAUCGAGGAGUCACAUUUUUUUUAAGAUCAAUUUAAUGAUAAUUUAUUUCACUAAAAAUUUUUAUGUCUACAAAUGCUCCCACUUCAAGACAUAUCACGUACAUGCCUUGCAAUGUAUAUGGUGGGUCUUGAAGUUACUCUUCAAAAUUUUUCUUUUCAAAGAAAUAUUUUUAAUAGGAAGUUUCCUAUUUAAAAUAUCUCUUUCCCACUUUUCUGAAAUAUUAUUUUAUUUCAUUUCUUUCUUUCCAUUUGGCAUCAAAGGAAGGUUUUGUGUUAAUAGGAAAGUUUCUAUUUUGACUAUCCACUUUCACUUCCCAUCCUUUCCAAUUUACCCCCUUUAUAUAUAUAUAUAUAUAAAGGGGGUAAAAAUUUGAGAAAUCCAAAUCGAACUCUCUUGAAGAAUUUUCUCAAUCUUUGGACAGUCUUCAACCCAAUUUGAAAAAUCUGACUUGAAUUCUUUCACGAGAAGUCUUUCACCUUAAGCCAAUUUCCAAACCCGUAAGUUGUAUUUUAUUUUAUUUUUAUUUUUAUUUAUUUUUACCUUUAAGGACUUCUAUCGUGGGAACGUGGAGAUUUAACAAUAGUAGUGUGGACUAGUAUCAUGUGAUGGAGUAGCAUGUUUUGGGAGUGAACGAAGACAAUAUCAUGUUGUGGGUUAUGCAGAAGCAACCAACAUAUACAUAUAUGUAUACGUACAUAUGAAUGGCUAACAGUGGGAACAAACAAAGAAAGCAAUUGAAAUAUAUAUAAAUAAAUAUAUAUAUAUAUAUAUAUAUAUAUAUAUAUAUAUAUAUAUAUAUAUAUAUAUAUAUAUAUAUAUAUAUAUAUUGGAAUCUUCCUAGAAAUUGGUUGACACGUGAUCUCCUUAUUCGUUUUUCUUUUCUUUUCCUUACUUUUUUUUCUUUUUUUUUUCUUUUUUUUUUAGGAAGGAAAAGUUCCACGAUCCCAAAGACGUGUCAAUCUCCAUCGCUUUGCAAAGAUGAAUUUGGCUUUAGAUAUUUUAUAUAUAUAUAUAUAUAUAUUUUAAUUACCUUAACACUUGAGGAAGAAUUUUUUUGGUAAACUUAAAUAUCCAUAAGAAUUUAUGAAUAUUUAAAACUUGAUCCUCAUGUAAUCAAGUUGUAGUCCUUAUGUGAAGCAGUGUUGUAUUUUGACAUUUAUAUGCUAAAGUCUUCACCCAUGCAGAUUGCCUUGACUUAAAUGUAUAGUGGUGUUCAAGUUUUAAUAUUUAAUUAAAACUAUAACAAUAUUUGACACAUGCAAACAAGUUAUGGCCCUAACAUCAUGCAAUGUUAUACUUUCGGCACUUAAUGCGGCUUAGGUGCUAAGGUUUUUACUCAUGCAGAUUGACUCGACUUGAAUGCAUAAUGGUAUUCAAGUUUUAAUAUUUAAUUAAAACCAAAAUAAUAUUUGACACCUAUGCAGACAAGUUGUCUUUAUGCUACGUGUGUUGUACUUUCAAUACUUAGUACGAGAUAAGUGUUAAGGUCUUCACUCAUGCGAAUUGGAGUAACUUGGAUGUAUAAUGGUGUUUAACUUCUAAAAAAAUUAGACCCACAUUUUAUUUUAUUUAUUUUAUUAUUAUUAUUUUUUUGCAGGAUAAUAUUCUUCAAGUAUUUCAAGGAAAAGACUGUGACCAUUCUCAAGGAUGAUAGUGAAGAUUUUUAGGAGAGAACUACCCUGUCAGUGCAUAAGUCACUUACUGACCUUCAAUCCUUGUUGGUGCUAGUGACAAAGGAUCCAUUACACAUUUCUUCUUGGUCUCGAGUAGCAUCUUGCAAGCUUACUGAUUCGUGCCCACUUGGUGUGUCAGCUGAUUCAUGUCCAGCUGGUGCUUCUUGAUUGAGGGAGUAAUCAACAAAAUUUAUAACCUAUUACACCAUGAACUAGGGUAGCAAAGACAAAGCUACUAUAGCAUAGUGGCUCUAGGAUCGUUCACUGGGAUGAGAUUUCACUCCAUAAUUGAUAUUAAUUCAAAGAUGAAUUGGUGCCUUUUCAUUUCAAGGUUAGCUUUAAAAGAAAACAUAAAGAUGUUUGAAAAAGGAUUGGUUUUAAGCUAACCAAAAAUAAUAACUGAUUUUACUUACAAAGAAAAGUGUUUCUUGGAGUUAAGAUCACUGGGUUCAGAUUCCUCAUAUAAAAAGGAGAGUUCCAGUCACUUGUUUAUUUUCCUCGCAUUGAGGAUUUAACCUAUAGUUAUUUCCCGAACCGGUGUGGUACAGAUGCUUCCCAUUAAUGGGUUCAAACACUAAAUCCCUCUCACUGAUGCAACUUGCAAUGACUCAUACCUCUCACCUAACACUUGCCAUUCAAGGUGAUCUUUAACCUUGGAUUACCCGUCAAAAGCUCGCAAGAGAUAACUAAUGGAUGUCUCCUUUAAGUCCAAAAGCUUACCAAGUGUUGGCUAUUCUAGAAAAUCCUACCUUCAAACCACCUCCCAAAGGCUCGCAAGAGAUAAACUAGUGCAUCUCAAUGGAUGGAGAUCACUUGCCUUACCAAGUGUUGGCCCAGGUGAUUUAAAGGCGUUUUAAGUUAACUAAAAAGAUAAAAACCAUUAACGAGUCACACUUUCUCUUCAUUAAAAACUAAAACAACAAAACUUCCAAUUUAUGUAUGUGGAAACUUACCCGGCUUUCUUUACUCCAAGAGACAAAGAGCCUAGCCUCUCAUCCUCUGAGAAAAAAUCCUCAGAGUUUGAUUGGCUAGAAAGAAAAAGAAUAAGAAAACAAAAAUAUAUAUGAAAAACAGAGCAAGUGCUCUGUAUUUUACUUCCUUGCAAAACUGUACAAAGGAUGCGUCUCUGAGAACAAGCUCCCAGAUUUUUCAUACCUCUAAGAACAAGCUCCCAGAGAUUACAUACAUUUUCUAAAGAAGAUUACAAACUAUCUAUAAGGGGUUAUUCACCCUUUGUUUUUACUUAAAGACUAAGGAAUCCUAUGAUAGGUGGGUUACAAGGAGACUUUGGGGAUUUAGACAUCAAAUAUCUAAAGCAAAAUAUCUCAAAAUGUCGGUCGCACAUAUCGGGAAUUUAGACAUUAAAUAUCUAAAGCAAAAUAUCUCAAAAUGUCAGUCGCACAUAUCGGGAAGCUUCAGGAGAACACAGCGGCACUGUACAAAAUGGCUGUGAAACUCUCCGGGUAAGGGCUAUCAGAUGAUCCGGAUAUGUCCAUCCGGGGAAGUUGAAACGCCCUCCUUUCCCAUCCGGCGUCAGGCGCCGGAUGUGAAACAUCCGGAGAAGGUGGCACGUCACCCGGACAUAAUUCCGGAUGUGGGAUAUCCGAAGAAGAUGGAACGUCGCAAGGGUGACCGUUCACGUGUGCAUGGUGUAGGGACCCAUCCGGAGCAACUCCAUCCGGAUUCCCCAAGAGGAUACGCAGCGCGCUCCCUUAUCCGGACUCCCUCAGGGAGAAGCACGUGGCACUCGUGAUCAUCACACCCAGAUGAUAGCAUAUCUUAUCUGGAUAUGUUGUCCGGAUCAUUGACUUAAGUGCACAAGCCUUGCUACGUCAUUCCGACAGCCUGCCACAGCCCAUGUUUCGCCGCCCUCUGAUGAUGUGUCCGAAUGCCCAUACUCCUUGCAUUCCGGAUUUGCUUAUGGCAAAGGACUUCAAAGCUUCGGCUCUUCAUGUUUCUGAGCUUUCCUUUGCUUUGCCAUGGAUUCCAAAGAAUUCUCCUCAAUCUCGAAUUUGAUUUGGUGAUCAAAAAGCUAUCAAAACACCAAAACUUAACACAAUUUGAUUAGAAUUGAUUGCAAGGGUCCUUAAUAUGUUAAUUGGGUUAAAAGGUGAUAACUACUACUCAAAAGUGUUUAAAAGAGUUAAUUACAAGCUAUGAAAUAGCACUUUUUGAGUAGUAAUCACUUACAAACAUUAAUAAUUCAAAAUUCAACAAAGUAAAACUUGUUUCUAAUGUUAUACUAUUGAAUUCUUCUCACCUAACCACUACUGAAACUCAAAGUGAAUUUGGAUUGUUGGGAUCUCAUGUUCAUGAUGGAGAAGUCGAAUGAGGAACCUCCUUUAAGGUGCUUGGGGAAUCUUUUUUUAUUGAAGGAUAUUGGGAAUGGGUAGAAGAUAUGUUUGGUUAACAGAGAAAACUUCUUAAAGAAAACAAACUUUACGAAGAUAUAUUUGCUUCUUUGUUUAGCUAUGAUCAUCAUACUUCUAUUAUCAGAGUUUUUUUGCAAACAUUGAUGUCCUUCAACUAAUACCUUGCAUAAUUCUAUUGGAGAGGUUUUCAUCUCCCUUUGGGACUUAUAUCGCAUUGUUGGGCUACAUAUCAUUGGAUAUUUUUAUGAUGAAAUGGUAUUGACUACAGAAAGGCUAUCAAAGUCCUCACUCUCACCAAGUUGUCAAAACUUGUUCCUUGCAUAUCAUCAAAUUUGCUUUGAGAUGAAGAGGAAGUUUUUAGUUAAGAUAGCCUCUUGGGUGUUGUUUUGGUUCAAAGACUCUAUGAAGUAUGCAAAAUCCCUAAAGAAUAGUACAAGGAACAAGACACAGAGACUUAAGGAGACUCAUAAUCCUUUUGGGAAUGUUGAUCCUCUUGAAUCUUAUAAUUAGUCAGAGAUGAAGGUGUUUGACGACCUUGGUAUGGCUAAGGUAAAUAUUGAGGAAACCUAUUUUACGAUACGACUUUCCUUGUAUGUUGGUUAUGCAAGUUUGUUCUUCUUAGGGAGGGUGUGAAUUUGAUUCGUCAUGGAGUCUUCAAGGAAGCUAGUAGAAUGGCUCAAGGUGAGACAUUAACCUUGUUAUUCCGGUGUUAGCAAGCAUUUACAAUGGCUUGAAUGAAAUUGUUUGUUCCUCAAAGCCUAGGACUAAUGCAUCUAUUUUCCUUAUUCACUAUUUAUAUGGAUAGUUAGGCGAAAAUUUUGAUACCCAUUUCUUCUUUUCUUCUUGGAAUCAUUCUCCACGGAUGACUUGUUAUGUCAAUGAGUUUUUUGCUAAGUCUUUUGAAGAUUCACAAGCGUGGGCUUUGAUAAUAUCUUGCAAAGGUGUAAAGUUGAACCACUUGGUAUUGCAGUACAAAGAGCACAUGUAUUGGAUUGAUAAUGAGUCUAUUACUACUACCCAAACUUCUUAUCUCUUAAGUCUUCGCUUUACCUAUUUAUCUUUACGAAAAGGUAACCAUUGAGUAAUUCAACUGUAUUAUCCUCGCCGAUUUUGUAGACAAUUUGGGCAUCCUCAAGAUGUUCCUAGGGGUUUACUAGAGGUUUUUCGCACUAGAACUUUAGAGGUGGUGUAUAAACAUUGGAAGUCAUGCACUAGGCUUGGCACCCACUCCAAAAUUACUAUGCCAAAUUAUCAUAGUCUUGACGAGUUCUCAAUCACCAAGGCUUAUGCAGAUUGGUGGAUUGGAAUGUGUAAUCUUGAGAAGAACAUGCUUACUAUUACUUGUAUAGAGCCCCCUCAUGUUCUUCUCUACAAAUACCCUCAAAAUCUUUGGAGAGUAGAACAUGCAAGAUCAACCCAAGUGUUUCUACUAAGAGCAAUGUUGGGGACAACAUUGAGGGAAACUUUGAUAAUUUACCUAAUGACUUAAGAGUUUCUUCUAAGCACUCAAUGGGUGGUCAUCAAACUAAUGUUUUCACACACUUGGAACAUGAAGGAAUUAUCUUUUAUGGUGGUAAUGCUCACUAUCACCAAACUUUUAAGCAAAUCAACAAUGCAGAGGUUCUUCAUGUAUCUAGUGACGGCUCCAAGGAUAUAAGUGAAUGUCAUUUCAAACAUCGAAAGACUAGACCCUCCCUUAUGUACUAUGAUGAGACUAACUCUCAUGCAGAUGUUUUCUUUGCUGAUGCUCCAUCUUCUACUCAACCAAUGGAACUUAGUGGUGAAAAAGGUUUUUUGUUUUUGUUUUUUUUUUUUAACACGUCGAUGUUAACAAAAAAAAAAAAAAAUCGCCUUAGGAUGAAGAUGACAAUCAGCUUAUCGGUGAGGAUAAUGAUUCUUUUCUUAAAGGCCAGUUUGAAAAUGUUGAUAGCACUAAGGUUCUAUGUAUUGCACAUCUUGGGUUUGUUUGUGAGCUCUUGUCUAGAGUGAAGUAUAGAUUAAUUAAUACAAUUUUUUCAUAUUUUGUUUUGAAAAUAUAUUAUUUUUAAAUUAAAUAAAGAUAUUUUUGAGUGUUUUUUUAAGUAAUGUUUUGAACAAUUUUAGAUUGUACAUGAAUACAUUAUAGCUUUAUAAAGUGUAAACUGAAAAUAAUAAUUUUUAUAUUUAAAUUCUCAAAUAGAAUUUUAUUCUUAAAGAUAACUAAAAAUUGUUUUUAAAAAAUGUCUUUCAAUAUGUUUUACAUACAAUUUUUUCUUCAAGAAAAAUCAGGCUCAGUGGAAUUGGACUUUUAUUGAUUUGUAGAAUGAUAUUGGAAUAAUCUUUAUAUUUUUCAUAUUUAAAUUCUUAACAAAAUUUUAUUCCUCAAGAAAAUUGAGAAUUAUUUUUAAAUAGUGUUUUUAGAUAAUUGGUCAAGUUGGAUUUUUAUUAAUUUGAAAAAUGAUAUAGCUAGAAUUUUUAUUUUGUUCUCCAAUUAUUCCUUUCCUAGUUGUUAAUCAAGGACCUAAAAAAGUUUGAUUUAGAAUAGCUUAAACCUAAUUUAGACCUUGACUUAAUUUAAUUUUGAGUCUUGACUUAACAUAGAUUCCGACUUAAUUUGGAUAUUGAUCUUAUUUGAAUCUUGGUUCAACUUAGGUUUUGGUGUAACUAGGACCUUGGCCAAACUUGAGUUUUGGCUUGACUUAAACAACUUUGAUCUCAAAUUGUAGAAGCCUUCUUCAGAUUUUCAUUUUAAAAGUUGAAACCUAAGACUUUGAAGAUCUUAACAAUUCAAAGAUACUUUAAAAAAAAUUGAAGACUUAUAUCUCAUUUUAAAAUUUGAAAUCGUGUUGAAUCUCCCAUAAAGAGUUUCCUCUAACUCUUAUCUUCUAAAUUGUCUUUAAAUUACCUUGUCAAUGCUUUGCAGUUGGUUUAAGUUACAUGGAUUAGAAAAAUCAUAUUUAGAUCAUUUUUUGAUUUUUUAUAAAUAUUAUUUAUUAAUUAAAAUAUAUAUAUAUAUAUAUAUAUAUAUAUAUAUAAGGAGAUUUGAAGGAUUAUAUUGGAUAGUUUUAACAUUUUAAAAUAUUAUUCUUUAAAUUAAAAAUAUUAUCUAAGCCUAGGACUAAUGCAUCUAUUUUCCCUAUUCACUAUUUAUAUGGAUGGUUAGGAGAAAAUUUUGAUACCAAUUUCCUCUCUCCUUCCUAGAAUCAUUCUCCACGGAUGACUUAUUAUGUCGAUGAGUUUUCUGCUAAGUCUUUUGAAGAUUCACAAGUGCGGGCUUUGAUAAUGUCUUGCAAAGGUGUAAAGUUGACCACUUGGUAUUACAGUACAAAGAGCGCAUGUAUUGGAUUGAUAAUGAGUCUAUUACUACUACCUAAGCCUUUUAUCUCUUAAGUCUUUGCUUUACCUAUUUAUCUUUACGACAAGGUAACCAUCGAGUAAUCCAACCAUAUUAUCCUCAUUGAUUUUGUAGACAAUUUGGGUAUCCUCAAGAUGUUCUCGGGGGUUUACCAGAGGUUUUUGCACUAGAACUUUAGAGGCGGUGUAUAAACAUUGGAAGUCAUGCUCUAGGCUUGGCACCCACUCCAAAAUUACUAUGCCAAAUUAUCAUAGUCUUGAAGAGUUCUCAAUCACCAAGGCUUAUGCAAAUUGGUGGAUUGGAGUGUGUAAUCUUAAGAAGAACAUGCUUAGUAUUGCUUGUAUAGAGCCCCCUCAUGAUUCUUCUCUACAAAUACCCUCAAAAUCUUUGGAGAGUAGAACAUGCAAGAUCAACCCAAGUGUUUCUACUAAGAGCAAUGUUGGGGACAACAUUGAGGGAAACUUUGAUAAUUUACCUAAUGACUCAAGAGUUUCUUCUAAGCGCUCAAUGGAUGGUCAUCAAACUAAUGUUUUCACACACUUAGAACAUGAAGGUACUAUCUAUUAUGGUGGUAAUGAUCACUAUCACCAAACUUUUAAGCAAAUCAACAAUGCAUAGGUUCUUCAUGUAUCUAAUGAUGGCUCCAAGGAUAUAAGUGAAUGUCAUUUCAAACAUCGAAAGACUAGACCCUCCCUUAUGUACUAUGAUGAGACUAACUCUCAUGCAGACGUUUUCUUUGCUGAUGCUCCAUCUUCUACUCAACCAAUGGAACUUAGUGGUGAAAAGGUUUUUUGUGUUUGUUUUUUUUUUUAAAACAUCGAUGUUAACAAAAAAAAAAAUCGCCUUAGGAUGAAGAUGACAAUCGACUUAUUGGUGAUGGCGAUGAUACUUUUCUUAAAGGCCAGUUUGAAAAUGUUGAUAGGACUAAGGGGUUGACGUCCUUCAACUAAACUAUCCAAUGAGAAGAUCAUUUUAUCAUUCCAACACCCUUACCCCAUUUUCAUUUGGGUGAUGAAGGUAUUACUAACAUUUCAAGUAAUGUUUUGAUUGAAUCUUGAUGUUAAGAGGCCACCAUUGAAAAUACCAUAUAUGAUGAAUUGACACUUUUAACUAUUGCAGGUUUAAUUGCUAAACAACAAUCCCCAUACUCUGAUACACCUCCUAUGGCCCCUUCUGAUUUUAUUCACAUAUUUGAUAUGGAAUAAAUUGUCUUUGAUGCACAAUGUUAAGCAACACGCAUGAUAAGAGAGAGCAUUAAGAAAAUGAUUCUAAAAAAUUCCAUUGAUCAUUUCUCAUUACUGAAAGGAAAAAUUGAUGAGCUUUUUAGGGCUAUUAUGAAGACCGACGUAGACUCUUCACCAUUAAAGUCUUAGAUUCAGAAGUACAUGAAAAGUAUAGAUCACUUUGUUGCAGUGCAAUGUGCCAACUCUACUAAGAUAUCAUUUGAAGUAAAAAACGAGCGUUUGAUUAUUAUUGCAUCUCAGAUUGCUAAUGCUUUAAACUCUGAAACUGUGGAGGCAAGGCAUUGUGAAUUAUUAAAGACUGACUUAGUUACUCUUGAUGCUAAGCAAGACGCGCUUAAGAAGGAGUUGGAACAACUAGGUAUACAAAGAGAGUGCCUUUAUAACUCAAUUUUGGAGACUGAUGAGAAUUUAGUCAAUAAGUAGAAUGAUAUUUCUCGUUUGAGGCAAGAACACGUUGCUAUCGCCCAAAACCCUUGUGCUUACUGAUGUCGAUGUCAAGACCUUAGAGACACUUUAAGAAACCUUAAAAACUCAACGUGAUGAGCUCGAAUGCUUGGUGUGGGUGUGAUUGUUGUGCCUUUAGUUCCACCAUCCAUUUUCUUCUUUCAUUUUUAUUGAAAUGUAAUAAGUUUAGCAUUUGCUAUCCAAACUUAUUUAUAAAAUGAGGUUUUUUUUUGUUUUUUUUUUUUGUUUAAGUGAUUCAACUUAGGUAGUUUCCCCAAGUUGCCUACGUAACCUUCAAAGAGAAGAGAUCAAGUCAAAUGUAGUUCAUUUUAUUAUUAUUAUUAUUAUUAUUACGCUUUAACUUUUGAUAAGACUAAAAGAGAGUUUUAAUCUUGCGAGCAUCUGUCUUAACUUUUGCCUAAGUCACCUUUUCAGGUUUUCAACUUAGCGGACCUUUUUUUUUUUUUUUUAUUGUGUCGUAUGUAGUUUAAGUUCAUGUAGAGUAGGAAUAACACUUGUCUUGAGUUUGAUCGAAGGGUGAUAAAUUCAUGUCCUUGGAAAAAAAUUUAAUUGAGGGUCAAAGAGGACUUAUUCUCAACCAAACUUGUGAAAACCUUUCUUAAGCAUUUCAGAGAACAAAAUAAGGUCAUUUUGAAUUCAUGUUGAUUUUUUUCAACCUUAAACGUGGAUGAAUGGCAGUUUCGUAUUGUGUUUGAUAUUCUUCCAUAGGCUUGUUGAAGAAUGUGUUGAGCUUGGACUUGAUUUUAAUUUAAGAGUGAUAAACACGUGUUAUUGGAGCAAAGUUUAAUUGAGGGUCAAUGAUGACUUGAUUUCAAGUAAACUUAUCAAUAAUUUCAUUAACUGUUUUGAGAAACCUAACCUUGUUUUCUUUAGCUUUGAAGGUGGAUGAAUGACCCUUUUGUUUGUAUUUGGUAUUCUUCCACGAGCUUGUUGAAGAAUGUUUGGAAUUUGAUCUUAACUUUUAAAGCUCCAUUUUUGGAUUUAGCUUCUAGGUUGCAUAUUUCUUUUGAGAGCGCUUCAUGCUGAAAGAUAAUAACACUUGUAUUUAGAGAAGUUAGAGAUUUUAGUUUAGAAUCUCCGAAUUUGACUUUUUUUAAUACAAAGAGUUUGUUCCUUAGUUUAAGAAGUUUGGCAAUAUAUAUAUAUAUAUAUAUAUAUAUAUAUAUAUAUAUAUAUAUUUGCAUAAGUUUGAUUUGUUUUUUUUUUGUUACUACAAUUUAAGCUCUUUUAGGAUAGAAGAAUAUGCAGUUCAAGCUCAUGCUUUAAGAAGCAUCAGCGGAGUGCUGAGGUUUGAAAAUAAUUAUAAUAAAAUUUGAUGUCACACUCUCUUCAUUGUCACUGGUGAAAAUGAUGGUUGCACAACAAGUCACACAAUUGUGGCCUUUGUCCCUAAAUUGUUUUGCCCCUUUUAUUUUUAUGGCAUAGGGUGAUGAAUUCUUAAGUGCUUGAAUCAAUGCAAUUCAUGUUUCCUUAGGAAGUUGUAACAUUUCAUGGAUAUUGAAGAGUGAGGGUAAGCAUUAUAGGUUUGCUACUACCUCAUCAUCUUUCUUGGUUUUGCUCAACUAUUCACCAAUAGCAUUUUCUUCAUCUUUCUUAGGUCAUCUUCUUUUGAAGUCUCAAGAUAAGAGAUCAUAUGAGUUGAUGUCACUAUCCCUCUAUUAAAAACUCUGGAAUGAAGUAUUCUCCUAAAGUGAUAGAGGUGAUGAGCUUUUGUACCAAAAUGUCAUCAACCUGUAUAAUCAUUUGUUUUUUUCGAGUUUGUUUUCUUCUUUCUUCUUCAAAUGUCGAUAGAUAUUUUGCUUAUGUUGCUCUUUCAUAGGAAGAUUUGGGUAUGAAUGAGAUUUUUUAUUCUUGUGAGGUUUCUUUUAUGUUACCAAUGUCCAACUAUCUUCACUAUAUGACAUUGAUUCAUUAUCAAAGCAAAGGUAAAGAAGGCUAUCUUGACAUGAAACUUGUGCUUGCUUUGGUUUCAAUGACUCACAUUGAAUAGUAUUGGUGCAUGCCCCCAGUUUUGUAGGUGGAACAUGUAACAAAACAGGAUUGAAUGACCCAAAUGUGACCAUAGUAUGAUUUGACUUUACCACUUCAUCCAAAUCCAAAUAAAUUUUUCCUUGUUUUGCAAGUUUCAUUAUGAGAUCUUUUAAGAUGAAACAUUUAUUCAUCGAGUGACUGACGAUUCAAUGGUAAUGAUAGUAGUUUGGAUCAUUAAUACGACCCAUUUCUUUUACACGCUUACACUUAAUUAGCUCAAUAACAUUUUUUCUAGAGCAGAUCUUCCAACAUGUUAGGCACAUCAAAGUUAGGAAAAAGAUACUUCUUCUCCUCCAGUUCCUUUAAGGUGAAUCGACGCCUCUCAUUUUCCUGGGUUAGUUCGGUCUUUUUUACUUUUUAUUUUUAUUUUUUAUCUCUUGCUAAGAUUUUGAUAAGACCUGUAUUUACCAUCAUUGACUCCUGGAUGGGUUUUAUUGAGGUUUUAUCACUUGUUUUCCCAUCGUGUCUCUCUAUUUGUCAGUCAACGAUAAGGUCAUUCUUAGCACCAUGGUUGGCUAAGUUGAGCUAACUCUUCAAAGGUGCGAGAUCGUACCUCUUGAAGGAUAUACAAAAGACCCCAAUGCAUUCCUUGUAUGCACAUCUCCACAGCUAACACCUCGAAUAAUCUAUCUUUACAGUCCAAGUUUAAGGAACACCAAUGAUUGAUGUAGUCUACGACUGGCUCAUCUUUCCAUUGUUUAGUAUUAGUAAACUCUAUCAUGCGUACAAUUCGUUGGGUGCUACAGAAAUGGUUGAAGAAUUUGCGCUCCAUUUAGUCCCAACUAUUGAUACACUCAAGUGCAAGAUCUUGGUACCAAUCGAAAGCAUUCCCUCGGAGAGAAAAAACGAAUUGUUUGACUAACAAGUCACUAUAUGUGCCUGUAUUAUUACAAGUUUCAACGAAAUGGGCAACAUGUUGUUUUGGAUUUUUCUUCCCGUCAAAUGAUUGAAACUUUGGAGGUUGAUAACCCACAUACAUACGUAGGUGAUUAAUCCUCUUAGUGUAAGGUUUAGAGUACAUGAGGGUAUUCUAUGAGGGUCCACCAUACUGUGCUCUAAUGGUGUUAGUUAUCAUGUCUUGAAGUUGCUGGACAGAUAAUGACACCACUGAUUACUACUCAAAAAGUGCUAUUUGAUAGCUUAUAAUUAAUCCUUUUAAACACUUUUGAGUAGUAGUUUUGGCCUUUUAACUCAAUUGGCAUGUUAAGGACCCUUGAAAGCAAUUUUAAUCACUUUGUAUAAGUUUUGGUGUUUUUGUUAGUAAUUUGAUCACCAAAGCAAUUCAAGAUUGAGGAGAAUUAUGAGGAAUCUUGGGCAAAUCUUGGAAGUCAUUUGCCAAGAGUAAAUCCGGAAUGCAAGGAGAAAAAGUAAAGAGAAUCUGCCAUGAAGCAUAUUCUUGAUGACAGUCGUAGCAGCCACUUUUGGAGCACUUUCUGGAGUCCAAUUGAUGCAUGUUAUAUACCAUUUCAAAGCUCAGGAAUUCAAAAAUCCAAUGCUUCAAACGGUGCGCAAUUCGGAGUUGAAACGAAGAAGUUGCAGCCAUUGCAAGCCAAUCACUCCAAGCUGAAGGAAGCAUUUUACAAAGUGUUGCGAAAUCACCCUUUUGUUGCGAAAUGAUUUCGCAGCCUUUUUGUACAGUAGGGUGUAUUUCCUUCUGAAGUUGCCCAAUAUAUGCCGCAAGCUGGAAGCUGAGAACAUCAAGGUGGAAGCCAACUUCACAGCCCUGCGAGAAUAGCUUUUUGCUGCGAAGUGAUUUCGCAGCCCUUCUUGAGUGUCUGCGAAAUCUCGCAGACACCAUUUUCUCUUACGAAAUGGUUCCUGGAGCAUCCCGAUAUUUGCUACCGACAUUGGGAGAUAUUUUGCAUCGGAUUUUUGUUGUCUAAAUCCCAAAAUACUCCUUGUAAGCCACCAAUUACAAGAUUCCUUAGCUUUUAAGUUAGUAAAAAGAGAAAAUAUCCAUGUAAUAAUUAGUUUUAUAUUAUGUUCAUAUAAAGACCUCUUGGGAGCCUGGUAUCAGAGGAGAUCCUUUUGUAAAGUUUUGGGAAAGCAAGUAAAGUUCAGGCCCUUUGUUUUGCCUUACCUUCUCACUUUGUAUUUUUUUUUUCUUACUAAGUUAUGAACUCUCUGAGGAGUUUUCCCCAGAGAAUGAGUAACUAAACCUCUAAUUCCUUGGAGUUAAGGUUGUCGGGGAAGGUUCCAAGUGUAAGAAUGCAAAGCUUUGUGGUUUUAGCAAGUAAUGAAGAGGAAGUGAAAUCCUUUAGUGAUUUCUAUGUUUUUAGUUAACUUAAAACACCUUAGAGUCACCUGGGCCAACACUUGGUAAGGCAAGUGAUUUCCAACCAUGGAGAUGCACUAGUUUACCCCUUACGAGCCUCUGGGAGGUGACUUUAAGGUAGGAUUUUCUGGAAUUGCCAACACUUGGUAAGCUUUUGGACUCCAAGGAGACAUCCAUUAGUUAUCUCUUGCGAGCUUGAGAAGGGAAGUCCAAGGUUAAAGAUCACCUUGAAUGGUUAAGGCUUAGUGAGAGGCUUAAACCAUUGCAAGUUGCAUCAGUGAGAGAAUUAAAGUUGAAAUCUAAUUAAAGGAUGUAUCUGUACAACGCCGGUUAGAGAAUUGACUAUAUGUUGAAUCUCUAACACGAGGAAAUGAACCAUCUGACCGGAGCUAUGUCUUUUGCAUGAGGAACCACCCCAGUGAACCUGACUCUCCAAGGAAUGCUUUUCUUCCUAAGUAAUUCCCAUUGCUUGUUUUGUUGGUUAAUUCAAAUCUAAAUCUUUACCAAUCAAAGUUUGUGUUUUAUUUCUUAAGCUAACCUUGAAAUGAAAUAAGACCAAUUCACUUUGAAUUGGUAUCAUUGAUAGCUUGCUAAUCCUUCCCAGUGAACGAUCCUAGAGCCGUUAUAUUAUAGUAGCUUUUUCUUUGCUACCCUAGUAUAUGGUGUUAUAGGUUAUAAAUUUUGUUGAUUACUCCCUCAAUCAAGGAGCACUAGCUGGACAUGAAUAAGCUGAGACACCAAUUGGGCAUGAAUCAAAUGGCGCCAUUGCCGAGGAUCGAACCCGGGUCACCCGCGUGAUAGGCGGGAAUACUCACCACUAUACUACAACAACGAGGUAGAUUUCGUUGUUUGUCUUUCGACUUGCACUGUCCUAGAUGCAUGUGGUGCAUCAUCAAGAGGAGAUGCAACAUUCAGAAGAUGGUUGAGUCAUUGACUUGACUCACCCAUAUUUUGUACUUGUGCCUCAACCUUGUUUAUGAGGAUGACUAUCUGCAUAUCCUUCUUCUCGAUUGUCUUGGUGAGUUUAGCGACGACAUAAGCCAUCUCUGUCGAUUGUUCCUUUACAAAUGUAAUGCCAAUUUCCAUUACUGACAUAAUCAUUAAGAAGUGAAAAGUAAAAGAGUCGAAACAAUUGGAGUAGUUUUCCUCAUUUGACAUUCCAGUUGGCAAUUCGAAGUGUGAGCCAGUGUUGGAUUUGGUAUCGGUAAUAGAGCAAGAUGACUUAUCCCUAAAGUCCUGUAGUGUUGAAGGAAGUUUUCCUUUGCUACGAGGACUAUGGUUUUUUACCUCCAGAGAAGCUAAAGUGAUGCAUGAUUGGUGCUCAUUAUGUGUCCUUAUCGGUUUUAACAAACAAGUAGACUCACUUAUUUGUUUUGUUGAAAGUGAAGAUGUUGAUUUCGCUUUGCUACGAGUCAUGAGGCCUAUAGCGGUGUUGUGUGUCAAUUACGCAAUGACGAUCUAGUCAUUGCCUUUGUUGACAUCUACAACUUGAGUUCUUUUGGAUGUCAUCGACGUAGUGGUGAUCAAUUUUUUAAUGAAAGAGAUGAGAGACAAAGAGGUCCCACCGGGCAUGUCAGAAAUUUGUACACACAAAUUUCGCGAAUAGUCCUACGAUGUAAGCAAAACUAUAGGAAAAAAUAAUGUGAAACAAAAUAUUUUAUUAAAAUUAAAAAUAUUGUGGGCUGCAAUCUUUGUGGUAAUAUUUUUUUACAAAAGAAUAUAUUUCUCUUAUUCUUUCACUUUGAUCACAAUUUGGAAGACAACGAUGAUGUUGUCAUGAUUUCGAAGAUCAGUCGAGGGCCAUAAGUGACUUAUUCUCAAAUGAACUCAUUGAAUGACAAAGAUUGGGUGUAUAGAACUUUUAUUGUUUCUUGGACUUGUAGGGAGAUUUUUGUGAAACCGUUUUUUUUGUGAAGCCGAUAUUCCCUUGUAGAGUAGUUUUUUGCCAAUCCGAAGAAGUCCCCCCCCGUUGGAGGAAGUCACCCACAUUUAUAGGUGAAAAUAGGAAAUCAAAUUUUGGAAUUCCCUAAGAUGUAGAUACUUGAUUUUAGCAACUUAUCUUCUCCAUUAAGGAAAUUUGUCUAUUAAAGUAUUUAUUUAUUUAUUUUCUUUUGACAAUAAUUUGGAAGAUUUGAUUUUAUUUGGAAGACUAAAUUUUGUAGUCUUCCAAAUUUGGCCACGUGUCACCUUUUUAACAUAUGCCACGUGUUAAAUGUGCGUAGGACCAAUCAUGUGUCGAUCCCAAAUUUUGUCGAAUCGAGGAGUCACAUUUUUUUAAAGGCCAAUUUAAUGAUAAUUUAUUUCACUAAAAAUUUUGAUGUCUACAACAGGUUAAAUAUAUAGAGUAAACAAUUUGAUGGGAGUAGAUUACUAUUCCCUUGUACCAAUAAGAUUAAAGAAAUAAUGGAAUUCUUAACUAAAGAGUUAACUUUGCAAAAGAGUUGUGUAGCUUGUACUUUUCUUAGGGUCAUGAGACCAAAUUUUAUCUAAAAUGUGGCAAAUUUGAUGGGAGUAGAUUAUGAACAUUUAACUCCUUGUUUGCUAAAUGAACUUUUCUUAAUCUCCAUAUAUUUUAAAUCUUUAAUUUGAUAAAGAGAGAGAUAAGAGGUAAAGAUGGUCCCAUUGGGCAUGCUAAAAAAUUGUGCAUACAAAUUUUCCUUGAAGAUGAAUUAUUUGUGAUUAAAUUAGAAUUUUAUUGAUUUGAAGAAUAAUGUAAUUGUAACUUUUAUUUUUCAUUUAAUUCUUCUUUUCUAGUUCUUAAUCAAGGACUUAAAAGAAGUUUGGUCUUAAAUGACUUGAGUUUAAUUUGAACCUUUUUGAUUUAGUCUUGGAUCUUGAGUCAUGGCGUAACUUCGACCUUACUAUGACUUGAGCUUUGAUUUGAUUUGGAUCUUGAUUUGAUUUAAAUAACAUUGAUUGAUGGCUUGAGUAGCUUAAUUUUAUAUCAAAUAGGUUUUUGGUUUCUUUUUUCCUUUUAUAUAUUUUAAUCUUAAAAAGUUGAAACUUAAGGUUCUAAAGAUCUUAUCAAUUAGAAGAUACUUUAGAAGAAAUUGAAAAUUGGUUAGUCUCAUUUUAAGAUUGAAGAAAGAUUGAAUCUUCUUUAAAGAGUUAUCCUUAGGGAUCAUAAUGGAAUAGCCCGAAUCAUCCCCAUCUCAACCCAUUCAAUUUAUUUACAAAGGAUAAGAUUGGUGUAAGAAAUUCUCAUGCUUGCUCUAUCUUGCCUCGUUUAAUUUUGUUCAAUUUUUUUCUAUAAAAGUUUUAAAUUCUAUACAAAAUAAAUACAAUUUAUAAAUAAAUAAAUAUUCACAAUUUAUUUUUAUAAAAAAUAUUUAUAUACAUUUAAAAAAUUAAAAAACCAAUUAAAAUAAUUUUUUGUUGAAUAUAACAUAUAAUUAGGAUAGAUGAGUUGGGACAAAACAAAGUCAUUUCUGAACUAACCUGAACUUGUUUAUAUUUAUCCAAAACCCAUCCCAUUAGGAGUAGGUAUAAAAAAAAAACUUGUUUUCUUAUCAUCCCUAACUCGUCUAUUUUCUUCUAAUCUUUUGAAUUAUCUCAUAUUAUUUUAAAAAAAAAAACGUGUCUUAAAAGCUUUGGAAUUAACAUGUCUUAUAAGAAUUGGAAGCAUCAUAUUUGUUGGGUUUCCCCUUAUGUGAGGGAAUCGGCCCCAUAUGCUUGGGGACCAAGUUAGUUGCAUUGGAAAAAAACAAUGAAUCAAGAAAAAAAAACUGAGAGAAGAGAAAAGAAAUAGAAAAAAAAAAACGCAUCUCACUGUCUAGAUUUCAUCAACGAGUUGAUCCUAUUUCAUAUGUGGUCCGAUCGAGUUGAAAUUUGGAGGAAAGGUUUGAAACUCAAGUAACUACAAUCUGAAAGAUGGAUAUCGGAUUUUAAGCUCGGGAACUGAUGUUACUACCCAUAAACUGUAACAGCGUUUUUUAUAUACUUUCUUUAAUUUUCUUUGUUUUUGCCAAGAGAGAUUGUAUAAUCCAAGACUAUAUGUGUUCUUGAUGUAUUUGGCAACCUCUAGAGAUUAUUCUAGAAAAAAAAAAAGUGUAACCCAUUAUUGUUGAUAGUGGAAGUUUGAACUAGACUAGGUCCUGUGGUUUUUUCCUUUGCAUUAAGGGUUUUUCACGUAAAAAUUCUGGUGUCUGAUUUAUUUUCUGUUGCAUGACUUUAUUUAUUUAUUAUUGCUAGUUGAUAUUACCUAUUUAGUUUUGCACAAAGAAAAUGUAGAAAAAUUAUGGCGUUUGUUGGAAUAUUGUGAAUUCACCCUAACAAGUGGUAUUAGAGCCAGAUUGAUUAUCAGUGGGAUCUCUUGUGUAAAUUAAAUGAAGGAGGCUGACAGUAGAAUGAUUAAACUCAUAGUUUCCAAUUAUUCAAUUUGGAAUACUAGGAUGGAGAUAUUCUAUGUUGCAAAGAGUUGUUUGAGCCCAUUGAAUGCAGAGGUUACAAGCCAAUUACUAUGAUUGAGGAUGAGUGAAAUAAAUUAAAUAGGAAAACCAUUAGACAUAUUAGGCAGUGGAUUGAUCAGAGUGUCUUCCAUUAUGUAGCCAAGAAAGUUGAUGCAUAUAGCCUUUGGCAUAAAUUAGAGUCUUUAUGAAAGAAAGACUACACAGAACAAAACCUUUAUGAUAAGAAGGCUUGUGAAUUUAAAGUACAAUGAUGGUAGUAGUGUUGCAAAGUAUCUUAGUAAUUUUCAAGGACAAUUGAAUGAAUUGUCUACCAUGAAGCUUGAGCUAGAUGAUGAGGUACAGACUUUACUAUUAUUGAGUUCCUUACCAGACAAUUGGGAAACUUUAGUGGCAUCCUUGAGUAAUUCAGCCCCAAAUGGUGUGACAACUGUCAAUAUGGUAAAAGACAGCAUGUUUAAUGAAGAGACAAGAAGAAAAGAGUUAAGUAUUUCCUUUAAUACAAAAACACUUGUUAUAGAGAAGUGGGAGAGAAGUAAAAAUAGAAAACCUUCCAGUGAUUAUAACCAUGACAAGUCAAGAGGAAAGUCAAAGUCCAGAAAAGAGAUAAAGCGUUUUUAUUGUGGCAAACCAAGGCACAUUGAGAGAGUGUAGAAAAUUCAGAAGAGAACAGUUUAAAGGAAAAGGUGAAGAACAAGAAAAAGGACAAAGACAUUGCAACAAUUGCAUUUGAUGGUGAUACAAUCAUUGUUUGUGAUGAUGCAUGUGUAAACCUUGCAUGCUAGGAUUCUACUAGGGUGGUUGAUACAGCAACGUCGUUUCAUAUCACUACACAUAAAGAUUUCUUCUCUUCCUACACCAGUGGCAGUUUUGGUUAGGUUAAGAUGAGAAAUGAAGCAAAAUGUGAAAUUGUUGGCAUAGGAGAUGUAAAGCUAGAAACUAGCAUUGGGUGCAAAUUGGUUCUGAAAGAUGUCAGACAUAUUCUUGAAAUGCGCUUUAGUUUGAUCUCUGUUGGGAAGCUUGAUGAUGAGGGCUACCAUAGUCACCUUGGAGAGGGUAAGUGGAAGCUUACUAAGGGUUCUCUUGUUUUAGCUAGGGGAAAGAAAAACAAUACUCUCUACAAAACAGAAGUGAGACUAGUUAAGGGAGAGGUGAACAUUGUUACGAAUGAAGCCUCUACUGAGCUAUGACAUAAGCGGCUUAGUCACAUAAGUGAAAAAGGACUUCAAGUUCUUGCUUGAAAGAAGCUUCUACCAAUUAAAGGUACGUCACUAUUACCUUGUACACAUUUUAUGUCUGAAAAGCAAAAUAGAGAUGUAUUUCGUAGAUUUCCUUCACGUAGAAAACCAGAUAUUCUUGAUUUAGUUCACACUGAUGUUUGUACUAUGCAAAGUAAUACUCUUGGUGGUAUACUUUAUUAUGUGACUUUUAUUGAUGAUCAUUCAAGAAAGGUGUGGGCAUAUGCUUUGAAAUCCAAAGACCAAGUACUUGAUGUAUUCAAAUAUUUUCAUGUGAAGGUUGAGAGGAAAAUUGACAAGUAGUUAGAAUAUGUCAAAGUAGACAAUGGUGGUGAAUAUAGGGGGUCAUUUAAGCAAUACUACAGAAGUCAUGGCAUCAGGCUUGAGAAGACGAUUCCUAAGACCUCGUAGCAAAAUGGUGUAGUUGAGAGAAUGAAUAGAACCAUAUGUGAUAGAAUCGGGUGUAUGCUCUCUCAUGCAAAAUUGCCUAAGUCUUUUUGAGGUGAGGCCAUGAGAACAAUCGUUGAUUUGAUUAAUCUGUCUCCAUCAUAUCCUUUAGAGGGUGAUAUUCUAGAGAGGGUUUGGACAGGAAAAUGUGUUUCCUUUGAGCACUUGAGAGUGUUUGGUUCUAGGAUAUUUGUUCAUGUUCCUAGAGAUGAGUAAUCCAAGCUUGACAGCAAGACUAAACAGUGUAUCUUCUGAUUCGUGCCCAGUCGGGUAUUUUAAUAAAAAAUAUUUAUAAAUCCUAUGAUCUUAUACUAGCGUAGCAAAGCUACUAUAGUAUAGCAGCUCUAGGGUCGAACUCUGGGAUGGGUUUUCACUCUACCAGUGAUAGACUCAAGAUUAGAAAUUGAAUCUGAUGAUUUCCUUUGUCAAAAACUUAAAGUUUAAAAGAAAAUGAAAUUUGUUUUGAAAGUGGUGUUUGAAACUAAACUAACAUAGAACUAGGUAAAAAUGGAAGAAAGAAAGUCUCCCGGAGCUAAAGGUUGCUAGGAUCAAGUUCAGAAUGCAAAGUGGGAAAUUCCGGAUUUUUCUCCUCGUAUUGGGGACAACAACAUAAAGGAUGGUUGUUUCCCGAACUGAUAUAGGUUUAACAAUGAAGAUUUAAUCCAUAAAAAGUCAAUAGAAAUGGUAGUCAAGUUCCAUUAAUGGCUUUAGACACUAUGGGUCUUCACCUUAAGCCACUUUCCAAUGGCUCGUACAUGAUAACUAAUGGUCUUAAGUGGAUCUAGCAAUAAGUAUCUACAGAGAUCUAAAAGCUUAUCAUGUAUUGGUCAUUCAAAGUGAUUCUAAGGGAUUUAAAGCAAAACUUUAUAUUUAAAAGCCAUUUAUGAACUCCAACUACCUGUAUUUAAAGCACGAGAGUUUUCCACUUUUGCAUCUGGACUUUUCACCUAACUUCCUUCACUCCAAGAAACCAAAGGUUUAGCCUCUCAUCCUCUGGGAAAACAUCCUCAGAGGUUGUUUGGCUUCCAAGAAAAAUACAAUCAAAAUGAGAAGGUAAAAGCAGAGCAGAACUCUGUAUUUUUCUUCCUUUGAAAACUAUACAAAAGUUGCGUCCCCUCGAGAACAAGCUCCUGAGAGAUAUUUAUAUGAAAAUUACAAUAAUAAUAUCUACAAGGUUAUUCAUCCUUUUUCCUAACUUAAUAACUAAGGAAUCCUAUAAUUGAUGGGUUACAAGGAGAGUUUGGGGAUUUAGACAUCAAAUAUCUAAAGCAAAAUAUCUAAAGAUAAAUAUCUAAAGAAAAAUAUCUAAAGAUGUCUGUCGCACAUAUCGGGAAGCUUCAGGAGAACACUGCGGCACUGUGCAAAAUUGCUGCGAAAUCCUCCGGGUGAGCGCUAUCGGCGGAUCCGGAUAUGUCUGAUCGUGGAAGUUGAAACGCUCUCCUCUCCUAUCAGGCGUCAUAAUUCCGGAUGCAAUACAUCCGGGUGGAAUGGUGGCAGCAGAUUUCCAGAUGUAAUACAUCCGGGUGGAAGCGGCGACAGCCGGAUGUAAAGUGGCGGCAGCCGGAUGUAAAGUGGAGGCAUAGCCGAGUGGAAAGUGGCCGCAGUCGGGUGGAAUUCCUACCCGGGUGGAAUGUGCAGGAUCCCAUACUCCUUGUAUUCUGGAUUUGCUUAAGGAUUCCAAAGAACUCUUCUCAAUCUCGGAUUGCUUUGGUGAUCAAAAAGCUAUCAAAACACCAAAACUUAACACAAUUUGAUUAGAAUUGAUUGUAAGGGUCCUUAAUAUGUUAAUUGGGUUAAAAGGUGAUAACUACUACUCAAAAGUGUUUAAAAGAGUUAAUUACAAGCUAUGAAAUAGUACUUUUUGAGUAGUAAUCAUCUUCCUAGGUUAUUCAAAUGAAAAGUUUAGGUACAAGUUAUGAGAUCUAGCUACCAAAAAAAUUAUAAAAAGUAGAGAUGUUGUCUUCUUCGAAGAUCAAACCAUUGAAGACUUGGAUCAAGUUAAGAAGUUAAAGCCUUUUAGUGAAGAACAUGUUGAUUUGGGUCCAGUCUCUCCUAACUCUGUGAGACAUAAUGAACAUAAGGAAGUUGUGCAAGAAGAACAUGUUGAUACAGUUGAUAGAAAUGAUGAGUCUACAGUUGAUGAUGUAAAGAAAAUUCUAUAGUUGAGAAUGAUGACCUAGAACAGCAACAAGAACAAGCUACUUCAGAGUUGCCUACUAAAACACAAUUAAGAAGAUCUACUAGAGAGCGUCAACCUUCUAGAAGGUAUACUAGUGAUGAGUAUUUGUUGCUUUCUGACGGGAGAGAGCCAGAAAAUUAUCAAGAGGUUUUACUACAUGACGAGAAAAAAAGUGGUUGAGAGCUAUGCAUGAAGAAAUGAAAUCCUUGCAUAAGAACAACACUUAAUGAAUUGAUGGAGUUGCCUAAGGGUAAGAGAGCAUUGAAGAAUAGAUGGGUACUGAAAAGGAAGCCUGAACCAAACAAAUCAUAGCCAAGGUACAAGGCAAGAUUAGUUGUGAAGGGUUUUAGUCUGAAGAAAGGCAUUGACUUUGAAGAGAUUUUCUCGCUUGUGGUUAAGAUGUCUUCGAUUCGAGUUGUGUUAGGCUUGGCUGCCAGUAUGAAUCUAAAGAUUGAACAACUUAAUGUGAAGAUUGCUUCCCUCCAUGGCGACUUAGUGGAGGAAAUAUAUAUGGAGCAUCCAGAAAGGUUUACAAUCAAAGGCAAGGAAUACUUAGUGUGUCGACUGAAUAAGAGCUUAUAUAGUCUCAAGCAUGCAUCGAGACAUUGGUACAAGAAGUUUGAUUCCUUCAUGGUUGAGCAUGGUUAUGAUAGAAAUGCUUCUGACCAUUGUGUGUUUGUGAAGAAAUUCUCUUAUGGAAAAUUUAUUAUUCUCUUGCAUAUAUGGAUGAUAUGCUGAUUGUUGGUCGUGAUAUUGGUAAAAUUGAUAAGCUGAAAAAGGAGUUGAGCAAGUGCUUUGAAAUGAAGGACUUGAGGUUUGCAAGUCAGAUUCUUGGUAUAAAGAUUUCUUGAGAUAUGACAAAUGGAAAAUUGUGGCUAUCUCAAGAAAGCUAUAUGAAGAAGGUUUUAGACAAGUUCAACACAGGCAAGGCAAAACUAGUGAGCUGUCCACUUGGAAGUCAUCUAAAGCUAAGUUCCAAACAAAGUCCUUCAAGUGAGAAAGAAAAAGAAGAAAUGCAAAAGGUGCCUUAUGCAUCAGUCGUGGGUAGCUUGAUGUAUGUCAUGGUGUGCACGAGGCAUGAUAUUGCUCAUGUGUUGGAGUUGUCAGCAGGUUCCUUUCUAAUCCUAAUAAAGAACAUUGGGCUACAGUGAAAUGAAUUCUCAGGUAUCUGAGGGGUACUUCUAAUACAUGUUUAUGUUUUAGGACUAACAAACCUGUGCUUGUAGGAUGCACAAAUGCAAAUAUGACUGGGGAUGUUGAUUCUAAAAAUUCUACUUCUGGUUAUUUGAUCACUUUUUUAGGGGAAGUAGUGUCAUGACAAUCAAGGUUGCAUAAAUGUGUUGCUUUGUUGACCACAGAGGUUGAGUAUAUUGUUAUCACUGUAGCUAACAAGGAGUUAUUGUGGAUGAAGAAGUUCCUACAAGAAUUGGGUCUACAACAAGAAAGGUAUCUACUCUACUGUGAUAGUCAAAGUGCUAUUCAUCUCAGUAAGAAUCCAACUUUUCACUCUAGAUCCAAGCAUAUUGAUGUGAUAUAUCAUUUGGAUUCGUGAUGCACUAGAUAUGAAAUUGUUUUGUCUUGAGAAAAUCCAUAUUGAUGAGAAUGGAUCAAAUAUGAUGACAAAACCAAUAUUUACAGAAAAGCUACAAUUUUGUAGAAAGCAAGUGGGCUUAGUAAAGCCUCUCACAUAGUCAGAAGAGGGCCCCAUAUGCUUGGGGACCAAGUCAGUUGCAUUGAAAAAAAAAAAAAGGAAUCGGGAAAAAAAAUAGAGAAAAGAGAAGAAAGAGAGAGAAAAAACGCAUCUCACUACCUAGAUUUCAUCAAUGAGCCGUUAUCACUUCAUCUAUGGUCCGAUUGAGUUGAAAUUUGGAGAAGAGGUUUGAAACUCAAGUAGCUACAAUCUGAACGGUGGAGAUCAAAUUUUAAGCUUAGGAACUGAUAUUACUGCCCAUGAACAAAAACAACAUUUUUUAUAUACUUUCUCUAAUUUUCUUUGUUUUUGCCAAGAGAGAUUGUAUAAUCCAAGACUAUAUGUGUUUUUUUUUAUUUAUGUAUUUGGUAGCCUCUAGAAAUUAUUCUAAAAAAAAAUAGGUGUAACCUAUUAUUGUUGAUAGUGAAAGUUUGAACUGAACUAGAUCCCGUGGUUUUUCCUUUCACAUUAGGGGUUUUCCACGUAAAAAUUCUGGUGUCUAGUUUAUUUUUCUGUUGUAUGAGUUUAUUUAUUUAUUGUUGCUAGUUGAUAUUACCUAUUUGAUUUUGCACAAAAAAAUGAUAGAAAAAUUUUAGUGUUUGUUGGAAUAUUAUGAAUUCAUCCAAACAAGUCAUAUUACAUAUAAUAUUAUUUUAAUAAUAAAACAUUUAUGUCAUGUGAUUGUUUUUAAUUCAUCAUAAUUUAAAUUAAAUAUAAAAAAUUUAUUUUUAAUUAAUUAUUAUAAGAGUAUAUAAUAAAUCGUAAAAGUUAAAAAUUUGAAUUUUACCUCUCAACAAACUGUGGUCAAAGUCGUUCCCAAAUAGACCUAUAGGCUCCUAUUUCUCUUUAUUAUGUUAGGUACAACAGCCACAUAGUGCGGACAUUCGCCCACGGCAAUGGCACGAAAAUGGUUGCCACUUGUGGUUGAUCUUGAGACUUUGAGACUUGAGAGGAGCCCUCCGUCCCUCUCUAGGCAAAUAUUUUGGCAUUAUGAAUAAAGCAGAGAAGUUAGCUCUGACACUCUAAUUAAGGUGACGACAGAUUGUAUCCUAGGUACGUUUCGUAAUUGUUUAGAAAAUAGCUUUAAAAUCCAAUUUUUUAAAAUAAUUUUUAUAUAAUACUUUAUUUUUAAUCAUUUUUAAUAUUUUUAUAAUUCUUUCUUUAAAACAAUAAUAUAAAUAUAUAUUUUUACUUUUAAUUAUUAAAUACCCAUUUAAUCAUAUUUUUUAAAAAUUUGUUUUUAAAAACUAUUUUUUAUUUUUUAACUUAAAAAUAAGUUUUAAAAAAAUAUAAACCAAUGAGUAUAUGUUUUGUUUUUGUUUUUAAAAAUGAGUAAAAACAACUUUUAUUUAUUUUUAAAAAUACUUUAUUUGUAAAAAUUAUUUCCAAAAAUAAGAAAUUAUUACCAAACAUUUUCUUCUCCCCCUUAUGAAUAGAAAACACCCAUCAAAACAUUUAUUAGAGUAAAAUGUUUAGAUACACCAUCACAAGAAGUAUACCUACUUCCUCCGUUGCCUUACAUAUGCCUCAAUGCCUAGAUGUUUCACAUUGCAUAUGAGCUUGAGUUGGACCAUGGUCCUAAAAAGUUCAAUUGGGUUGCUUGUAUAUUUCAGUCAUCUCAUUUUUAAUAGACUGCGACCUCACCAUCAACAUUUACAUCAUAUACCAUGCAGCACACCCCUAUUUUUACUGCUAAUUUACCAUGCUUUUUGAUGGCUAAAUGUAAAGAAAAAUAUAUCAAAUUAUAUUAGGUAUAAAAUAUAUUUUUGUUCAUUCAAUCUCGAGUCACAACUUGUAUCUACAAAAAGGUAAUAAAAAAAAAAAUUAUUUGUUAAUAGAAUUAAAUGCAGUAGCAAUGCAUACCAGGCAACUAUCAACCACCUUGUCAACAACCACAUGUUUGUGUUUUUUUUUUGGUUAAUUUUUAUAACAUUGGGCAUGGCUUCGAGCCUUCAACUACCUGAUUCAAAGGAUUCACAGUCUAUAUUCCCAAAAUCAUCAAAACCCAUACUAGGAAACCCCCUCAAAGUCUUGGCCCAACUUUAUGGCUAUAAUAAAUACGAAGGCAGUCUAUUUAUAAGCAUAGUAUCAAACACCUCAUCUUCGUAAAACUUCAAAUUCUUUGUAGGCAACAACUUGAGUCACAAGGCUGCGAUUUCCAUGCAUGUUGAAAAGUCCCAAUAUGUUAACUCAAUUAAUUUGUGUGUCCUUUUUGGUGUUGCACUUGGAUCGGCUGCCUAAUUUUGUUGGCUUGGCUAUUAACUUUAGUUCUAGAUGUGUUCUAUGUGAUUACUUUGCAUUUAUUUUAAAGUUUCUUUUCCAUGCUAUUAUGAUCACCCACUUGUGUCUUUUGCAAACCAAUUUACACAAGUAGGAUGUAUUAGCAAUAUCAAGUUGGUAUCAUUUGUAUAUUCAUAUAUACAUGUAACAUAAGUAGAAUGUCUUAGCAUCAUAAAAUGUGAUAUUUUAUUUAUUAAAUAAAGGAAUAAAAUAAGUUAUUUUAUUUACUACAUUGGCACAGUAUUUCUAUUCAAAGUGUUUUUAAUAAAAGUAUUUUCCCUAAAAAUAUUUUUAAGAAAAUUACAUAUAAAAUGUUUUUCUAAAAAACUCUAUACAUGAUUUUUCAAUAUCAUAAGUGAUUUUUUAAAUUUUUAAAAGUGUUUCAUAAAAGUAGUCAAACACUUAAUUUUUUUAAAAACACUUUUUAAAAUAAAAACACUUCCUAAAAUUAUUGUUAAAUGAACUCAAAGUGUUCUUAGAAAAAUCAUUUAUAAAGUGUUUCUCCAUAAAAUAUUAUCAGAGCUCGUUUUAUAGUGAUUCUAGAAAGUACUUUUAAUAUUUCUAAUAUUUUAAAAUUUUAUCAUUUAAGUAUUAGAAAUAUUAAAAACAUUUUUUAGAAUCACUCCCAAACAUACUUUAUUAUAAGUGAAUUUUCGGAUUUUUAAAAAUAUUUCCCAAAUUUUGCUAUGCACCUAAUUUUUUUUUUUUUAACAAAAAUUCAAGUUGAAAGGACUUCCUAAAUUUUUAAACAUUGUCAAAUGAGAAAUAAAAUAAUAUUGCUAUUUAUUAAAUUAAUAGUCGUGUUUAAUCAUAUUAUUUAUCUAAAUGACAUUCUAAGAUGUCGUAAUUUUUACUUGAAGUUAUGUUAUUUUUCGUUUUACUUUUAUCAUAUUAUUCUAGUAUCUACUUAAUUACAAAAUAAAUAAUAAUUACAACUCAAAACAUUUCCGUAUUUAAUACAAAAUAACAAAUUUUUAAUACAUUUUCACUAUCUCUUCACUUGGUAAAAGAGUACAAAAAAAAAAAUAAUGAGAAAAUUAUUUUUACUUGGAGUAGUGGUUUUUUUUUUUUACUAUUUUUAUCUUAUUUUUUAGGACCUAUUUACGAAAUAAAUAUUUAUUGAAACUUAAAACAUUUUUUGUAUUAAUUUGAUACAUAUUAAUCAUUUUCUAGUACAUUUUCAUUUGUUACGUGUACUUAGGGAAAGAAUGUGAUAAAAAAGGUAUUGAGAAAAAUACUAUUAUUGUUUUAUUUGAUUUGGACAAAUGUGAUGUGGUGUGUCAAGUCGUGAUUGAUGGUUACGUUUAGUUACGACAAAGUACUCAAAAAUAAAUAAAAAAUAUUAAAAAAUUAUUUCCUUAUAUUUAAUUUUAUUAUAAAAAAAAUGAUUAAAAUUAAUAAGAAAUUUAUAUAUUUUUAAUUUUUUUUAAAAAUUAAAUAAAUAAAAUGAAUUUAAAAUAAUAUAUAAAAUUAAUUUAAUAAUUUUAAAUCUAUUUUUCUUUUUAUCUGUCUUUUUCAAAUCACAAUCCGAGUGAGUUUGAAUACAUUUAUUUCUUCAUUGUGAAACAACCUAUGAUUGAAGAAUGCGUGGAGUGACAAGUAUUUAUAAAAUAUUUUCUCCAUGGAAUUAAAUAUGAAUGGACCAAAUUGGAAAAAGUGUAGCAUCACUUUCGUUUUCAAAUUUCCUCUGCCGGGUUUCAUAAUCAUAGUUUAUGAGCCGAAAGUGGGCUAAGUCUCUUUUCAACCUUAACUAAAAUCCUGUCUGCCACGUGACCUCGGGGAGACAUAUUAUUAUAUUUUGAGAAAAUGAUAAAAAAAAUAUAUAUAUAUAUAUAUAUAUUAAUCAGAGAGAUUAUCAAUUUUCUAAAAAAAAUAUUAAUUAUUUAACCUUUUUUUUAAAAAAAUCACCUUCUUAGGUGGGAGGAAAUUAAAUUAAUAAAUAAACUUUAUAUUUGAGUAGGCCAAUGGAUACGUUCUUAACCAGGCCAUUUAAAAGACAGAUUGUUAUGGUUUGAUUUUGGGCUGGAUUUAAGCCCACAUCUACAAAUUGGCCGGCCCAUUUUAUGGGCCAGCAGUAUGGAAAUAAAGCCCAUAGAUCCUACUCUGCCCAAAACACACUCACAAGUAUCUCAAUGCUUUACAGGCGAUGAUUAGGGUUGCAAUUCAAGCCAAGCCCAAUCUUAUUUCUUUGUCAAAUGGGUUUAGGUGGAUAAGUAAUUAAUUAUCUUUUAAUUUAUAUCCUUAAAAUUAACUACUACAUUAUUUAUAAAGAUGAUUAAUUAAGUAUGCCUAAAAAAAUAUAGUAUAGUAUGUUUUCCAAGAUUAGAAAUAUUUAAUCAACAUAGUGAAAAAAUGGAAUAGAAAAAACUUAAUGGAAAUUACGAAUUCUUAUCAUGUUUGUGUUCAAUACCGACAUUGCUCCAUUUUUUAUUUUAAAUUUUGUGUUAUUCACUUUAUUUUUUAAUUAAUAUAUUGGUUGCAUUAGAAGUAAAGGCAAUGCACUUGUAUGAAUCUCACUUGAAUGGGAUAGAAUGUGAAGAAUUUGAUAUUUGAAAGCAAGUGUAAAACUUCAAUUAUGGUAAAAAUAGAAUAAAAGUAUUUUAUAUAUUUAUAAUUAAUUUAUUAAGUCAAAAUCACUUGAUAUGUAAUUUAUAGCUUUAAAUAAUUUUUAUCACUAGAAUUUAUGGGACUGAAUAUAAUUAUCCAUUUUGCACAUGUGUUUGUAGGGAAGAUAUUGCUAAGAGCUAUAUUGACAUUGUAUCUUGGAGUGACUAUUAAUUAUCAGUACCCAUGUAUAGGGAUAUGAUAAUAGCUUUAAAACAAUGUAUCUGCAUGUGCAUUUCCAAAAUAGGUUAACUUUCUUAUCUCUAGUUAUAUUAUUUAUUUUCAAUAUUGAUUUAUCAUUUUAUUUGUGUGAGUUAAAAAAUUUGUGUUUUUUAUAUUUUCUCUCUCUCUCUCUCUCUCUCUCUCCCUUUUCCUCUCUCUCUUUCACACCAUACCCCUGACUCCCACACCACUAUCACCAUCCAUGGUGAAGCUCACCACAAGUGACUAUUGUCAGCUCAACGUCACCAAUGACAUUUCUCCACCAUGACACCCAUUCCUUCCAUUGUCAUUUCAAAAGUUUAAAAAAUGGUAAGUCUUCCAUUUUUUUUCUUUCUUUAAAUAUUCAUAGUGCAUUGUUUGGAGACUUGGGUAUUGUCUAUUGGGCUUUGGAUUUUGUUUAUGGGCUUUGAAAAUAUUAGGCUUGCAUGGUUGUUGAUUUUGGCUGCUAAUUUGUGUGAUUCGGGUUUGUGUAUUUAUUGGAUAUUAAAUUAGGCUUGAGUUGUUGGAUAUUGUUGUUGGGCCUACUUGAAUUUAUUUGAUCUUUGUUGAUGGGGUUUGCUUAUAUUUGGGCUGAUUUGGCAUUGCAUCAAGGAUAGGAAGAGGCAAAUUUGGUGCAUAGUGUAUUAGUUAGAGGCGGUUAGAGUAAUUGGAGACAAGGUAUGGACAUGGGCAAAAAGAUGGUGGGACUUGAUUUGGGAUAAAAAGAGGGAUUAAAGCAAGAGGAAGAGAUGAAGGACAACCUUUUAGAUUUUUCUCUACUCUCUUUGUAUUUUCUAUGAGUUUUUUUUGUGAGAGAUUGAGAUGUUUUUAGCAUUUCUGGCUUUUUUUGGGAACCUAUGGAGAGCUAGUAGACUUGGGAUUGCAUUGUAAAAGGUACAACUGUUUAUCCUUGUUCUUAUUUUAAGUGUAUUUGUUUUGUUAUUCAUUAUCUUGUACAUAUGUUAUUUCAUUUAUUUUGAUAUCCAAUAAAUAUACGUCAUCUAUUAGUUUUGUUGUUGUUGAUGCCUUUAUUUAUAUAAUCUAUUUUUUUGUUUGUGGAAUGAACCUAUAAUAAAAUAUUGUUUCAAAAGUUAUUUUUUAAUAAACGUUUUUUUUAAUAAACCACAAUUUCUUUUUGGAAUGAAAAUUUAUUUAUUUUUUUAAUAAAUGGAUUUUUUUUUUUGUUUUUUUGUUUUUUGUUUUUGUUUAGAAUUAUCUUGUUUUAUGAUAUGAUUUUUUUUUAUUUGAUUUGAUUUUCUUUUUCCUUUUUUGGGUAAGAUCAUUUUAUUUAUUUAUUAUUUAUUAUUAUUAUUAUUUAUUUCUUUAUACACAAAUAAAGAACUUUUUAAAACAAAUUGUAAAACCAUUUUUUUAUAUAAAAGUAAAAAAGAAACAUUUUUAUAAUACAAUUGAAAAGAAAAAAUUAUUUUAAAAAUAUUUUUUUCUAAUAAAAUGGAAUUUCUAUUUUUUAAGAAAUUGAGAUUAUCUUUUAAUAAAUUUCUUUAAAUUUUUUUUUUAAAAAUAAAAUCUAUUAUCAUGUUGUUAACAAAUUUGAAAAUUUUUUUAAUAUAAUAAAAAUGUGUUAGAGAGUAAUUUUAGAAAAUGUUUCUAGCAUUUUUAACACUUAAAUGAUAACAAAUUUUAGGUGUUAGAAAUGUUAAAAACGUUUUUUAAAAUCACUACCAAAUAGGCUCUAAGUUUGAAAUAAUUAAAUAAGUAUUUUCUAAUUAUAUGAAAUAAAAAUCACUAUUUUUUCACAAUAAAAAGUGCAUCUCGUCGUUCAAGUGGGGAGACACGUGAAAAUGCAGGUCCAUAAAAUGUUGACUCCAUUAGGGAUGUUUAAAGGUCAAGUUUGAAGUCGAGUUGAGGGAAAUGCGGCGUUUGAUUAAUCGAUUAGUAGAUAUCUUCUCAUGAUGCCUUUGUAAUAUAUUUGUAUAUUUUAGGGCACAUGAGGGUUGACAUAAUGAUUAUUUUGUGUAUAUGUUGCCUGUGCCUUACUAUGUAUUGAUUAUUGUUAUCAUGUGUAUUUGUAUAUAUCUGUUUUGCAUGUUUGUGCUAUAUGACCACCCUUUUUCUGCAUGAUGCAUACUUGGUUGUUAUGUUCAUUUGCGAUAUUAAUAUGUUGAUUACAUCGAUUGAUUCUCUUGCCAUGAUUGCCCUGCUCACUUUGACAUGUUUAUUCUCAUUCGUCUCGAUGUGAUUGAUUCUCUUUAUUGUAUAUUAUUUUGUCCAUCUCAACAGAUUGUCUAUCUUUGUUGUAUACUCAUCUUGUUUAUCCUAUUUCCUUAGCUUGUUUUUAGAUUUGAAUGAUAUACCUACUCUUUGUAUGACUGUAUGUUGCAUGACUACUCUUCUUCUACUUGAUGCAUGUAUCUCUUGUCAAUGUGGGACACACAUGUGUCCCUUUAUCUCCAAUCCCCUAGUCUCAAUCAACCAUGUUUCCCUUGAUCUCAUAUUUGGUAUGAGACUUGUUGCUUUGUUUGCUCUCUGAUCGAGUUGGUGAUUCGAAGUAGGGUCUAGCGAUGGACUAUAUCUAUGUUUAGGAGCAUUUUGGAGGAGGCCGACACAUUGAUCCUGACUGGAGUCCGAUCAUUGGACUUGUAUAGCUUAGAGCUAGAUUUCAUGGAUAUUCAUGUGACCAAUGUGUUUUCUUUCUUGUUUUAACUUUAUAGGUUUAUCAAAUGCACUUAUACCACUCACUAUGCACCUUAGAUCGUUGCUAAUGACCAGAGUUGUGAGAUGCACCAACAAUUAGGAGAUACUACACCAUAGAAAGCCCCUUGGGAUGCGAGAUAGUGCUUGUGUGGAGGUGAUGACCACCUUGCAUGGAAGCGCCCUAUCUGGUCGAAGGCGUGUAGGAGGUUGCAUAUUGUUGAAGGGUGUGAUCGGUUUUUCUAGAGAUCCUUUAAAGUCCACCCCUACACCCCACGUGUGAGCCUUAAAUCCCUUUAUUAAGAUUCAUUUCUCACACGUGGGUGCAUCUGAGAGCCUUUGGGGCUACUUUAGUCAUAGCAUGGAUCUAGUACUCAUUUUUUUGGUCUCCAGUUGAGUAUGCUCAAAGAUUAGUGCAAGUUUGUGUAUUAGUUGGACCAUUAUUUGUCAUGUUGCAUUAGAUUCUUUAUUUCGCUUGUUGAGUUUGACAUGUUUUCUCUCUAAGGCUUUAGUUAGUCUUACUUUCUUAUCUUAACACAUUUUUUCAAUUUGUUAUUGCAUUGUUUGCUUGAUACUUUAGGAUAAGUUCAUCGAUCAUGAUCACCUUUUUGCAAUGUACACUUGUCAUGGUCAAGGUACCACAUUCUUUAUUUGAUGCUUGAUUCCAUUUUCACCUCGAUGCUCAUAUUUUCAUUACAAAAAGGUGAAGAACAUGUUUUCACAUUCACACUUUUUUUUAGAGAUUCUCCUUUAUCAUCUUAUGAUUUUCCUUUAUAGAGCUCAAUUUGGAAGUUGAGUCAGGUGGAUCCUAUUAUAGAUGGAGCAUUGAUUUUGUGAUAGCACUGUUCUACACAUCUCUUAUAUCUUAGAUUAUUGAUAUGAAUUCUCUAGUCACAUUUGUAGCCAUCUCAUAGAGGACACCUUUAUGACUCUUUAGCUCCUAUCAUACAUCUAGAUUUUGCAUUUCCACCUUAGGAGCAUGUGUUUGCAUGUCACAUUGUUGCCUUUAGAGUCUUCUUUUGUGUCCCAUGUCCAUUUUGAUUAUUUUGCAUUGUAGGGAAUCAACCUAGGAGUUGGUUGAGUAUGAAAUUGUAGCCUUGGAGGAGGGUUGGAGGCCAAUUGAUCAUAUCAGAUUCAUAUCAAAGUUCAGAUAGUUCACUUGAGAUGUCAGACGAGUUAGCUUCUACACUUGCUUCUAUUCAAGAGUUCAUGGCUAGGAUGAGUAAAUGUUUAGAUCAAAUAGAGAGAUCACGCUAGAAUUACCAGCUAAUGGCAUGGGUACAAAUGAGACAACUUCUCAUGCAUCUCAAACAACAUAGGUUCUUCCACCCAGGGCUUCACAUGGCAUUCCAUUCCAUUUAUCAGAUCAUUGUGAGACUACUCCACCAUCCGAUGUCAUAAUGUCGCCUCCUAUUGUACUUGUUAUUGAUGACAUUGAUUAGUUGAGCAGGAGGGCAAGAUUGAGAGGCUUGAGUCCAGGAUGAGAUAGAUCAAAUUGUAGAAUGGAGGUUUGACCUAGAAUGACAGAGAUGACAUAUUGGCGGCUAGCUUGCCCACCAAGUUUCGCAUGCAAGACAUCGAUCACUACAGUAGAGUUGGUUGUCCAAAGAUCCAUCUGACUCUCUACAGCACAAUCAUGAGAGCACACAGGUUAGAUGAUGCACAAUUAAUGGCUUUCUUCUUCAUGUCACUUAGUGGGGCAACUCAGAUAUGGUUUGCCUUAGUUGAGCCUUCAAGACUUUGCACUUGGGAGGAUAAGACUCAUGAGUUCUUGACUCAGUUCGCCUCCAGUGCCGACAAUGAUGUCUCCAAACGAAAGCUAGGGGCUUAAAUAGAAACCAAAAGAUUUUAUUUCUUCAUUUGUUAGUCGUUAGGGGGCAAAUGUGGUUGGUAUGGUAGAUUGGCCUAAGGAGCAAGAUCAUAUUGAUAUGGUUCUUCAGAACCUACAUUUGAGGUUUGUUAGAUGCCUCAUGAGCAUUCUAUUCCAAGAUCUCAAGAGUUUGGUUUAGACUAUUUUCAGUGUUGAGGAGGCCAUUGCUUGAGAAUUAUGGAUAAAUAUUGUUUUUUCCCCUGACAGUAAGGAGAAGAAGUCGAUUGGAUCAUCUGGGAAGACUGGAGAGGUUAACACCAUUAGUUGUUAGCAUCAGAGGCCUACUUGCCACUCAUAUUAUAGGUUUCCUACAACUAGAGCUCAUUUCUAUCAUCCGUAAUAUCAAUAUCAAUCGGUUUAUGUUCAACAACCUUUCAUUACUCAAGCUAGUGUACAGUUGUGACAUCACCUCUAAGAGCUACUACUCGCCAGCUACCUAGACUAUAUGAAUAGAGGCAUGUGAGACAAUUCACUCCAUUAGGCAUGACUUUGACUAGAGCUUUUGAGAAGCUUAGAAACGUUGGCUUAAUUGUUCCUUUGGCACUAUGCCCCUUGCCACAUCCUAUUCCUCCUUACUUUCACCUACAUAAGCACUGUGUGUUUCAUCAGACUUAGGGACAUGCUACUGAUUAUUGCUCAACACAUUGCAACUUGUCAAGACCAAGUGUGAUCACCAAUUCCUUGCCUACACAUUUUGUACAUGUUAUUCCCUCACCUUCUAGUCUUUAAUAGAGCAUUGUGGAUGUUGAUGAUAUUCGGGGAUCGCCUGCCACUUUGAGAUUUUUCUUAGUUGAGGCUUUCUUUCAAUUGAUAUGGGUGCAUCACUUUAUAGAGUUUUAGUAUAAAGUGUACAUUGGUUUGGUUGUGGAAGUCAUUAGAGUCUUUUUUUUUUUUUUUUGUUUAGUCUAGUUUUUGUUCAAAGUCACAAUUUAUAGUUCAUGUUAAGAGUUUAGUUGUUCGUAGUCUUUUACGUUACACACAUAAUGUAUUCAUUGGUUCAUUUAGUGAUAUGAUCUUUUUAUUAUGAGUAUAUUUUCUUUUCUUUCUUAUGAGUAUAUUUUACAUUUUUUGUAUUGAUGUGUUGCGUUGUUUAUAUGCGACAUUUUUCACUUGCAUAUCAUGGUUACUUGGGCCAAAUUUAUCAUGAUGGAUAUUAAGCUUUCUUACCUAGGUGUGGACCCCGCAUUUUGAUCGAUGCGUUCCCACUCGAUGGCGAAAACUCGUUUUUUUUUUUAUUAUGCUUAAUAAACAAUAGAUUGUAUAAAGAAAAAGAGAUGAAGAACACCACCUAUGAGAUACGAUAGAAUGCAAUAAUGUGAUGGUAGGAAAAAAUGAUGAGAGAAAGAUGCACCUGUAGGUCCAAGACUCACGAGACUCGCAAACAAUGCGUGCAUACACUAAAGGGCCCCUAUCCCGGUGUAGAAAUAUGAACAAGGCUAUCACAAAAGAAAUGCUAUAAUACNNNNNNNNNNNNNNNNNNNNNNNNNNNNNNNNNNNNNNNNNNNNNNNNNNNNNNNNNNNNNNNNNNNNNNNNNNNNNNNNNNNNNNNNNNNNNNNNNNNNUUUUCUUUUUCUAUUUUGUCUGGUGACAAUCUGAUUUUUAGAAAAAAACUCGGAGUCGCCACUUAUUUUUAUUUUAUUUCUAAAGGGAAAAACAAAAUAAGAAAGAAAAACCCUAAGUGUGACUCCAAGUAUUUUUCUAAAAAUCAAAUUUUCACCAAACAAAAUAAAAAAGCUAGUUUUCGCCAUCGAAUGGGAAUGCAUCGAGCAAAAUACGGGGUCCACAAAAUGGUGACUCCACUACGGAUUUUUAGAGGGUCAAACUUGAACUCGAGUUGAGGGGAAUGUGGCGUUUGAUUGGUCGAUCAAUGGAUACCCCUCUCUAUGUGUCUUGGUAUGAUUGUUUGUUGAUUACACGUUGAGAGCUUUGAUAUGUUUGUCUAUAAUAUAUGUUUGGCUAUUAUGUUCGUUUGUGAUGUUGACAUGUUGAUUACAUCGAUUGAUUCUCUUGCCUACUUUAGCAUAGUGACUUUUCUUGUUAUAUGAUUAUUUUGCUUUCCUGGACAUGUAUAUUCUCAUUUUUGUAUAUCUUAUUCAUCUUGGCAUGAUUGAUUCUAUUCGUUGUAUAUUAUCUUGACAUAUUGUCUAUUCUUGUUAUAUUCCUAUCUUACUUAUCAUAUUUUUGCCUAGCUUGUGUGUAGAUAUGAGUUAUAUACUUGUUCUUUGCAUGACUGCUUGGUGCAUGACUGCUCUUCCUCUGUGUGAUGCAUGUAUUGUUUGUCUGUGUGAGAUACACAUCUAUCCCCUUACCUCCAACUCCCUAGUUUCGGUCGACCUUGUUUUCCUUGAUCUCGUAUUUGAUAUGAGAUUUGUUGCUUUGUUUGCUCUUCAACUGAGCUAGCGAUUAGGAGUAGGGUCUAGCGAUGGGCUAUAUCGAUGUUUGGGAGCAUUCUGGAGGAGGCCAACACGUUGAUGCUAAUUGGAGUCUGAUCUUUGAAGACUUGUAUAGCCCAGAGCUAGGUUUCAUGGAUAUUUAUGUGAUCAGUGUGUUUCUUUUUCCACUUUAGCUUCAUAGGAUUUUUGGAUGCACCCACACCACUCAUCGUGCACUUUAGUCGACUACUGAGUGUUGAGAGUUUUGAGAUGUUUCACCAUAGGAAACCCCCUAGAAUGUCGAGGUAGUGCAUGUGUGGAGGUGAUGAUCACCUUGCAUGGAAGCACCCCGUCUCUUCGGGGGAGUGCAGAGGGUUGCGUACCGCCGGAGGGUAUGAUCGUUUCUGCUAGGGAUCUUUUAAAGUCCACCCAUAUCCAUUUAAAGCCACCUUGACCUCGUAGGUUGAGCCGUAGAUUCUUCUAUUAGGACUUCCUACCUAUACGUGGGUGCAUUUGAGGGCCUUCAGAGCCUCUUUGGUCAUAGUUGGGAUUCAGUAUUCCCUCUUUUAGUCUCCAAUUGAGAGUGCACAGAGAUCAGUACGGGUUUGAGUACGGUCGGACAAUCCGUUUUCGUUUUUUAUGCCUUGCUCAUUCUAGUUCAUACUAGCAUUUCUUCCAUGUUUUCUCUGUUUUCCCUGUGGCUACCAUUCUCAUGCUUCAUGCUCUUUAGGAUUGGUUCUUCAUUCUCAGUGUGGAUUUGUCAUCUUAGAUCAGAGUAGAGGGAGACUUAGUUCGCUUUUCUGAGAGAUUAGACAUGGAUCAACGGGUUGUCACAGUUGAUUAGUUCACGACCGCUAUGGCUUCUAUUUAGGAGGCUUUGUCCAGUCUCAGACAGGAGAUAGACAGUCAGCAGAGUAAACAGCUUGUAGUUCAGGAUGAGACGCCUUAUGAUUCAUUGCCACCUUAUCUAUUACAUGGUCAUUCUGAGGUUGCCUCACCUGUAGUAGUACAUACCAAAGUCCUUGAGGAUACGCAUGCAUGGAUCGUACUGAGCAGCGUAUCAGGCAAUUGAGGGUAUUUGACAGUUCAUCAGCUUGGGAUGAUCUUGAUAGUAUACUAGUGGCUAAUCUACCAGCCAAGUUUAGGAUUCUUGACAUUGAGAGGUACACGAGCGUUGGCUGUCUAUGUAUUCAUCUUCGACUCUACAGUACUGUGAUGAGGGCCCAUGGGUUAGACAAGUCAUAGAUGAUCACCAUGUUUCCUUUAUCUUUGAGUGGUGCAGUCCACCAUUAGUUUGCAUCUUUGGAGUCUUCGCGACGCAGGAUAUGGGAUGACCUAGCUUAGGAGUUUCUGUGAUAAUUUUCAUUUAGUACUGUUGUAGAUGUGUCGAGGAGAGAGCUUGAGGGUUUCAGAUGGAGAUCAGAUGAUUCCAUGUCUUCCUUCCUCUCCCGCUGGUAGGGGAAGAUAGCAGAGAUUGUUGAUUGACCAUUAUAGAGAGGUGACUUAGUCUUGAGGGUCAUCGGAGGAUUGAUUAGAGAUCCUAGAGGGAAGUUCAGACCUAGCUAGAGUGGACCUUAUUUCAUUAGGGAGUUAACUCCAGAGGGUGUCGCAUGGUUGAUGGAUCUAGAUGGAAACCGAUUCUCAAAGCCGACCAAUGUGGAUUAGCUAAAGAGGUACUAUGUUUGAGACCAUGGUCGUAGGAUAGGUGACCAUCAUUUUGGUUAGCCAUAUACCCUUUCACCCUUUUGAUACAUAGACCGUUGCUAGCCCAUUGAGUCUCGCAUGUGUAUUAUAGCAUUUCUUUCUUAUAGCCUUGCUCAUAUUUCUACACCGGGAUAGGGGCCCUUUAGUGUAUGCACGCAUUGUUUGCGAGUCUCGUGAGUCUUGGACCUACAGGUGCAUCUUUCUCUCAUCAUUUUUUCCUACCAUCACAUUAUUGCAUUCUAUCGUAUCUCAUUGGUUGUGUUCUUCAUCUCUUUUUCUUUAUUCAAUCUGUUGCUUAUUUUGCUUCAUAUUCUUUCCACCCUAAGUAGUGAUCCUCCUCAGUUCAUUAUAUGGGGGAUAGUCACAUCAUUUCCACUAUCUAUCCUACGAACAUUGAUUUAGAGAUCCUUAGUUUGAGAAGGUCAUCUUAUCAGAGAGAGUUUGUUUGUUACCUUAGCACUUGGGAGUGUGUCUAUUUUUUAUUGAUAUCAUUUUUGGGGUUCAUUUGUUUAUGUUCAGGGUAUGUGUAUUUGUAUAUAUGUAAAAAAAAAAAAAAAAAAAAAAAAAAAAAAAAAAAAAAAAAAAAAAAAAAAAAAAAAAAAAAAAAAAAAAAAAAAAAAAAAAAAAUUCUUUAUUACUAUUAUUACCACAUGUGUGUAUGUGCAUAGUGUUCCCAAUCAUUGGGUAUGUAUAUCAAUGUCGGGGGGUCAUUUUUAUCAAGUAUGUUCUUUAUUGGAAUUUCGUAUGUGACCUCCCUAAAAUCCCAUGUUAUUUGUAUUGCUUCCCCAAAUCUAUUUGGGAAAAAAAUAAGUGACCUUCCCCUAAGGACCCCAAGUCAUUGUCCUUUCCAUCAUUACGUUCAUUAUUGAUGUGACUUCAUUUCAUGUUUGAUCUAGGUCAAUCACCACUUUUCUUCACGUAUUCAUUGUAUCCCCAUCGUUUUUAUCGUUGCUUGGGAUUCAUCUCAUUCCCUUCCCAUCUUAUUCUCUCCUUACAGCGACCCAUCUCAGGUUCAAUGCUCAUUUCGCAUCAUCAUUACACAUAUCACUAUCAGUUCAUCCCGUUUCAUUUGUCUCCUUAUCGAUAUCAUAUUCACUUUAGGCAUCCUCAGGUCCAUGGCUCAUGGGGUUCACUAUACAUGUUGCAUUUCAUAUAUGAGGGCAUGGUUUUCUAAUCAUCGGGNNNNNNNNNNNNNNNNNNNNNNNNNNNNNNNNNNNNNNNNNNNNNNNNNNNNGUUCAUUUUUAUUGUAUAUUUUGAGAGCGAGAUGAGUGAUUUAGGAUUUUUCUUUCUUAUUUUGUUUUUCCUUUUAAAAAUAAAACAAAAAUAAGUAGCGACUCCAAGUUUUUUUCUAAAAAUCAAAUUUUCACCAAACAAAAUAAAAAAGAAAGUUUUCGCCAUCGAGUGAGAACGCAUCGAGAAAAAUACAGGGUCAACACUAGGAUUAGGAGGUCAACUGAGGGAGUUUGAGAUUGUGACACAUUUUACCAAUGUUUUAAAAACCGGACCUAACCGGGCGGUCCGACCAGUCGGGCUAUCGACCGGUGACCUUUUUAGUUCAGUUCCUUCUUUUGGGCCGACUAUCAAUUGGACCGGUGUUGAACCGCUUGAGCCGAUUGUUGAACCGUCGAAUUGCUUAGAUCGGGCGAUUCUAGGAAAACUGAACGAUUCAACACCCUCGGCCUUUUUUGACUAAGUGGGCCACUCCUUCACGACCCAACAAUAAUAGUCUACCAUUUUAUUUUUUAUUUUUACAAAAUGGGUUUCUCUCCAUGGCUCAACAUUAAAUACCCCCCCAAUCUUGCAAAAUGGGCCCCCUUACUCAAGUAUCAUGCAAUAAGGCCCACCAACCACUUCGCUUAACCACCUAGCUUCAAUUAGAUGGGAAAAGGUUUAUAAAACACUCUAUUUUUUUUUUCUUACUUUUGAUGUGGGAUAAGGUAAAGGGAUUUAAAAGCAAAAAUCAACUUUGCUCCAAGCUGCAACAAGAGGGUUUGAACCACGAACCACAAGCUCAUAAUGGCAUAACCCCUCUACUAUGUUGUAUCUUUGUUUGUGUUAAUAUUUAACAGAAAAUAACUACAUAGGCUAUUUCAAAAAAUAAUAUAUAUAUAUAUAUAUACAUAUCACUUUUUUUUUCAUUUUCAAUUUGUUUUCAUAUUUAAAUACAAUUUUUUUUAUCAUUUUGAAUAUAUUUUCAUAUUUAAAUAUUGUUAUAUUUUGUUUAAUAAAUUUAAACCAUUAAUACAUUUAUAUAAAAAUGAAUAAAUAAUAUUAUAAACAUUAUUUAAUUUUUAAUUAUAUAAUUUAAAUAUUUUAUAAUUAUUUUUAAUUUUAAUAAAAUGUAAAAUAUAGAUUUAUGACAUUGCUGGUUCGACUAUGAACCGUGAACCAAUAAUUUUUUUGAUUCAAUAUCCGAUCCGGUUCUGAAAACAUUGCAUUUUACCUUCUGAUCAGAGUAGCAUCUUAUACAUAUCCAUACCUUGACUUUUUAGUCUUGAUGACCUACCCAUGUUGAGCCUGGUAUGACACCACCCAUUGGUACCACUAUAUGAUCUUGCAAUCUUUGUCCAUCUUAUCUUAGUAUAGUACCAUUGCGUAUUCUUUUCAUCAUUUCUUUGAUCUGACAAAGUAAAAUCUAAGAUGAUUGGACCUGAGCUGAGCUUUGCAUCUUGAUCAAUGAAUUAUGAUGAGAAAGUGGUUUGACUGCUUGAUGACAUUGUUGACUAUUACAUGGUUGAGAUAGGCAUAGAGUUUUAUUGUAGAGUAUCCAUAUUGAGCUUUGACACAUGCCUUCAGAGGAUAAGCAUGACUUUAGAGGUUUAGCAUGACGAGAGAUAUUGAUUUUAUGAGAUGAUGACGAGUGGCUUGUGUUGAUAGAGUGGGUUGAUUGUCAGAUGACAUUGAUGAUUAUUAUAAAGUAUCAAGAGUUGGAGCUUUCACAUGAUUUCAGUGGAGUUGAUGUGGCUAUGUUAAAUGGAUACUAGUCUUUAGUGUUGAUCAUGUGAGAUCUUGAGAGCACGAUGUUCGAGGUUGUGGUUCAAGGAUGAGUAGCCAUUAUUUCAUGAUCCUAUUUACUUUAUCACUCUCACAUAUAGAGUUACCUAUUGUUGGCCCUUCGAGCCUCACAUGAAUAUUUUAGUUUUUUUUGUCUUAUCACAUCAUUUACUUUUUUUUACCACGUUAGGGACCUUAUCGUGCUUACAUGAUUUGAUAGGAGCCUCAUGAGUUUUGACUUGACAAACGUAUUCAAGUCUUAUCUCUCACUCUUCAUUGUGAUAUUUUCUUCCACUUUGACAUCACCCUCAUCAAUUUUUUUUUUUGCUGAUAUCACAUAUCACCACUUGAGAUAUUCACUCUAUUUCUUUUCCCUCAUCAUUGUCUACUUGACAUUAUCCUUGUUUCACCUUGAUUAGUGGUUUUCCACACAUUGCUACAUGGAAAGGGUCUAACUAUUUAUCUUUAUCCCCAUUUUGCAUGUAUUUGUUUUAUUAUUCAAUACCUUUAACAUAUGUUAUUUCAUUUAUUUUGAUAUCUGUGAACAUGUAUCAUCUAUUAAUUUUGUUGUUGAUGCAUUUAUUUAUAUAAUGUUCAAUUUUUCUGAUUAUGGAACGACCCAUAAUAAUUUUUUUUUCAAAAAUUAUUUUUUAAUAAACUAUUUUGUUUGGAAUGAAAAUUUAAUCUUUUUUAAAAAUAAAUGAUUAUUUUUUAGAACUGUAACUAUUUUGUUUAAUGAUUUGAUUUGAUUUUUUUUGGGUAAGAUCUUUUUAUUUUUUAUUUAUUUAUUUACAAAUAAAGACUUUUUUUAAACAAAUCAUAAAACAAUUUAUAUAUAUAUAUAUAUAUAUAUAUAUAUAUAUAUAUGAAAGUUAAAAAGAAACAUUUUUAGAAUACAAUUGGAAAGAAAAAAAAUAUUUUUAAUUUUUUUUAAUAAAAUAAAUUUUCUCUUUUUUAAGAAAUUGAGAUUUUCUUUUAAUAAAUUUCUUUUUUUAAUAAAUUAUUAUUUUUUUUUAUAAAUAUAUUAUCAUGUUGUUAAAAAAUUUGAACUUUAUAUAUAUAUAUAGAAUAAGUUUGAAAUAAUUAAAUAAGUAUUUUCUAAUUAAAUGAAAUAAAAAAAAUCACUUUUUGGUAAAUAAAUUUGAAUUGGACUGUUAUUGCAAAUAAAAAUGAAAAAAAAAAAUCUUGUUUUUAAUAAAAGACAAGAAAAACUCUAUUUUUAGAUAAAUUUAUUAAAAUCUUCUUCUUCUUUUUUCCUUUUUCUUUUUUUUUAAUAAAAGGCAAAUUUCUCUUCUUAAUAAAAAAAAGUGAGUAAAAGUUCCUUAUUUAAAAUAAAGCUGAAAAAAAUUAUAUUUCUAAAUAAAUUUGUAGAUAAAUAAAAUUGAAUUGAGAUCUUUUUACAUACAAUUGUAAAAAUAUGAAUUUCAUUUUUUAAACAAAAUAUAAAAUUUUGAAGUUCCUUUUUUGAAUCAAAUAUCAAAUUGAACCUCUUUUAUGAAUAAAACUUGAAAAAUCUUUUUUUUUUCUUAUAAAUUAGAAACCUUUAAAUUGAAAUCUCAUUUUGUAGAAUCAAGGAUUAUUUUAUUUUAUUAUUAUUUUUUGUAAGUCCUAAUGAAAUUGAAUAAACCUUCUUUAAAAUCAAACAAAGAUAAGAUUUCUUUUUCAAUAAAUCUUUUUUUUUUUUAUAAAAUCAAAUAAUUAAUCAUUUUUGGUAAAUAAAUGAGGGAUUGAAACCUUUUUUUUUUAAAUAAUUUUUUAAAAACUUAUUUUCCUAUUAAUAAUAUUUUUUGUAUUAAUAAAAUUGGAUUGGAUUUUAAUAUUUUUGCACAUAAAAAUCUUGUUUAUUUAAUUGAAAUAUCUUUUGUAGAUAAAGUUAUAAAAAAAGAAUCAUUUUUCUAAAUAAUUUGUAAAAAACACUUUUCUAAAUAGAAGUUAAAUUGAAAUACAUUUGUAAAUAAAACUGUAAUAAUUCAUUUACUAACAAAGGUAAAUAAAAGUCAUUUUCCUAUUAAUAAAAUCAAUUUUUUUAAUGCAAUUGUUUUUAAGAAAUUCUUUUAGCAACAAUAAGUGUAAAUGACAUUUUUGAAAAUUGAAUACAAAUAAAAUCGAAUCAAUCAUUUGUUGAAAAUAAAUCAAAACUUUUUUAUAAAUAAAUAAAUUGACAUAUUAAUUCGAAAUUGUUUUGAUAAACUCAUUUGAAAUUUCUUGAAAAGGUAAUUUUUGAAAUAUCUUUAAUUUUUUUAAUUAGCUUAAUAAAUCAAUUUGCUUAUUUCUCGUCAUCUAUCUUGUACAUUCUUGCAACCUACUUUUAGGAUUUUUUUUUUCUUGUAUAUUGGUUUGUAUCCUUUAUUUUGGUAUUGAUGAUUAAUUAAUUAAUUGUCACAAUUCCCCCUAUUCAUUUAGUAGAUAUUGUAGGUAUACAGGUUUGGAGGGGUUCUAUGACUUAUCACUAUACAUUCUCGAUAGGUAACUUGACCCUUGAAUCUAGACUCAGUUUUAGAAACAUGUCUUUUCUAAAUAAGGAGUCACAUAGGGUUUUCUUUCUUAUUUUGUUUUUCAUUUUUAAAAAAUCUAAAAUAAGUGGCGACUCCAAGAUUUUUUCAAAAAAAUCAAAUUUUCAAAAAAAAAAAAAAAAAGUUCUCGUUGUUUGAGUGAGGACACAUAUGAAAAAUGGGAGUCCACAAAAUACAGGUUUGUAAAAAACACAAGUUAGUGGUAACGUUAGGCACAACUAGGUUAACCAAACCUUGAUUGAUGAAGUCCUAAAUAGCAUGUUCAAGAGUGAAACAAUGACCUGUCAAAUGCCUUGGAGUAUAGUGGUAAAGAUAGUGCUCAUGUAGUAAAAAAUAAGGAGGAUAUGGUUGCAUCAAUGCUUUGAGGGUUAAACGGAUCAAAAGACUUGCCUUAGAGAGCUUCUGGAAAACUUAACUUAAUGGCAUCCCUAAGUGUCAUAAUUGUCUCAUAGAUCUGGGUAUAAGGGGUUUCCGAUUUUGUGCAUGACGUGGAUCGAGGUCUACCAUUUGGUUUGGGGUUUGAGCUUGCCCAUCGAGAUCAUGCCUAUGUAGUCUGUUUGCACCAAGCUCACCUCAUGGUUUGAUUGAGACACUUAUCUUUCAAUUAUCCUUUACGGCCAUAUAGUCGAAAUUGGUCAGAUUAUUUUGUUUUUGCUUCUCUUAUUGCUAUAUGUUCUGAGAAGGUAUCAAUUUAUGACUUUUCUACUAGUCCUAAAGCCACUAUGGAGUAGAUGUUUAAGUAGUUACAACUUGUUGACAAAGCCCUAGGUUCCUUUACUUCUUCGAAGAUGGCUCUAUCUCCCCUAGAUAGGGGCAACAUAUUUCCUCUACACUUCCCUUGAAAGAUUGAUGAGUACAAGAGUUUGAAUCCUAUUAAGGGUUUCUUUGAUGGAGUAACUCCCAAGGAUGAUUACUGACAUGAGUUAAACCUAUUUACCAUGAUACAAAUGUCAAGAUCAAUUAAGGUGCCAGUAGUGGGGCUGUUUGACUUGUUUGGUGAGAUGACUAUUGAGGGUGUUGUAGAGACAAAUCCAUCAAUUCCCAAGGUCACCCUACCACUUAGAGCUCAACCAAUGGUACCAAAGAUUUUUAUUGCUCCUAUUUUUUAGACUAUUAAUGUAGGCCCUUCUAUUGAGCAAGAUGUUUCUUGUGAUAUUAUAUUAGGAUUUGUCUAUCAUAUUUCUAAUGAUGUACCUAUUCUUUCAUCUAUGGGUAUGAGUUAUUUUAAGUAUUUUCCUGUGUGUUCUAGUUAUGUGCAUGAUUUUUCUCUUAGCUUGUCACAACAUCCAUCUAUUUCAUUUGUUUUCGACAUAGAUGAUGCCUCAAUCACCUGAUUCGAAUUCAAAUACCCUUUUUGGUCAUUCAAGUUACAAAGUAGAGCCUACAGAUGAAGAUUCCAAGAUUAUUGAUUUGGUACCAAGGAUUAACCUUGAGAGCUCUAGAUUGGUACUUCAUUGUCUACAAAUGAGAGGGUCGACCUUAUUUAGUUGCUUAGAGCAUAUUUAGAUGUGUUUGCAUGUUCAUAUAAGGAUAUGCCAGGAUUGGAUCCAUCAAUUGUACAACAUUGCCUACCUUUACUUCCCCAUAUCAUACCAAUUAAGCAGAGAUUGAGGAUUUACUACACCCCUGAUGGAGUCUUCAACUGGAAAAGGAGAUUCAGAAGCAACUUAAUGACAGAUUCUUAUAAAUGGUUGAGUAUCUUGAGUGGCUAGCCAAUGUCAUCCCUACUUCUAAAAAGAAUAGUAAAAGUAGAGUUUGUGUGGACUUUCGAGAUCUUAAUAAGAGUAGUUCUAAGAAUGACUUUUUUCUUCCUUACAUUGACAUGCUAGUUGAUAGUAUUGUAGGUUAUUCGAUGUUAUCCUUCAUUGAUAGUUUUUCUAGCUAUAAUAAAAUCUUGAUGGCUUCGGAGGACAUGAAGAAGACCUUUUUUAUUACUGAGUGGGGUACUUACUCCUAUAUGGUGAUUCCAUUUGGGUUGAAGAAUGCAAAAGCUACUUAUCAAAGAGCAACGACUACAUUUUCCAUGACAUGAUGCAUCAGGAUGUUGAGGUUUAUGUAAACAACAUGAUAGUGAAAUCUCAAGGUAGAGUAGAUCACUUAACAACUUUGGAGAGAUUCUUUGAGAUAAUCAGACAAUUCAGAUUGAGAUUGAAUCCCAAGAAAUGCACUUUCAAGGUGACUUUUGGGAAGUUGGGUUAUAUGGUUAGUGAGAGAGGCGUAGAAGUAGAUUUGGAUAAGAUCAUAACCAUUCUUGACAUGCCUACAUUGAGGACUAAGAGAGAGAUCAUAAGUUUCUUAGGCUUACUUUAGUACAUUAGUAGGUUCAUUACUAGAUUGACAAACAUUUGUGAGCCCAUCUUUAAACUUUUGAGGAAAAGUCAACCUAUUGUUUGGGAUGAUCAAUGCCAGCACCAAUUUGAGUGGAUCAAAGAGUAUUUCUUAUCACCUCUAGUUUUGGUACCUCCUACACCAAUUCGUCUCAUACUCUAAUACAUUUUAGUUUUAUACAUAGCCUUAAGAUGCAUGUUAGCUUAGCUCAAUGAUUUGUGAAAGAAGAAAGCUAUUUAUUAUAUGAACAAGAAGAUGUUAGAUUAUGAGAUGAGGUACAUCAUGAUUAAGUGCCUUUACUCGACAUUAGUUUGAGCUACUUGAAGAUUGAGACAUUACAUGUCAGAGUAUUCAGUACAUCUAAUAUCUUGUUUGGAUCCUCUGAGAUAUUUGUUUGAUAUACUUGUUUUGACUGGUUGACUCAUGAGAUGGUUAGUGCUUCUAACUAAGUUUGAUAUUCAUUAUGUUACAAAAAAAGUCUAUCAGAGGAAGUAUUGUCACAGAUCACUUGGCUUCAUUGUCCAUUUCAGAUGAUAGAGAAAUUAAUGAUGAUUUUCUAGAUGAUGAGGUUGUUGCAAUGGCUAGCCUGUCAAGUUGGCGUAUAUACUUCGAUGGUGUAGCCAACCAUUCUGGAUAUGGAUAGGAAUCUUGUUGAUAUCCUCUCACGGUGAUCAUAUCCCUAGAUCUGUUCGUUUGGCAUUUUCUGAUCGUCCCUCUGCCAUGAAUAACAUUGUUAAGUAUGAAGCUUUUACCCUGGGAUUAGAGACAACUCUCAAGCUUAAGAUUUGAUAGAUGGAGUUGUUUGGUGACUCAAAUUUGGUGCUCAGAUAGAUUCGGGGUGACUAGAAGACUAUAGACGUGAAACUUAGACCGUAUCAUGCAUAUUUAGAGUUACUAGUUAGGGGAUUUAAUGAUUUGAGAUAUACACAUUUGCCUAGAGUACAAAACCAGUUUGUUGAUGCCUUAGCUACUCUAGCUUCCAUGAUUAAUAUUCCUACUAAUACUAUUAUUCGCGUUUUUACUGAUUGAGUCAAGAUCUGUUAUUGCCUAUUGUUGCUUGAUUAAUAAGAUAGAGUUAGAGGACAGCUUGCCCUAGUACCAUGACAUAUAUUAGUUUCUCAAAUUUGGCAUGUAUUAUGAUGUCGCUACAACCAAGGAUAGAAGAGCAUUGGGAUAGUUAGCCACUUAAUUUGUGAUUGUUGGGGAGACAUUGUAUAGACAUUCAGUUGAUGGCAUGUUACUAUUGUGCUUGGAUUGCACCUUUAUUGAUUGAGUGAUGAGAAAGGUUCAUGUAGGGGUUUACAGACCACAUAUGAGAUCACACAUGUUAGCCUAUAAGAUCAUGAGGACCAGACAUUUUUGGUUGACUAUAGAGACAAAUUGUUGCCAUUUUGUUCAGAGAUGUCCAGAAUGCCAGGUGCAUGAGGAUCUCAUUCAUGUGUCACCCUUACAGUUACAUGCAUUGACUUCACCAUGACCAUUUUCAAUUUAGAGUAUAGACAUUAUUAGGAAGAUUUUGCUGAAAUCUUCUAGUGGUCAUGAGUUCAUCCUUAUUGCCAUUGAUUACUUAACCUAAUGGGUAGAGGUUGCCUCAUAUGAGAUAUUAACAUCAAUUAGAGUUGCUAGUUUUGUUAGAUCACAUAUCAUUUAUCGUUAUGGAGUUCCUCAUAAGUUGAUUUCAAAUAGCAAAGGUUGACACCUUGUUAUAGGGAUAUGGUAUCUAGCAUCAUAGAUGUCUAUGUAUAGGUCAUAGACUAAUGAGGUAGUAGAGGCCACAACUAAAAACAUUAAGAGGAUUUUGCGAAGGAUAGUUGAGAUUUCUCGAGAUUGGUCAAAGAAACUCUCUUUUGCAUUGUGGGCGCAUCGUACCUCCUUUCACACUUCUAUAGGAGCCAUACACACGGAGCCAAUGCUACUUGUUAAGAUAAAAAUGAGAUACUUGAGGGUAGUAGAUCAUGUUCAUGCUUAUUAGAGGAAGAUGACUUGUGCUUUCAAAAAAUAGGCCAAGCCUAGAUAGUUUCAAAAUGGUGAUUUGGUGGUAAGGAUUCUUAGAGGAAUGGUUGGAGACCCUCAUGGCAAGUUCAGGCCUAAUUGGAGUGGACCCUACUUUAUUAGAGAGUUGAACCCAUGGAGGGCUGCAUGACUAAUGGAUUUAGACAGAAAAUCGGUUUUUAAAGCCAACUAAUGCAAAUUAUCUGAAGAAGUAUUAUGUUAAGACCAUGGCUAAAGGAUGGGUGGCCCUCCUUUUAGUUAACCAUAUAUCUGAUCACCUUUAGAUUUCAUAUGAUCCUUUGCUAGCCAUUUGAGCCUCACAAAAGUAGUGGCCUUCCAUUUCUUGUCACCUUGACUGCCUUUUUCACACCCAGUUAGGACCCUAUAGUGAGUGAGAUGUGUGGUUAUAGAUUUUAUGGGCGAUUGGAUCUAGAGUGAUGUUGUGUCAUCCUUGGUUCACAUUUCCAUUUCUUAUCUUUCAGCGUAUACUUUUGUAGAGUUAUUGUCGUCAAGUAUUCCUUUUUCUUCCAGGUUUGUUGUCAUUAGCUUUUUUGCUUCCCUAUUUAACAUUUUUCUCAUUUUUCUUCUUUUACUUUUUUUUUUUCAUCACCUAUUGCCAUGGGUUGGCAGUUGUUCACUCAUCUUUGUGUUGAGGAAGAUCAUAUCACUCAUUUCAAUUUCUUAUGAGUUUGAUCUUAAGACUCUAGGGUUUUAUGAGCUCUUCAUAUCCUUGAGAUAGUAUGAUCAUACUAGGGUGAGAGAUGUGAGUUUUUUUUGUUAUGCCUACCUAGUGGAGGAUUCAUGUUGCUUGUUAUACAUACUUGACUAUGAAGAGUGUUAAAAAGAAAGAAAAAAUAAAUAAAUUUUCAUACCAAAAAUAAAUUCCAGUUUAUUAAAAAAUAAUUUUUGAGAUAAGAUUUUAUUAUGGGUUCAGUCUACAAGUAGAAAAAUAGAACAUUAUAUAAAUAAAUGCAUCAACAACAAAACUAACAAAUGAUGUAUAUUCACAAGAUAUAAAAAUAAAUGAAAUAUUCUAUGUAUAGUGCAAUCCCAAAUCUAGUAGCUUUCCACAAGGUCCUCAACAAAGAGAGAAGAGAAAAAUCUAGAAAACCGUUAUCUUUCUCUUUCUUUUAUUCUAAUCCCCCUUUUUUUUUUUUAUCCCAAAUCAAGUCUCACUAGCUUUAUGCACAUGCCCAUAUAUAAUUUGUCUUCAACUACUCCAACUAAUACAUUGUGCACCAAAUUUGCCUUUUCUUGUCCUUAGUGCAAUGCCAAAACACCAACCCAAAUACAAGCAAACCUAAUCAACAAAAAUAAAAUAAAUUCAAGUAGGCCCAACAACAAUAUCCAAUAACUCAAGCCCAAUUUAAUAUCCAAUAAAUAUAUAGACCCAAAUCAUAUCAAUUAGCAGCCCAAAUCAACAACCAUGCAAGCCCAAUAUCUUUAAAGCCCAAAAACAGUACCCAAGUCUCCAAAAAAAUGCACUAUGAAGAUCUAAAGGAAGAAGAAGAGGGGACUUACCAUUUUUGAAACUUUUGAUAUGACAAUGGAAUGAAUGGGUGUCAUGGUGAAGAAAUGGCAUUAUCGACGUCAAACUGACAAUAGCUAGUUAUGGUGAGCUUCACCAUGGAUGGUGAUGGUGGUGCUCAUAGUGGGGUGGUGGUGUGGGAGUCGUGGGUAUGGUAAGUGAGUGAGAGAGAGAGAGACAGAGAGAGAGAAAUAAAAUAAAGAAAAAAGGAAAGAAAAAAAUAAAAUAAAAAGUGGCAGUAGCAUUGCCAAUGGUGAGAGUGGUAGCCAUCAUGGGUAUGAUGGUAUGGAGAAUGAUGGAAAGAAAAAGAAAACAUAAACACGGAAAGAGAAUAAGAAGAAUGAAGGAAGGAAAAGAAUGAGAAAAUAUGUGGUAAAUGGAGUAAAAGGAUGAUUGGGGCUUUUUUCAUAGGUCUUAGGGUUUCUUUUAGGGUGAAUGAUAGUGAUGAAAGAAAAAAAAAAACAGAGGGUCUAGAUUAGUUCCUUAAAAAUGGGUACAAGUGGGCAUGAAAAUGAGCUAAAAUCAAGAGGAUUAUGCUUAAAACUAACUAACCAAAAGUCCUACAAAAAAAGAAAUAAAUAAAAUAAACAAAAGUAAAAAUAAAUAAAUAAAAACAAAAACAAAAUAAAAUAAAUAAAAGUUUGGGACAAAUUUUAAAGUCUACAUAUGUGCUUAUUGGAGUUACAACCAUAUCAUUUUUAAAAUUAUUCAUUUAUUUUGAUCUUGGACAAUUGAUAAUUAAUUUAUUAAGAGAUAAUAAAUUAAUACAAGUUAAGAUAAUAUUAUUUUAUAUUAUAAAAUUUAUGCAAAUAUUUAAUAGAUGAAAAAUAAUUUAAUAAUAUAUAUUUUUAAAAUAAUCCAAAUAGAAUAUUCAAUAAUAUAAUAGAAUAUUUAUUAUUGCUUGCCUUCAUCUUUUUCAAACCCAAUGCCUUGAUUUUUUUCACCUACAUUUUCUUCGUCUUUUCCUCCAUUCCUCUUGUUCAUCUUUUUAUCUUCUCAUUUUCAUUUUUUACAAAAAAGAAAAAGAAAAGAAUGGAAGCAACAUUAAUGGUGAUGCUACCAUGUCUACAUGCUCAUAUAUAGCAAGUGAAGAUUAUGGAGCGGAAAGGUUUAGAAUUUUUAUGUGGGGGUGUGUGGUUAAAGAAGAUGAAGGUAGAUUAGUAAAAAAUUGUAUACCUUUUUUAUAUUUAAAUUAAGGGUUUAAUACAUUUUACCCUCUCAACCUAUCACAUGUUUUGCACAUUACCCUCUUAAGUUUAAAACUGAACAAAUUGUCCUCCAAGCUUCUUAAAGACCAACACUAUGCCUUUUUUGUUGGACAGAAAUGUCAUGUGUUGUGCACAUGACUUAAUAAACGAGGGUAAAAUUGUCAUUUCAAAUAUCUAAAAUCCUAAAACAUCUUCUUCUUCGUUCUUCUUCCUCAGAGAGCCCUAAAUCCCCAAGCCCUAAAAUUUGGUUUUAGUUUUCUACACAUCAUAUCAUUUGGAUUUCCACAGUUGGAUUUUCUCUUAUUAAUCACCAAUUCUAAAUCAUGUGCUCAACAACUAUAACUAAAAAAUAAAUACACAAAAUGAGAGUCCAAAACUUCUAUUUGGUUGCAUAGAAAAAAAUGAGGUUCUUCAUUUUUUGUGAGGAGAGUGAUUGAUGUUCGGGUUAGGGUGUCAGUGGGGUUCCAUAGAGGAACAAAUUAUGUUUUUGAGAGGGUGAUAAUCUUUGAUAGAAUCUUGAGGACUAAGAAUUGCAAUUGUCAUUAACGAAAAAUAGAAUGCAACAGAGGAAAAUCGGAUGAUGUGAUGAGUAGAAAACUGAAACUUUAAAGAAUUUGAGAUAAUCGAAUUUUAGGUUAGGGGAUUUAGGGCUUUGGAAGGAAGAAGAACAAAGAUGGGAGGUUUUAAAGCUUUAGGUAUUUUAAUGACAUUCUAACCCUCGCUUAUUAAGUCAUGUGCACGACACAACAUUUCCAUCAAAUCAAACUAACACUGUUCAACAAAAAAGGUAUAGUGUUGUCUUUAAGAAGUUUGGAGGACAAUUUGUUCAAUUUUAAACUUAAGGGGGCUAUGUGCAAAACACGCAAUAAGUUGAGGGUGUACGGUGUAUUUAACCCUCAAAUUAAAGUUCAAAAUAUUAGGGAUUUCCAACCUCUUAUCACUUCUUAAAAAAAAUAAAAAAAUAAAAGCCUCCCAAGGAUGAGUCACAAAAUUAAAAAAAAAAAAAAAAGAAAAGAAAAAUUAAAGGAUGUUUGAUAAAUUAAUUUAAUGACUUAAUAUGAUAUGUAACAACCUAUUUUAAGUUAUUAAACAAAUUAAGUAUAUAUAAAUUGUUAAAUAAUUUAAUAUCAUAACUUAAAGUUAAAAGUAAUUUUAAAUAUUAAAUAAAAAUCCUUGCUUUAAAUAAAGCAAAUUGGGGUCAAUUUCUCGUACUUGCUCAAUGUGUCCCAUUUCAUCAAGUGCCUUGCCCAGUUCACUGAGUUGUUGGCCUACCAAGCACUUGCCUACUGCUCUUGCUGCCCACCAAACGGGCGGAGCGCUCGAUAUCCUUACUUUUCUAGGGCCCUUCCCAUUGCUCUAAUCAUAAGUUAUGGCAACUCCAAUUGGUAACCAUAGUGGCUCGCCCUAUGAUGCGAGGCCACAAUAGGCUCAAUGGUCUAAUCAGAGUGAGAUAAACUCUUUCUUGACAUGACUCACCCUUCCCACUCUUGACAUGAUGAAAUAAAUAACUAGCACCAUUAAUUCGGGUGAUGCCUAAGGGUCAUCUCUUGCUUCUUUGAGUGAAUUUUUCAUGAACUAGGCCUUUUCAUAGCUCGGAAUAAAUUUCCAAUCAAUUCAUUCUAAAUUUUAUUUUAUUUUUAUUCCAUUUGCUCACAUAUUGACGAGAAUCUCUUUUAUGUCUCUGAUUUUACAUCCACAACUCAUCUUUUAUGGUAAAUAUUUUAUCAUUAUUUCAUGUACAAUAAUAUUUUUAAUAUGGAUAUUUAACAAAUAAAUUUGAAUUUCAAAAGAUAAUUUAAGUCAAUUAUAUCAAAUAACCUUUAUGCUUACACUAAAAAACUAAGAGUAACAUUUAAAUCAAUAAUUUAAUUUAAACUCAAUUUAAAUAUUUAAAUCAUUAAAUAAUAAUAAUAUUAAGUUUUAUCAAACAUAUUCUUUUCAGGACAGGCAAACUAUCGGAUAAUUUCUAAUUUUCAAUUGUCUCAAAAAUUUAGCUUAAAAUUUUGGGAAUUACAAUUCAUUUAAAAAAAAUUAAAAAUAGAAAAAAUGAUUAUGUAAUUCCCUUAUGUAGUCUCUGCAUGAAUCAACUGUUUCAAGGGCAUUAGAAAAGGAGUGCUGCUGCAUUCAAAAUAUUUACAUGGUACCUCAGAGCUUACUUGGAAAGGCAAAUUAUCCUUUCAUUUCAAAUUCUCAAAUGUCAUUAAUUUUGUUCAUGCUUGGAAAGGACCUGGCAUCCACUGAAUUAAAAUUAUAUAUAAGGCACCAUUUGUUUGCAAAGAACAUGAGAAAAUAGUUGAAUGCUUGGAUAUCUGGCUGCCACUGAAGUUGGAGUAGUAGUUGGAAAGCUCCAAAUUUAAUUUCUUUCCUUUUCCUAAGACUUCUUGACAACCAAACAGUCCGGAUGUAGCUGAAAGCAACCUUAGUGAAAAAGACUUGGAACUGGUGAGUAAAAACUUCAUUGAAAAGGGUUCUUUGCCAGUGGAUGUCCUAGGUUGAUAAGUUCAAAUCAUUUGAUUGGAUUUUUGAUAAAGAGCAUAUCAAGACCAAAAACUUUGUACUGCGGACAGCAGUAUUGGAUUCCGAUGAUAACUCAUUUGAAAAAUUUUCACCUCAAUAUGAAUUAUUGAUCUACUGCCUAGGGAAUCAUUUUUCCUUGAACCUUGCUUCUAAACAAUACGAUGGAGAUGUACUUCUCUAAAUACUCCAGAGGAGUUAUCCUUAUCUCCAGAAAACUGAGUAUAUGAUAAACAAGCUUAUAGUAAUAUGUAUUUUACGUAUUCUUUUGUACUUAAGUACUGUAACAGUACUUCUGGAGUCCGGAUGUUGGAUUUACAAAUCAAACUCAUUCCUGGCCAGAUCUUUCAGUUUCUCUACAAUUUGAGGUUUCUGGUUUUUGGGUUUUCAUUGACGAAUUUUCAUGUAAGUUUACUGAAAUGUAUUCAUGCCCAAGAAUAGUUUGGUUUAAGUCAGUGAAAAUUUGCUUUUUCCAUCCCCAGUUAGAUCUAUCACUAGUAGUCUAUUUUAAUACCAACAAUCAAGGAGCCUAAACCCCAAGAAGGCCCCCCAUCUGGUUUAUGCCUCUCCCAACUUGAGUCAACAAGUCUUUCAUCUUCUUCCAUCAACUCAAUCGCCAAUAAUGCUUACUUUUCUGAUUAAACCAAUCAAGUUUCGACACUAAAACUUUCCAUGCUUUAUGAAUUAUUUUGCCAUGAGAACUGAGUGAUAGCCCCAUAGGGUUGCACUGGUAAUCUCAACCAAAUGGCAUCUAGCUUUAAGAAACUCAUCUUCUGUAAAUGCAAGGCUGCAGUACAGUUAUUGAUGGUGCAAUAUUCGCGUUAUAAGCACUGCCUUCUGGAGAGGCGUAUUGAAUGUAUUUGUUUAUAUAUAUAUAAAGAAAAAUGCUAAGAUUUCAAAGCGAUACUUAUAAAACAAAAGAUUUGAACCAUUGAAUAUGUAUGGUGAGAACUUGACAGUUCAAACGUGGGUAUAAGUGAAUGGAACAAAGGUUCAAAAGUGCAAAUAAAUGGGACCAAAAUUAUAACCAAUGAGAUAUGAAAAUAUAUUCGUGAUAUCACUUGAUUGAUGAAGCAUUUUUUUAUAGAUAUCGAUGUCAUUUUUUAUAUAUUCUAUAGAUAUCGGAAAAAAAUACACUUCUAUAUUAUAACCGCAUCAUAUACAAAACCAUAUCUUGUAGUUCCUUUUGUAUUGAUUAAUAAAGAAUGCUGUUAAACUAUUCUUCUUGGCAUGAUUUAAUUAUAUGAUCAAUAGAGAGAAAAAGCAAACAGCAUGAGCCAAUGAGUAAGUCAGUUAGAACAAUGUCAUUGAUCCCCUUUCACUAGGAUGGUUCCAGAGCAUACAAAAGGGAACUGCAGUAUAUUAAUAAUUAUUUUUCGAACAUUUUCCUCUUUCCUCUUGCCUUAGCAAUCAAUUUCACCCAUGGUUCAUACUAAUGUUUACUCACUAGAUUUUUCUGGUGACCAAAUGAACCCCACAAGAUCAAUCGUGCAUGCCAUGAUUGAAACUAUGAUAAAAAAAAGCUUGGAGGGUGAUUUUGAGAAAAAUAAGUACCAUAUUAGUGGCAAAAUAUGGAUACACAAACAAACUUGAAAUAGCUAGAUGGUUGCAAUGUCUAAUUAACCAGGGAUUCCAGUUUUGGGUAUCGUGCAGAGAUGGGAAUGGAAUGCAGACUAUUACAUCUCAGUAUCAUGUCAUGUCAAAGGCAAUCAGAUUUUGUAGUUUGCAGUUGCUUUAGCAAUAAAAUGUUGGCCUGACAGUAAGCAAAACUGAAUCAACUGAUUCAAGGAGAAAAGACUGAGAAGUAGGAAGAAGGGGGACAAAAGGGAAAAUGGUUUACAGAUUGUACCUUUGCUGAUGUUGAUCCCAAUCUCCAGUACUAUGUGUAAGCACUUAAUGUUGGAUUUCUAGCUAGCCAGAUUAAAGCAACCGAGUAAUUAUAUGUCCCUGUUAAUCAAUCAAAAGGGUCAGUGCUCACUGCAUAUAUCAUGAACUUUAUUGAAGGGAAAUUUUUUUUUUACUCCGCCCCUCAUCAGCAGAUGCUUCCUCUCCUUUCUUCUCUUUAUUUUUGCCUUUUGGCCUUUUGGCAGGUCUGCAAAGGGAGGAUUUCAAGACCAAUCCCCUAUAUCCACAGAGAAGCAGGAAAAAGAAGAGGAUGUGUUGAGAAGAAGAAUACCCCUAUCCCCACACAGAAGCGGGAAAACAAAAAAGGAUGUGGAGAUAAGAAGGAGAAGAAGAAGAAGUCUUAAUUAAUUGAGUACCAAUGGAUACAUUGAAUACAGUGGCUUUUCUGUAUAUAAGGAACACUUAGACAUGGAGGAAAAGGCAACCAGAACACAAUUGUUUUUAGGGCAAAGGUGCAUGGUUAAAAUAUUAAAACCCUCUGCCCGUUCAGUAGAAAGAAAGGAACAAGAUGAAGAAGAAGAAAGCCAAGAACAAAAAAAGAAAGGAUAAAAGGAAAAAACAGUGGCCUCAUAAAUGUUGAAGCUUCCACUAAAAGAUUGAAAUCAUCAUUAAUAUAUAUGCCGGCCGUAGUCAGUACUUCCUUACACACACAGAUGGUCCCAUCUCCGAAGAGACACACAUUGCCAUAACUCAUACCUUGUCAUCAGGUUACAUCUAGAUCCCCAGGAAGGGAACACUUGAAAUUCUUACUUGUGCCAGACUUGCUGGUUUUUCCCCAUACUCGGCUUCACACCAUAAUCUUCCCACAAGUGUUCUUCAUCAAGCAGGAUGUUCAAGCAGCUACCAUGCACUGUGGUACCCACGCUGGAGUUAGAAGGUGAAAGAUGAUCCUCACUGUUCUUCUGAAGUCCUACAUUCUCAGAGCCUUGUUUGGCCAUGAUUUCCUGGCCAUGAUAGGGGUCCAGUGGCUGAAAGUAAGUGCAGGUUCUCAAAUUCUCUUUGCGCUUCUUGCUGUGCUCGGUGGUCUUGUUUAAGUAGAUGUUGAUGUUCUCCCAUUUCUGUUUACACCUCAUUGCACUUCGCUCAUAGCCCAAACAACCCAUUCUUGUGGCAAUCUCCUCCCAUAGGCUUUCUUCUGAAUACCCGCUGUCUUGAAAUCUAGAUUCCAUACUGGUCCUCAGAUGUAUCAAACUUGAGAGCUCUUGUUCUGGCCAUCUACUGUAAGUAGUGUCAUCAGGUACUUCAUUUACAAUGUCCUCCAUGCUUUCGUUCUGGUCUUGAAUUUCCUUGUCCAUUAGCCCGUCUGGAGACGACAAUUUUAGUUCUUUCCCUGUAAAUUUCUUCAGAGCCUCCAUGAGUGCAGCAUCUCGGGCUUCAAUCCAUGCUCUCUCACUAGCCCAGAAUUUAUAUUCUCGAUCGAACCGAGCUGCCUCUUGCUUCCUCCAUUCCUCCUCUCUGGACAACCUUUCCUGCUCUUUAUGCUCGAUAGUUGUCAGCAUCUUCUCCAUCCAUGCCUCUUGUGUGUCCAUUAUCUUCUUCAUGUGGAGGCCCACAAAUUCCUUUAUUUUUCCUUUCAAACUCUUCCUGACCCUCCUGUAACUUUGUCCAUCAUCUACCCCUCUUUUCUUCUCCAUGGAAUGGUUCAUCAUGUAGGCAAUAGCUGAAAGAUCAUCAUCAUUGUUUUCUGAAGAUGAAGUCUCAAAUUCAGAUGAGUUAGAGAAACUAUGGCUCUCACAGAACUUGUGGUCUUGCAAAGCUUCUUGAUUUGCUUGGUUAAUGGUGGUGUUGUUUGUAGUCUGAUAAAGAAGAGUAGUGUUCCCAGCAAGAUGGGUUUCUGAAACUGACGCUUGAUUGCUUGUUUCUCCAUAGAGUGCUUCAAGUUGUCGGAAGAACCUAUAGUGCUUCCCAUCCUGUCUUCCGGCUUUACCUUCUUUAGUUUUCUUAUAAUACUUGUACAGGUUCUCAAACUUCUCUCUGCACUUCUUCCCACUUCUCUGGUACCCAUGUUCCUCAGCCAUUAUCCUGCAACAAUUAACGAAACGAAUAAAGGAAGAAAAGUAACCCAAAAAGGGUAAAUAUAUACAUAUAUAUAUAUAUAAACAGACUAGAGAAGAAUAACCCUAGUUUGUAGUUCUUUGGCCUAGUCCCUCUUGGAAUCCUAAAACAGAUAGUCUAAGUAAUUAUAUUCAAGGAUUUUGAUACCCAAUGCAAACCUCAAAUAGUAAUUAAUGCUAUAGAUGAUAGAAAAUGUGUUUUGGUAUCUCUUUUUUGGGCAUUUCGAAAUAAUAAAAUCUUAAAAUACCCAAAACAUUCCUCUAAUCAUCAGUUAGAUGUCAUAAAAUAUUAUUCUUGUUUCUUCUCCCUUUCUGUUUGAUGGGUAUUUUACAUUAAACCAACUAAGUAAGUAGGUUUCUUGAACGACUCGAGAAUGUUGGGAUUUAGAGAAGCUUCUUGGACUGGCCAUAUCACACAAAACCAAUGUAUGAGUACAACAAUUCAGGGGCGCUGUCAGCCAUUUUUCCAGAAUAAAACCUGUUAAAAUAACUAAAAUAACAGCUGGGUCUUCCAGUUAACUCAAAAAGCUUGUCAUUUUGAAGCGCUAAACUCAGUAAACCAAACAUAAAUUCUAUCAAAAGCUUGUCAUUUUUUGCUUUAAUAAAAUAUAUACAACAUAUAUACAUAAAAACCAGUACGAAAGAAGGAAGAGAGUCAUUUUUGCUAAAGAAAAGGAAAUAGGGUUUCUUGAAAAUCUUGGAGAAAUCAUGUGUAUCAAUGAGAGAAAGAAGAAGAAAAACAAAAAAAAAAAACAUGGGUUGAGUGCAAUUCAGUCA
Molecule: long non-coding RNA, 129267 nt
Filed under: Vitis vinifera (wine grape)
Lineage: Eukaryota; Viridiplantae; Streptophyta; Magnoliopsida; Vitales; Vitaceae
Description: long non-coding RNA (VVIN_LNC004115)
Source: RNAcentral